This 91498-nucleotide long non-coding RNA is filed under the name Sorghum bicolor (sorghum). RNAcentral describes it as "long non-coding RNA (SBIC_LNC003285)". The record is from RNAcentral. Lineage: Eukaryota; Viridiplantae; Streptophyta; Magnoliopsida; Poales; Poaceae.
GCCGGCCUUCCUCCGAUCUACACCUCCACUCUACCUCUCUCAAUCUAGUAGAAACUAGGAGAUCUAUUUCUACUCACAUUGGAUGCUAAGCCUAAAAUAAAUAUUUAUUUAGAGAAGAGGUUUUCCUUCGAGGGCUCCCCUCAACUCUAUGAUAAACUUGUUCUCCUCCAGGGGCGAGGGGCCUUGCUUAUAUAGUCCUCCUCCUUUGUGCAUUUUUGGUCCAGCAGGCGAUGUGGUACUAUGUUAUCCUUGAUCCUUUAGGUCGGUGGAACGUCGUGUGCAAAGAGAGUCCAGAUUGGCAUCCAACAGAGGGCGGGAGCCCAGGUCAUCAGGGCGGGCGCCCUGGGCCUGGACCCUUUCGGCCUCUGCUUUCUUCCCGUGGCUUCUGGAGUCUUCUAGAUGGUAGAAAAUUGCACGGUGUGUUGAUAUCUCUAUGUAAUCCCGACAUGUGGGCCUUUCUUCCGUAUUUCCUGAUAACCCCUGCAGAAAUAGACAAACUCCAAAACUCGUGGAAUUCUGUCAGAUAAAACCCUAAGUCUGGGUGUUGGUUGUAUUUGGAUCCUUUUCUUUAUUUAUUUGAUGAUUAUAUUUGGUACUUAUGGACCGUCAACAACUCCCCCAAGCUUACCUCUUGCUCGUCCCUGAGCAAGGAUGAACUCAAGAGUUUCUGCAGUGGUUUCAUGCUUUAAAAGUAAGAUCUCGUCUCUGAGUUAGAGUGAACUGUUAAGACUUAAAACUUACUCACCUUUCACCAUGGGGCUUGUAACCGUCACUUGUGUCUUGAGCAGUUAAAAGAUAGAUCGGUCAAGUCAAGCGCCAUGUCUCUUAUUCUUGAUCAGCUAUAGCUCUGGAGUUUUUGCAGAUUUUCAAAUAAAACUCAGAGAUUCCUUAUAUAAUUCUCUCAAAUCUCUCUUUUGUGGUAUUUCUGGAUCCUUAACAAGGCAGUAAUGGUAUAUGCCUUUUCUCAAAGUAUGUGGUAUUUUUGGUAUAAUGCAUAGUGAUAUUACCUUCUCUCUCACCCUACUCUAAUAAGGUUUUGAUAUCUGGAGCUCAUAGGUGGGAGACAGCUAAUACAUACUUACAAGACAUUUAUUGCAUAGUCAAACCAUGGAUCCAGAGAAACAAGUCAAUAAGUCAAAUCAAGAUGUGCAUGUGUGGCGAAUGAAUGGUGUAUGGUGAUGACGGUGAUAACAAUGGUGAAAGUCUAAUUGUACUUUUGCUCUUUUAAAGGGAUACAUACCUGUUCUUGCACUUUGAAGCUUUUUGAGGAGAAUGAGAUGCUCUAUAUUUUCUUUUUCUUUCCUCUCAGGUGGGUAUCUUGUACCCCUAAUUCUACUGUCGGACACUUGUCCAUUUUUACCUCUCGUCUCACUUUUUCUUUUCUUGGAGGUUCCAGGCACUUGCCCCUUUUUUUUUCCUCAUAUAUUAUUUUUUUUCUUCUUUUAUUUUUUUAGAGCACUCAUUUCCUGAAAUGAUGUAGCAAGUGGUAGUAACCAAAAUAACUGGAGCAUUUAUUUCACAGGGAAUAACAGGGAUAGGAAAAUGUUUUUGGCUAUUCUCUCCCAGAUUAGGAGUACAAUAAUUUUGGGUGAAUCUGGAGAUGGAAAUGAGUGGAUGUAUGUGGAUGCGUACUUCCGGAAUAGAAGCAGCAUAUACGAGUGAACAUGCAAGUGAAUCUUGAUUUUAACCACAUGACAAGCUCCUAAGGGUCUACACAGCUUGACCACACUCAAUGCUCAUAAGCAGUAAAAAGUAAAUAUAUGGUUCAUAGUCUAAUAAGCAUGUAUAUAUGGUUGUGGUAGGAUUUUAAACUCUCAUCAUACAGGAACUUAUCAUGUGUUAUUUUAAAGAUUUUCAAAGAUAAAAUUCUCUAGAAUUCUAGCAUCUCUAGAAACAGAUAAACAACAGCUCAACCUUCGCAUAUCAUAUCCGUUAACGACUUAGACUUUAGAUCAAGUACUCUUCCCACAAGUUCAGGUUUAGAGAAAAUCUUAAUUCAUAACAGUUAUGCCUAAACUUGAGAGAGAUUUCAAUUUUAAGAACUAGUCAUGGCAGAGCAACUAUUCAUCAUUUUCAUGUGAGAGCUUAGCAUGAGGGUUCAUAGCAAACUUUAUUUAUUUAUUUAUUUAGCAAACUAAGCAAAGAUAUAUAUAAAAGCAUAAAAUCUUUAUUUGGGUUUUUAUGAUUAUGCAUCUUUUUAUUAUUUGAGUAAAGUAUAAAUGCGAGUAGAAACACUUAGCUCGAUAAAUGGGGGUGCUCUCCCCCAAGCUGGAUUUUGACGUAAUUUCUUAUAAUGUAGCUAGCAGGUGACGGAGGUGUAUUUGAAUGUCGGCAUCACCCUGACAGCGAUUAGGAUGUCCUCCGUCUGCUAGUCUUCUUUGAUCCUUGAAUUCUGUGGAGCUCAAAUAGACAACAAAGCUUUGUGGAACUGGUUAAGUGUUAGCAUAAAUAUCUAGCCUUUAUCAUGUUGAGCCUCCUCAAUAAAUAUUAUUUAUUUAGCAGGAUCAUGCACUUAUUAUUUUUAUAUUUUUAUUGUAAGAUGAAAACAUAUUUAUUUUAUGUCACCACAGUGAAUGUACCUAUGGGUUUUAUGCCAUGAGCAUACUCACAUGGGGCUUACUAUUUUUAACAUUUUUAUUUCUUUUCGAGAUGAUAUGAAUCCUGAUUAACUAAGCAAACUAUAAUUGAAUAAUUGAAAGGAAAAGGGUAACUACCAAGUUUACCUCUUGGCAAGGCGUUCGAUGUUUUUAAGUCCUCCGAACGGGACUCUCUGUUUUCUCAGUUGUCCUGGGAUUCGCUGGAUGGUGUAGUCGGUGAUUCCGGUGGCGCCUCCUCUUCGUGUAUAACUAUCUUCUCCCUCCACACGUGACUCGGUGCUACGGUCUCCUCAGGAUAGUUCUGUUCAAGCUGUAUGUCUUCAGACCUUACCACUUCUCCUUCGUAGUCUGCCCAUCCGUCCUUGAUGAUUUGCCUCCUGUGAUUUCGGUUGCGUCGCCUUCUUCUUGUCCUGACCUGCUUAGAAUCUUCAACUAAAUAGUUAGGGUCAAUAAAAUAGCGGCAUACCUUCUCAGAGGGGAAGUGCAUGUGGACUUCUCCGGUUCCAAUGUAGAUGAUGGCUUUGAUAGUGUUGAGGAACGGUCUUCCAAGGAUGGUGGGUGGAUCUUACUCGUCUUCUCCCAUGUCAAUGACCUGAAAAUCAUCUGGAGCUGAAUGUAUGUUGGUUGUAGGGGCAUGGUUCCAUGCAGGAGCUGAUAAGUGACUGCGGCCAUUAUGUUGUCAUCAGAUCCGGUGUCGUAGAGUGUCUUCUGAAAAGAGUAUCCAUUGAUUGUGCACUUGAUGCUUGGAACACCAGGGUCGUCCUUGUUGAUAUUUGGGAACGCAAUAAGGAAUUGAUCCGCAAGCGCACGGAUAUCGGUGAGCACUUCACCCGGGAAAUUAUCCAGAGUAUCGUAUUUAUUUUUUUACCACUAGGAGAAAGAGUGCAUCUGACUAACCGGUCUAUUACUACUAACCUUUAGGCACAAAGAAUGUCUUUCGAUGUGAGUGAUAAAUAGAGAAGACUGCAACCGUAGUCUCCUUCUAACCUUGGUAAGGAUGAUCUACUCUUCUAAUGGGGAGGCUAACGGAAUCUAGACACCACAAAGGAUGUUCAACCCGCACCUAUAAACCCUAUCCUUCCUGCUAACGAGAUGUGAUCUACAAAGGUAGCUCGGAAAUGUCACGUUCCUCACUACUACCACGGUCCAGCUAGUCAGGGAAUAUCUAUGAGUACCCCAGCCUAAACACCACGUUUACACCAGCAAUGAUUACUCUAAACUCUACGCGAAGAGAUUAAAGUAAACUCAUAAACCAUAAGAACAAUAAAACAAGAACUUACUAGAAUUUAGAAGUCGAAUUACUGAAGAAUCCUAGGAGCAAGCUUCGGGUUAGGAGAACUUGAUCCCGCAGGUACAAGCUUGGAGUAGACACCGACAGGCCGGGCUUCCUCCACUCUACACCUCCACUCUAUCUCUCUCAAUCUAGUAGAAACUAGAAGAUCUAUUUCUACCUUACAUUGAUUGCUAAGCCUAAAAAGAAAUAUUAAUUAGAGAAGAGGUUUUCCUUCGAGGGCACCCCUGAGUCUCUAUGAUAAUUUCUUCAUGUCUUCCAGGGGCCAGGGGGGCCUCGCUUAUAUAGUCCUCCCCUUCUAUGCGUUUUUGGGUCGAUAGCCGACGUGGUACUAUGUUUUUCUUGAUCCAAUAGGUCGGUGGAAUGUCCCGAGCGAAGGAGUCCUGAAUUGGCUCCAGCAGGGGGGCGGGCGCCCAGGCUUCCAGGGCGGGCGCCCUGGGCCUGGCCCAGCUUCGCCUCCGCUUCGGUCUCGUGGCUUCUGGAGUCUUCUAGAUGAUGUAAAAUUGUGCGGUGCGUUGAUAUCUCUAUGUAAUCCCGACAUGUGGGCCUUUCUUCCUUAUUUCCUGAUAACCCCCUACAGAAAUAGAUAAACAACAAAACUCGUGGAAUUCUGUCAGAUCAAACCCUAAUUCUAGGUGAUGGUUGCAUAUUGGUCCUUUCUCAUGUUUAUUUGAUAAUUAAAAUUGAUACUUAAGAACCGUCAACAGUCCUUCUUGAUCAGGAAAGGCGACUUGAGUCGACGAUCUUGACCUCUUUGAACUGCAGUGACCAUCUUAGCUGACUCGGUCCACAUUUGCUUAUUCCUGUUGCUCCUGUUGGUCUUCUUCCUUGGUUCGUGUCGGGAUUGCUCUGAAAUUUGUGUAGUCUUGUUCUUGAAGGAAAGUCUCCUUCUUCCCCUUGAUGUAGAAACUGAUUUUGGCAGCAUUAACAUAGAUGACAGCUCUGGUGUUUAGGAAUGGCCUCCCUAAGAUAAUGGGUGCCCUCUACUCAGUACCAGUCUCUAUCACCACGAAGUCUGCUAGAGCGUACAAGGUACCAACUCGGACGCAGAGGUUCUUCAAUAUUUCCUUUGGGAAACUGAGUGUCUGAUCUGCAACCCUGGGCAUAAUGUUGACGCUGGAGCCAAAGUCGCAGAGUGCUUCUGGGAAGUCCACCAUGCCGACGGAGAUCGGGAUGAUGGGGCGUCCUGGAUCACCUCUCUGAGUAAUUAGGCCUCUGUUGAUUCCAACCUUGAUUUUGUUGAGGACGGUUGUAGUAAUAGUUGUUAUUGUUGUUGAUGUAGUUCACGUCCUCAAGCAUCUCAGGGCAGUGAUUGCCUGAGUGUCUAGUAUCUCCAGUGUGUUUGUGCUCGUAGAUCCUGGUUCUUCACUUGGUGGAGUCUGGGAGUUGUAAAACUCCUUCAUAUUAUGCUCGAAGUGUUCCUGCUCAUAGAGACAAGGCAGAGAUCAAGUGCAUGGGCCCUGUUGGUGGAAAACACCAACAGAACCAAAAAUGUAUUUGUUCUUCUCUAACCUUAAGCAUAGUGAGCAAGACAAAGUUGAUGGAUCAUGAGUGUAGCAUUUGUCAGAUCAGAUGGCUCAACCUAAUGGAAAGAUAAUCUAUCUAUAUUUAUGUUUUGUUUAUAUCUUUCAAAGAUUGAAUGUGCAACAUAUUAGCUUAUAUGAUUAGGAGUGUGGGAUCAUGAAGGUAGUACUAAGAACAAAUAUUAAAGAGCUAAACAUGUUGAAUUAAUUAGGUUGGUUAAUUUAGAGUUAUAAAUCAUACAUGUUUGUCUCUUUAUUUAUGUGAAUGCCAGAACCAAGGAGAAGCUUAUAAAAGUGAUAGUCACGUACCUUAAGAUGUUACCUUACUUGAAGAGUGAUGGUAUAGUAUCACCUUGUGGAAGCUUUCCUUUCUGAGCGGUUGUGCAUCGUGUUUGUGGCACCCUCCAUGGAUCAUCUCUUUAUGAUGAAUGAGCUAUGUCUUCCUUGUGCAAGUCGUUAAAUUUCAUGUGUCUCCUUUAUCUCCAAUGAGCUUGUAGCUCAGGACUUCCCAAGUUAAUAUUGAAAGUUUUCCUGCAGGGGUUAGUCUGACAAAAUAUACCAAUGCCUACUCAAGCAGUUUUAGUUCAGUAACCAAACUAGACUCCAUGUCUAAUCAGAUUAAGGAAGGCUAUUAAACCUAAGCACCAUGCUUAAUUUAAAUGCCAAUGGAAGUAUGUCGAGUACUUCCAAACCAACACUUACUAGGAUAAACAAAGGUAGCAUGAUGGCAUUUAUAGAGAUCUACUCAAGUGGAGAUGAAGUAGUGUGAGUAGUGUUUAACAAAUUGAGCAUGUCUCAAAGGUAGGGACAACCAACAUAGCAACAUGGCAAAUGAUGUUUUUAUGUAAAGUACUCCCCCAAGCUUGAAUUUUGCAAAAUUCAAGAUUGGAUGAAUUUAAUUCAAUGUUGCAUGAUGAUUGGUUGGUCAUACCUUGUGCUUGUCAUUCCUCGGAUCUUCUUGCUCCAAUCCUGGAAAGGUUAGUGGCAAGAAUACCCGAAGGAAUAUUUCUACAAUUAUCUUUAUAUGCUCAAUACACAAGGCAAUGUUGCAAAUAAUUAGAAGUUCAUGAUCAGUGCUUGUUUUAGGACACUAAGCUUUGGGAAACCAUCAAUUUAUGUCAGCGACGUGGUUUCCCCUCCAACACUGACCUAUAUCAACUCAACGAGAUCUGCAAUAUUUAUUAUAGACAUAUGCAUCGACAACCGCUCUUUUAAAGUUGUUAUAAAUAUAAAGGAAGAGAGGGUUGGAGAUCUCAAAUGUGGUGAUAGCACAUGGAUUUUUAAUGCCCUCUAGCCAUUGAUGUUGUUCUUCUCGAUCCUCCUUGUGGUCUUGGUGACUCUUAUGAACGGGAUGUCUAGAGAAAUUCAUAGGCUUAUCGGGAGGUUCAAAAGAAAGAGCAUAGUAGAAAUUAUUAGGCUCAAGGAUGGGAUGGAUAGCCGAAUCAUGGAAUUGAAAUGUUUGGAAAUUGGCUAUUGAAACUUCCUUUCCUUGUCUGGGAAAUGAUUCCUUCUCUAUCUCUAAGAUUUUUCUAUGAAGACUAGUACAAGAAGAAUGUCCACGAAUGAAGACAUACCUUCCUUUACUGAUAGAUAAAGAAAGAAAGACUCUACCAAAGGGUAUAUGAUUAAGACCAAUGUAAAAAUAUCGAGAAAAAACAUGGUCUUGUUGGGCUAGGUUUAAACCAGAAUUUAUAGAAAAAUUAAAAGAUUCCCCAGGUGUAGCUAAAAGUGCAUUAUCUUCUUGAUUAAAAGAUAGGACCUCAGCUAUAGAAAAGGGUUGGUUUUGACCUAUUGCAAUCAACUCCGGACACAGAUCAUAAUUAGGGGCAGGACUUGUUGACUCCCAUGGUCUAUGGCUGGUCUCCGAAGGUGCAAAAAAUUCAAUAAUAGGUAUGGAAUUUGAGUUAUCCAUAGAGAUGAAAAAAAUAAAAAGAUAAAAGAAUAAAAGUAUAAAAGUAUUAUACAAGAUAAUAGCAAGACUCAAAGUUAUCUCAGCAAACCGUAUUUCUCCCCGGCAACGGCGCCAGAAAUGCUUGUUGAUAUUUGGUAACGCAAUAAGGAAAUGAUCCGCAAGCACACGGAUAUCGGUGAGCAUUUCACCUGGGAGGUUAUCCAGAGUUAUCGUAUUUAUAUUUUUACCACUGGGAGAAAGGGUGCAUCUGACUAACCAAAUCAAUUGCUACUACCCCUUUAGGCUACAAAGAAUGUUUCUCGAUGUGAGUGAUGUAUAGAGAAGACUGCAACCGUAGUCUCGUUCUAACCUUGGUAAGGAUGAUCUACUGUUCUAUUGGGGAAGCUUGCGGAAUCUAGACACCACAAAGGAUGUUCAACCUGCACCUAUAAACCCUACCCGUCCUGCUAACAAGAUAUGGGAUACAAAGGUAACUCGGAAAUGUCACGUUCCUCGCUACUACCACGGUCCAGCUAGUCAGGGGAUAUCUAUGAGUACCCUAGCCUAAACACCACGUUUACGCUAGCAAUGAUUACUCUAAUACUCAACCGAAAGAGAUUAAAGUAAACUCAUAAACCCAAGAACAAUAAAACAAGAACUUACUAGAAUUAGAAGUCGAAUUACUGAAGAAUCCUAGAAGCAAGCCUCGGGUUAGAAGACUUGAUCCCGCUGGUACAACCUCGGAGUAGACACCGACAGGCCGGCCUUCCUCCGAUCUACACCUCCACUCCACCUCUCUCAAUCUAGUAGAAACUAGAAGAUCUAUUUGUACUCACAUUGGAUGCUAAGCCUAAAAUAAAUAUUUAUUUAGAGAAGAGAUUUUCCUUCGAGGGCUCCCCUCAACUCUAUGAUAAACUUGUUCUCCUCCAGGGGCCAGGGGCCUUGAUUAUAUAGUCCUCCUCCUUUGUGCGUUUUUGGUCCAGCAGGCAAUGUGGUACUAUGUUAUCCUUGAUGCUUUAGGUCGGUGGAAUGUCGUGUGCAAAGAGAGUCCUGAUUGGCAUCCAACAGAGGGCGGGCGCCCAGGUCCUCAGGGCGGGCACCCUAGGCCUGGCCCCUUUCGGCCUCUGCUUUCUUCCCGUGGCUUCAGGAGUCUUCUAAAUGGUAGAAAAUUGCAUGAUGUGUUGAUAUCUCUAUGUAAUCCCGACAUGUGGGCCUUUCUUCCGUAUUUCCUGAUAACCCCCUACAGAAAUAGACAAACACCAAAACUCGUGGAAUUCUGUCAGAUAAAACCCUAAGUCUGGGUGUUGGUUGUAUUUGGAUCCUUUUCUUUAUUUAUUUGAUGAUUAUAUUUGGUAUUUAUGGACCAUCAACAGAGUGUCGAAGAUGGAGCACUUCUCUUGAAUAGCCAUGCUAGCUGUUGACGGUCCCUACUUACCACCUUAGAUUCUCACUUAAACAAAGAAGAGGAUUCAUAUGCAACCAUCACUCGAGACAUUCGGGUUUAUGCUAGGCAGAAUUCAAACCAUCUUUAGGAAAAUGAUAAUUGUGAUCAGUGUAAUCAACACACAUUCUCCAGUCAUUCUUCUUUUUGCAUACCAGAGACGUAUUGUCGAGCCAANNNNNNNNNNNNNNNNNNNNNNNNNNNNNNNNNNNNNNNNNNNNNNNNNNNNNNNNNNNNNNNNNNNNNNNNNNNNNNNNNNNNNNNNNNNNNNNNNNNNNNNNNNNNNNNNNNNNNNNNNNNNNNNNNNNNNNNNNNNNNNNNNNNNNNNNNNNNNNNNNNNNNNNNNNNNNNNNNNNNNNNNNNNNNNNNNNNNNNNNNNNNNNNNNNNNNNNNNNNNNNNNNNNNNNNNNNNNNNNNNNNNNNNNNNNNNNNNNNNNNNNNNNNNNNNNNNNNNNNNNNNNNNNNNNNNNNNNNNNNNNNNNNNNNNNNNNNNNNNNNNNNNNNNNNNNNNNNNNNNNNNNNNNNNNNNNNNNNNNNNNNNNNNNNNNNNNNNNNNNNNNNNNNNNNNNNNNNNNNNNNNNNNNNNNNNNNNNNNNNNNNNNNNNNNNNNNNNNNNNNNNNNNNNNNNNNNNNNNNNNNNNNNNNNNNNNNNNNNNNNNNNNNNNNNNNNNNNNNNNNNNNNNNNNNNNNNNNNNNNNNNNNNNNNNNNNNNNNNNNNNNNNNNNNNNNNNNNNNNNNNNNNNNNNNNNNNNNNNNNNNNNNNNNNNNNNNNNNNNNNNNNNNNNNNNNNNNNNNNNNNNNNNNNNNNNNNNNNNNNNNNNNNNNNNNNNNNNNNNNNNNNNNNNNNNNNNNNNNNNNNNNNNNNNNNNNNNNNNNNNNNNNNNNNNNNNNNNNNNNNNNNNNNNNNNNNNNNNNNNNNNNNNNNNNNNNNNNNNNNNNNNNNNNNNNNNNNNNNNNNNNNNNNNNNNNNNNNNNNNNNNNNNNNNNNNNNNNNNNNNNNNNNNNNNNNNNNNNNNNNNNNNNNNNNNNNNNNNNNNNNNNNNNNNNNNNNNNNNNNNNNNNNNNNNNNNNNNNNNNNNNNNNNNNNNNNNNNNNNNNNNNNNNNNNNNNNNNNNNNNNNNNNNNNNNNNNNNNNNNNNNNNNNNNNNNNNNNNNNNNNNNNNNNNNNNNNNNNNNNNNNNNNNNNNNNNNNNNNNNNNNNNNNNNNNNNNNNNNNNNNNNNNNNNNNNNNNNNNNNNNNNNNNNNNNNNNNNNNNNNNNNNNNNNNNNNNNNNNNNNNNNNNNNNNNNNNNNNNNNNNNNNNNNNNNNNNNNNNNNNNNNNNNNNNNNNNNNNNNNNNNNNNNNNNNNNNNNNNNNNNNNNNNNNNNNNNNNNNNNNNNNNNNNNNNNNNNNNNNNNNNNNNNNNNNNNNNNNNNNNNNNNNNNNNNNNNNNNNNNNNNNNNNNNNNNNNNNNNNNNNNNNNNNNNNNNNNNNNNNNNNNNNNNNNNNNNNNNNNNNNNNNNNNNNNNNNNNNNNNNNNNNNNNNNNNNNNNNNNNNNNNNNNNNNNNNNNNNNNNNNNNNNNNNNNNNNNNNNNNNNNNNNNNNNNNNNNNNNNNNNNNNNNNNNNNNNNNNNNNNNNNNNNNNNNNNNNNNNNNNNNNNNNNNNNNNNNNNNNNNNNNNNNNNNNNNNNNNNNNNNNNNNNNNNNNNNNNNNNNNNNNNNNNNNNNNNNNNNNNNNNNNNNNNNNNNNNNNNNNNNNNNNNNNNNNNNNNNNNNNNNNNNNNNNNNNNNNNNNNNNNNNNNNNNNNNNNNNNNNNNNNNNNNNNNNNNNNNNNNNNNNNNNNNNNNNNNNNNNNNNNNNNNNNNNNNNNNNNNNNNNNNNNNNNNNNNNNNNNNNNNNNNNNNNNNNNNNNNNNNNNNNNNNNNNNNNNNNNNNNNNNNNNNNNNNNNNNNNNNNNNNNNNNNNNNNNNNNNNNNNNNNNNNNNNNNNNNNNNNNNNNNNNNNNNNNNNNNNNNNNNNNNNNNNNNNNNNNNNNNNNNNNNNNNNNNNNNNNNNNNNNNNNNNNNNNNNNNNNNNNNNNNNNNNNNNNNNNNNNNNNNNNNNNNNNNNNNNNNNNNNNNNNNNNNNNNNNNNNNNNNNNNNNNNNNNNNNNNNNNNNNNNNNNNNNNNNNNNNNNNNNNNNNNNNNNNNNNNNNNNNNNNNNNNNNNNNNNNNNNNNNNNNNNNNNNNNNNNNNNNNNNNNNNNNNNNNNNNNNNNNNNNNNNNNNNNNNNNNNNNNNNNNNNNNNNNNNNNNNNNNNNNNNNNNNNNNNNNNNNNNNNNNNNNNNNNNNNNNNNNNNNNNNNNNNNNNNNNNNNNNNNNNNNNNNNNNNNNNNNNNNNNNNNNNNNNNNNNNNNNNNNNNNNNNNNNNNNNNNNNNNNNNNNNNNNNNNNNNNNNNNNNNNNNNNNNNNNNNNNNNNNNNNNNNNNNNNNNNNNNNNNNNNNNNNNNNNNNNNNNNNNNNNNNNNNNNNNNNNNNNNNNNNNNNNNNNNNNNNNNNNNNNNNNNNNNNNNNNNNNNNNNNNNNNNNNNNNNNNNNNNNNNNNNNNNNNNNNNNNNNNNNNNNNNNNNNNNNNNNNNNNNNNNNNNNNNNNNNNNNNNNNNNNNNNNNNNNNNNNNNNNNNNNNNNNNNNNNNNNNNNNNNNNNNNNNNNNNNNNNNNNNNNNNNNNNNNNNNNNNNNNNNNNNNNNNNNNNNNNNNNNNNNNNNNNNNNNNNNNNNNNNNNNNNNNNNNNNNNNNNNNNNNNNNNNNNNNNNNNNNNNNNNNNNNNNNNNNNNNNNNNNNNNNNNNNNNNNNNNNNNNNNNNNNNNNNNNNNNNNNNNNNNNNNNNNNNNNNNNNNNNNNNNNNNNNNNNNNNNNNNNNNNNNNNNNNNNNNNNNNNNNNNNNNNNNNNNNNNNNNNNNNNNNNNNNNNNNNNNNNNNNNNNNNNNNNNNNNNNNNNNNNNNNNNNNNNNNNNNNNNNNNNNNNNNNNNNNNNNNNNNNNNNNNNNNNNNNNNNNNNNNNNNNNNNNNNNNNNNNNNNNNNNNNNNNNNNNNNNNNNNNNNNNNNNNNNNNNNNNNNNNNNNNNNNNNNNNNNNNNNNNNNNNNNNNNNNNNNNNNNNNNNNNNNNNNNNNNNNNNNNNNNNNNNNNNNNNNNNNNNNNNNNNNNNNNNNNNNNNNNNNNNNNNNNNNNNNNNNNNNNNNNNNNNNNNNNNNNNNNNNNNNNNNNNNNNNNNNNNNNNNNNNNNNNNNNNNNNNNNNNNNNNNNNNNNNNNNNNNNNNNNNNNNNNNNNNNNNNNNNNNNNNNNNNNNNNNNNNNNNNNNNNNNNNNNNNNNNNNNNNNNNNNNNNNNNNNNNNNNNNNNNNNNNNNNNNNNNNNNNNNNNNNNNNNNNNNNNNNNNNNNNNNNNNNNNNNNNNNNNNNNNNNNNNNNNNNNNNNNNNNNNNNNNNNNNNNNNNNNNNNNNNNNNNNNNNNNNNNNNNNNNNNNNNNNNNNNNNNNNNNNNNNNNNNNNNNNNNNNNNNNNNNNNNNNNNNNNNNNNNNNNNNNNNNNNNNNNNNNNNNNNNNNNNNNNNNNNNNNNNNNNNNNNNNNNNNNNNNNNNNNNNNNNNNNNNNNNNNNNNNNNNNNNNNNNNNNNNNNNNNNNNNNNNNNNNNNNNNNNNNNNNNNNNNNNNNNNNNNNNNNNNNNNNNNNNNNNNNNNNNNNNNNNNNNNNNNNNNNNNNNNNNNNNNNNNNNNNNNNNNNNNNNNNNNNNNNNNNNNNNNNNNNNNNNNNNNNNNNNNNNNNNNNNNNNNNNNNNNNNNNNNNNNNNNNNNNNNNNNNNNNNNNNNNNNNNNNNNNNNNNNNNNNNNNNNNNNNNNNNNNNNNNNNNNNNNNNNNNNNNNNNNNNNNNNNNNNNNNNNNNNNNNNNNNNNNNNNNNNNNNNNNNNNNNNNNNNNNNNNNNNNNNNNNNNNNNNNNNNNNNNNNNNNNNNNNNNNNNNNNNNNNNNNNNNNNNNNNNNNNNNNNNNNNNNNNNNNNNNNNNNNNNNNNNNNNNNNNNNNNNNNNNNNNNNNNNNNNNNNNNNNNNNNNNNNNNNNNNNNNNNNNNNNNNNNNNNNNNNNNNNNNNNNNNNNNNNNNNNNNNNNNNNNNNNNNNNNNNNNNNNNNNNNNNNNNNNNNNNNNNNNNNNNNNNNNNNNNNNNNNNNNNNNNNNNNNNNNNNNNNNNNNNNNNNNNNNNNNNNNNNNNNNNNNNNNNNNNNNNNNNNNNNNNNNNNNNNNNNNNNNNNNNNNNNNNNNNNNNNNNNNNNNNNNNNNNNNNNNNNNNNNNNNNNNNNNNNNNNNNNNNNNNNNNNNNNNNNNNNNNNNNNNNNNNNNNNNNNNNNNNNNNNNNNNNNNNNNNNNNNNNNNNNNNNNNNNNNNNNNNNNNNNNAGCAACCAAUCACGUUCAACCUUGCAGAUUAUGCUCCACCGACCUAAAGGAUCAAGGAGAACCAUUCAAUCAAUGUCGGUUUGAUCCGACAGCCCAGAUUCACUUGAGGGGACUAUAUAAGCAGGCCCCCUGGCCCCUGGAGGAGGCAAACCCCUUCAUUCUUAUUCAUUAUUCAUAGACAGAGCAAAAGCUAGGGUUUAGAGAUGAGAGCUCUCCUCUCAUCUCUAAACUAGAGUAGAUCUAGAUAGUAGCGAGAUGGAGAGUGAGGGAGGAUUGGAGGAGAGGCUGGCCUGUCGGGUCUUCCUCCGGUUGUACUUCGCCAUGAUCAAGCUCUAAUUAAGCUUGCUCAUGGGAUGACUCUGGUAAUCUACUUCUAUUUCAUUAUGCAAUUACUAUCCAUGUAUGUUCUGGUUCACAGCUCUUUUGAGUACUUUAAUCUAUAGGACGCUAUAGGUGAGAGUUGUAGUAUAGGUGUAAGCGUGGUGCUUAGACCUAGAUUACUUGUGGAUAUCCCGUGGAUCGUGUGGUAGGCCGCGUAGGUGACAGUUACGUUGGUCCCCUGUAGUCCACCUCCCGUUAGUAGGACUGGUAGGGUUUAUCAGCCUAUGGAUAAGCAUCCUUUAUGGUGUAUUCUUAUCACGUGGUUCGCCCCAGACAUAGACAUACCCCUUUGAAGUAGAGAAACCAUAGUUAUCCUCUCUAUUCUCCUACCAUCGCCGAUAUAUUAGAUUGCUCUACUCUCUAUUCCCAUAUUAUCACCCAUUGUUAUCUUACCUUUAAUAUUGUUCUUAUUCAAUUCUACCAUCUUUCCUAUUUACACCUACUUAUCUAUCUAGGUUGAGUUAGAGCGUAGAUCAGUUCUCCCAUUUCCCUGUGGAUACGAUAAAACCUUUAACCGGGUAAAAGCUACAACGGUAUCCGUGUGCUUGCGGAUUUAUCUGUGUGCAUAUAAAUACCAUAGUACACUCUAGUGCCAUGCUGGGGAUGACAACCUAGUAUUCAAGUGGUGUUAGCAAGUGUCAACAAGCAUUUUUGGCGCCGUUGCCGGGAAACGGUUGCUGAGUUGACUACGAACUAGCUUAAUCAUUUUCUAAAAAAAUAUACUUUUCCUUUUAUCCUUUGCCUCAUCUCUACUAUUCUUUCUUCUUAUCUAAUCCUUGAUUUCUGGUCUAUCAUGAAUGCAAACAUGUCUAUCUAUCAGUUUCAUAAACCUACGGGCACACAUCUCGAACCACCAAAAUCUUCAAAGCCUAUCAUAGCAUCUAGUUUUGAGAUAGACCCUAAAUACAUAGAAUUUAUUCAAAAACAACCUUUCUCAGGAGAAGGUUAAGAAAACCCAUACGCACACCUAAGAGAGUUUUAUCGAGUCUGUGACCUCCUUCGCAUAGAAGGCAUGUCCGAUGAGACCCUUAAAUGGAAGCUCUUUCUGUUCUCUUUAACAGGAAAAGCUAGACAUUGGUAUAAACUCAAAGUAGGGAGUGUUCAUGGAGAUUGGAAGGAGUUAUAUAAUAGUUUUCUUUUUAAAUAUUUUCCAAUCUCCAAAGUGGCAGAACUUUGGUGUGAGAUUAUUUCUUUUAGACAACUGGAAGAAGAAUCUCUUGGCAAAUCAUGGGACCGCUUUAUUAACCUUACUCUCACUGGCCCAAAGCUUUCGAUUCUAGAAGAAGUUCUUCUAAUUCACUUUUUUGAAGGCCUUAGUAGGGAAAAUAAGCAAACCUUGAAUACAGCCUCUAGAGGAUCCUUCUAUCACCUACCUACUAGUGAAGCUAGGGAUUUAAUUGAUUCAUUGAGUGGAAAGUUUCCUAACAUUUAUAUCCCUGAGAAAGAGAAAGAACCAGUUCCUAGACAAGAAGAAGAAGUUUCGAUAGCCAGAUCACAACCACUUCAAUCCCGAACUUUAGCUAUCGAUCCUAAACCAUCAAUACCCCAAAAUUCUCCAAGGGAGGAAGGAAUUCCGACCUUAAAUCUUUCAGAUGCUGAUGGUUUAGACUUCUGGUUCCAUAAGAGACCUUCAAGCAGGGAUAAUUCAAAUCCUUGCAAUAAUGGUUCUCUUAGAGAAUGUCCUGGUUCCUGUUAUGAAGAAGUCGAGGAUGACAUAUCAAGUGAAGGAGAGCUAAACCAUAUAGAAGAUUCUAUCUGCUCCCCUUCCAUGUCGACAAAUUCUAAAUCCAUCCUUGACCUUAGAGACCCCUCUUAUCCCUCUCCUUUUAAGUCUCAUGAUGAUCCUAACAAUCCAUCAAGACGAUCAAACCAUAGGAGUCAUAAAGACCAUGAGGAUGACAUGUCAAGUAAUGUCAUAGAAGGGGAGCUAAGCCAUAUAGAAAAUUCUAACACCUCCCCUUUCCUGAUCACAAGUUCUAAAUGGCUAGAAUGUAUAGAGUGGAUGGAUAAGGAAGAAGCCUUAAUGGAUUCUGACUUUGGCUCAAUUUCAAAUGGUGAGUUCUUGACUCCCUUUAAAGAUGAGAUUCAUCCAACUACAGAAGAGGACAUAGGUGAGACCAAUCCAGGAGAAACUCUGAACAUUCAGAUUGGAGACGAAGAUAACAUUAAUGAGCAUGGAAUUUAUUUCAUACCCACUUUGUUUACUCCAUGCUCAUAUGAAACAUCUUCCCAUCUAUUGGUCUCUCCAACAUCACCACAUUUGAGAUCUCCAACCCCCUCUUCCUUUCUAUUUAUAAAAACUUUAAAAGGGCGGUAGUCGAUGCAUAUGUCUAUAAUAAAUAUUGCAGAUCUCGUUGAGUUGAUCUUGAUAUAGGUCAGCGUUGGAGGGGAAACCACUUCGACGUCAUAAAUUGAUGGUUUACCAAGGACAAGCUUAGUGUCCUAAAAUAAGCACUGAUCAGACCAUAACAUGAGCUUUUAAUUAUUCGCAACAUUGCCUUGUGCAUUGAGUAUAUAAGGAUAAUUGUAAAAAUAUUUCUUCGGGUAUUCUGGUCACUAACCUUUCUAGGAUUCGAGCAAGAAGAUCGGAUGAAUGACAAGCACAAGGUAUGUCCAACCAAUCAUCAUGCAACACUGAAUUAAAUUCAUCCAAACUUGAAUUUUGCAAAAUUCAAGCUUGGGGGAGUACCUUACAUAAAAACAUCCUUUGUCAUGUUGCUAUGUUGGUAGUCCCUACCUUUGAGACAUGCUCAAUUGAUUAAAUACUAAUCACACUACUUCAUCUCCACUUGAGUAGAUCUCUAUGCUCUCAUGCUACCUUUAUUUGCUUUAGUAUAUGUCUAGGUUUGGAGUAGUUUCAUUUAUCUCUUAAAUAAGCAUGGUGCUUAGUUUAGGAAUGAUGAUAUUACUUCCAAGGGAUUUCAAAUUAAGCAUGGUGCUUAGGUUAAAAUGUCCUUCUAAGUCUAAUUAGACAUGGUGUCUAGGUUGAUUUUUGAGCCGAAAGUAUGCUAUAGUAGAUAUUGGAUACUUUGUUGGGCUAACCCCUACAGGAAAACUUUCAAUAUCGACCUGGGAAGUCCUGAGAUAAACUCACAUUGGAGACAAAGAGAGAGAAACAUCAAGUUUAACAAUUUACACAUGGAAGACGUAGCUCCUAAGAGAUGAUCCAUGGAGGGUGCCACAAACACGAUGCACAACCGCUAAGAAAGGAAAGCUUCCACAAGGUCAUACUGUACCAUCACUCUUCAAGUAAAGUAACAUCUUAUGGUACUUGACUAUUACUUUUAUAAGCUUCUCCUUGGUUCUGACGUUCAUAUGAAUAAAAGAGACAAAUAUGUAUGAUUUACAACUCUAGGUUAACCAACCCAAUCGAUUUAACAUGUUUAGUCCUUCCACCUUUGUGAUCCCACACUCCUAAUCAUAUGAGCUAAAAUGUUGCACACUCAAUCUUUGGAAGAUAUAUAAAAAACAUAAAUAUAGAUAGAUUAUCUUUCCAUUAGGUUGAGCGAUCUGAUCUGACAAAUGUGUUAAAUACUACACUCAUGAUCUUAUUAUCCAUCAAAUUUGUCUUGCUCACUAUGCUUAAGGUUAGAGAAGAACAAAUACACUUUUGGUUCUAUUGGUGUUUUCCACCAACAGGGCCUAUGCACUUGAUCUCUGCCUUGUCUCUAUGAGCAGGUACACUUGGAGCAAAACAUGGUGGAGUUUUACAACUCCCAGAUUCCACCAAGUGAAGGACCUGGAUCUACGAGCACAAACACAAUGAGCAAGAUACUCCCAACGCCGCACUUCGAACUGCUGGGCAAACGAAGAACAUGGUGACACCGUAUCAAGAGGUGCAGACGUCAAGGUCCGCACCUGAAUCAAAUGAUGCACCUAAAGAAUGAACACGGUGAGAAGUCUUGUCCAGAAGACUUAAAAUAUUUUAAUCCUUGCCGGAAGGUAAAAUCGGAAUUUAUCCAUAUUUAUCUUUUCUGCAUUCCUUUUUCUUUUUUUAUUCCAUCACUUGCAUUAGCAUAUUUACUUUUCCACAUUAGCAUUAGAAAAGAAAACAAAAAUAUUUGUUCAUUGCACUGCAUCAUAAAAUCUAAAGCCCCAUGUGAGUAGACUUGUGGUUUAAAACCCAUAGGUAUAUUGACUGUGGUGGCAUAAAAUAAAUAUGUUUUCAUCGUACAAUAAAAAAAUAAUAAGUGCAUGAUCCUGCUAAAUAAAUAAAAUUUAUUAGGAGGAAUCUCAAUAUGAUAAAGGCUAAGAGAUUUUAUGCUAACACUUAACCAGUUCCACAAAGCUUUGUUGUCUACUUGAGCUCCAUAGAAUUCAAGAAUCAAAGAAGACAAGCAGACGGAGGACGUUCUAAUCGCUGUCAGGGUGCUGCCGACAUUCAAAUACACCUUCGCCACCUGCUAGAAGAAAUUACGUCAAAAUCCAUCUUGGGGGAGAGCACCCCCAUUUAUCCUACUAAGUGUUUCUACUUGCGUUUAUACUUUACUCAAAUAAUAAAAAGAUGCAUAAUCAUAAAAACCCAAAUAAAGAUUUUUGUGCUUAUAUAUAUCUUUGCUUAGUUUGCUAAAUAAAUAAAUAAAUAAAUAAAUGAAGUUUGCUAUGAACCCUCUGAAAGGUCCAAAUGGCUAGAGGGGGUGAAUAGCCUAUUUAAAAUUUCUACAAACUUCUACUAGACAAGUUGAUUAGUAAAAUAAAAGGCGAAGCUAUUCUAGCACUAGCACAACUAAGCUAUGCAAGCCACCUACACAAGUCUAGCAAGAAAGCUAAACACUAGUUACAACAAGAAAGCACAACUAAAAGCUUGCUACACUCCUAAACAAUAAGACUAAACUAAACAAGCUAAACAACUAGCAAGGUAAACAAGUAAGUAAAUGAGUGAAGAGUGAUUGUUAUACCAACGUUGUAGAGUAGAGAUAUAUCCAACCAAUCACUCACAAUUACAAGAGAAUCCUCGGCAAGAGAUGACACAAGAUUUUUUAACCGAGGUUCACUUGCUUCCCGGCAAGCUAGUCCUCGUUGUGGCGAUACACCCACUUGAUGGAUCACGAGCUAAUUAGCAAUCCAAAGCCAAACCCUCAGCGGGUGCCGCACAUCCACUCACAAGAUGGGGAUCCUCCAAGCCACGAGCAAUCCAUUAGAGUAGCCAAUUGCGAUCUCCCGCGGGGAAGGCUCAAGAACCCCUCACAAGUCACUUGGUGAGGCUCGAAACAAUCUCCAAUCACGAGCUCAACACCACCGCUCCUCCAAGCCGUCUAGGGCGUCGGGAAACACCCAAGAGUAACAAGAAAUCCACAGCAAACUCAAGAAUCAAGUGCCACUAAAUGCAACUCUCAAAGCAAUGCACUUGAAUCUCACUCAAUCUCACUAGGAUUAGCAAUCAAGCAAGGAGAUGAGUGAAGGGAGUGUUCCUCUAGCUCAAAGUAUGGCUCAAGUAAUCAAAUGUGCAAGAGAGAACCCCUCAAAGCCGGCCACCAACUAUUUAUAAGCCCCCUCAAAGAACUAGCCGUUGGCCACUUUCACUGGGCUGAAAACGGGGGCACCGGACGCUACCAAGUGAGCACCGGACGCUCGACUCCCUGCGUCCGGUGCACUAGGGUUGGCCACGUGUCCGCCCUGAAUCUCGCGUGUCAGAUCCUAACGGUCACCUGCGGAUCACUGGACGCUCUGCAGAUCCACACCGGACGCGUCUGGUGCACACCGGACUCAUGCGUAGAGAGUUUCGCAAACCUGCGGGUCACCGGACGCUAAGCACCGGUAGCGUCCGGUGCUCACCGGACCCAUGCGCAGAGAGGGUCGCAAAACACCCGCACACCGGACGGUAACCACCGGACGCUCUCACAGUGCGUCCGGUGCUCAACCCUAGCAGGGUCAAGCACACCGGACUCUGAGGCCAGCGUCCGGUGCCUCCGCGUACUGCGUCCGGUGAGUGUUUGUCAGUGAAAAACACUCCCACGACUUCUCCAAAUUUCCGACCAGCACAAUAGAAAAUAUACACUUAAUUUUCUCAAAAGCGCCGAAUCUCGCCUCGCAAGCUCGGCGGGAGGGAGAGAGGAACCCAAACCCCUCUCAACCCUAGGAACUCCACCUCCUUUGCAAAUGUGCUAACACCAACACGUGUCCACCACCAAAGUGCAUGUGUGUUAGCUUUUCUCAAACAUUUUUCCCAAAGGAGUUAGGUUAGCACUUAACUAGAUUCUAAUGCAUAUGCUCAAGAUAUGGACCUAGUAGCACUUGAUUCGAGAGAAGACCGUGAUUUCCCCUCUUGAUAGUCGGCUAUCUAUCCUAAACCCGGUCAAUCACUUCUCUACUCAUCUUAGACCGGUAAAAGUAAAACCCUAUGUGUAUACCUUUGCCUUGAUCACUUUGCUCCUCGUCUAUCACCAUGAUCUUUACUUCAUGCUUCAUCCCUUUGUGAUCAUGUGACCACCUUUCCAUGCCACCGUGCACCUUCAUCACAUGUGUUGCUAUAACUAACUCAAAUCACUUAAACACAUAGCAUUAUCAACUUGGUGUCAUUAAUUACCAAAACCAAACUUGGGCUUUCAAUCUCCCCCUUUUUGGUAAUUGAUGACAACCAUCACAAAGAUAUGAAAUGAAAUCAUAAUGAACUUGAAUUGCUUGUCCAAAGCAUUUUAAUCAUGAGACAAGGUUGGACAAACAUUUGAAUUUCAGUUUUGGUAGUACUAGCUCCCCCUACAUAUGUGCUUCCAUGAGUUUGGUUCAAGUUUGCACAUAUGUAUGAAAUGGAAUUUUGGGAGAUUUAUUACUACCAAAAUGAUGCUAAGGUAUAUAGAAUGGACCUUUGAAGCGUGAUACCAAUCGGAGUUGCCAAUAUACCAUCCUUAGCACCAAUGUAGCUAGACAUAUAUCAAAAACUCAAGAUACCUUGUGAGAUCACAUUAUAUGUCUAGAUACCACAUGAAAAUAAAACUCUAUGCUAGAAUUCAAGACAUCAUUCAAGUUCUAUUUCUAGCAAGCACCAAUCAAACAAUGAGUAGUGAAUUUAAACUUGCAAUGCAACACCUCAUUAUGUUAGUGCACAUACAAAUGCAACAAAAGGUUCAUGAGCUUGCUCCCCCUAUUUGUGUGCUCAAAUUUUAAUUUAAUUUUCCAAAAUUUAUCUCUCCCCUUUAAGCACUUUUCUCCCCCUUUAUGACUUUAUCUUUGUUUCUCUCCCCCUUUGUCAUCAAUGACCACAAAGGUUCAAAUUUUAGUGAGAAUUAAGUCAAUCAAUGUGAGGGUCAAAUUAUGGUUCAAUCUAGAUCACUUGCCUAGAAUAUGUAAUUCGGUUUGAUCCAAGGACAAGCUUUUUCGCACCUCAUAAAGUAUAAGGGUUAUCUUGACCAUGUUGAAUUACACAUCAUAAGCUCAUAUUCUAGAUUCAACACUAGGCUCACAAGCUCACAAACAUGUCAUAUGCUACCACUAGAUCAAUCAAACAUAGAAGCAAUAGUGGUACCAUACAUACAUCAAAAUCUUUUGAUUUUCAUGAAUGAGCCUAUUUGUCAUGCAAACAUGUCUAUAUGUUCUAAUCAUGUCCUUAGCAAAGUAUGAAUGCUAUGUCAACCAACUUUACCUUGCUUUGUUGAAGGAGAGGCAUGUCAUAUAAAUGUGGGGGUGCACUCAUCUCAAGUUGGAGAAGUCAAGUAUGUUCAAUUCAUUUCUCAACUUGCAAAAUCUCUUCUCAUCAAGUGGCUUUGUGAAGAUGUCGGCUAGUUGAUCUUCGGUGCCAAUGCUUUCAAUGCUAAUAUCACCCUUUUGUUGAUGAUCUCUUAUGAAAUGGUGCCUUAUGUCAAUGUGCUUGGUUCUUGAAUGUUGAACCGGGUUUUGUGUCAUCUUGAUUGCACUCUCAUUGUCACAUAGCAAAGGCACAUUCUUGAAUUUGAUUCCAAAGUCAUUCAAGGUAGCUUUCAUCCAAAGCAAUUGUGCACAACAACUACCGGCACUAAUGUAUUCGGCCUCGGCGGUUGAUAGUGCAACACUAUUUUGUUUCUUUGAUGACCAUGAAACUAGAGACCUUCCUAGCAAUUCACAAGUGCCACUUGUGCUCAUUCUAUCAAUCUUGCAUCCACCAUAGUCGGAGUCCGAAUAUCCAAUCAAUUCAAAGUUAGACCCCUUGGGAUACCAUAAUGCAACAUCAUGAGUGCCCUUGAGAUACCUCAAUAUCCUCUUGGUUGCCUUCAAGUGACUUUCUCUAGGUGAAGCUUGGUAUCUUGCACAUUUGCACACACUAAACAUUACAUCCGGCCUUGAAGCGGUGACAUAGAGCAAACUUCCAAUCAUGGACCGGUAUAGCUUUUGAUCUACCAUGUUGCCACUUGCAUCACUACCUAAUUGAUCAUUUGUGCCCAUAGGUGUGCUCAUUGGUUUAGCUUCUUGCAACCCAAACUUGUUGAUCAUGUCCUUGAUGUACUUGCCUUGACUUAUAAAAGUACCAUCCUUCAUUUGCUUGAUUUGAAGUCCAAGGAAGUAACUAAGCUCUCCAAUCAUGGACAUCACAAACUCAUUUGCCAUCAUUUUUCCAAACUCUUCACAAAAGUCUUGAUUGGUUGAUCCAAAGAUGAUAUCAUCAACAUAGAUUUGCAACACAAACGAGUCAUUGCCUAGCUUCUUAGUGAAGAGGGUAGUGUCAACCUUUCCCAUUUUGAACCCUUUAGAGAGAAGGAAAUCUCUCAAUCUCUCAUACCAUGCUCUAGGUGCUUGCUUCAAACCAUACAAUGCCUUCUUGAGCUUGUACACAUGGUUGGGUUUCUUGUCAUCUUCAAAACCGGGAGGUUGUUCAACAUAAACCAAUUCAUUGAUGUAUCCAUUGAGAAAUGCACUCUUCACAUCCAUUUGAAAGAGCUUGAUGUUGUGGGCACAAGCAUAGGCUAAUAAUAUUCUAAUUGCCUCCAAUCUUGCAACCGGUGCAUAUGUUUCUCCAAAGUCAAGACCUUCAACUUGAGUGUAGCCUUGUGCUACUAAUCUUGCUUUGUUUCUCACAACUACACCAUCUUGAUCUUGCUUGUUUCUAAAGACCCACUUGGUACCAAUUACAUUGUGGUUCUUUGGCCUCUCAACAAGCUCCCACACUUGAUUUCUUGUGAAGUUGUUCAAUUCUUCAUGCAUGGCAUUUACCCAAUCGGAAUCCUUCAAUGCAUCUUCUAUCUUCUUUGGUUCCUCAAAUGAGAGAAAUGAGUAGUGCUCAUAAAAGGAUGCUAGCCUUGAUCUUGUUUGUACACCACUUUGAAUACCACCAAUGACUUGAUCCAAUGGAUGAUCCCUUGCUAUGCUUGUAGGUUGGAGAAUUGGGAGUUGAUUGCUUCCACUUGCUUGAUUUUGAUUUUGAUCAUCAUCAUGAGAGCCACUAGUACUAGUUUGAUUUGUAUCAAUUUGCACUUCUUGAUUGAUCAUGUGAAUGUCAUUAUCAUCAUCAACUUGCCUUGGCCUUAUGUCACCAACAUCCAUGUUCUUCAUUGCAUUUGUCAAUUAAUCUCCUCUCACAUCAUCAAGAAUUUGAGCUUCACUUUGAGAUCCCUCGGUUUCAUCAAACUCAACAUCAUGGACUUCUUCCAAUGUGCCACUUGCCAAGUUCUAAACUCUAUAUGCCUUGCUUGUAGUGGAAUAACCAAGCAAGAACCCUUCAGCACAUUUCUUAUCAAACUUGCUCAAUCUAGUGCCUUUCUUGAGAAUGUAGCAUUUGCAAUCAAACACUCUAAAGUAUGCAAUAUUGGGCUUUCUUCCAUUCAAUAGCUCAUAUGGUGUCUUCCCAGGCUUCCCAUGGCAAUAGAGACGGUUGCUACAAUAGCAAGCCAUGUUGAUGGGUUCACUCCAAAAUGAAUGGCUAACAUUGUAUUCACUAAGCAUUGAUCUAGCCAUAUCAAUCAAGGUUCUAUUCUUCCUUUCAACUACACCAUUGGAUUGAGGAGUGUAUGUUGGAGAGAAUUGAUGUCGAAUGCCAAGGUCAUCACAUAAUUCCUCAAUUCUUGUGUUCUUGAAUUCACCACCAUUGUCACUUCUAAUCUUCUUGAUAGUGGUUUCAAACUCAUUUUGCACCCUCUUGACAAAAGACUUGAAUAGAUCACAAACAUCACUCUUGUCAUAGAGGAAGAACACCCAAGUAUAUCUAGUGUAGUCAUCUACUAUCACAAAUCCAUACUUGUUGCCACCAAUGCUAGUGUAUGUUGUUGGCCCAAAUAAAUCCAUGUGCAAUAGCUCAAAUACCUUUGAUGUGCUCAUUUCACUUUUCUUAGGAUGUGCAUUUCCAACUUGCUUUCCGGCUUGACAAGCACUACAUGGUUUAUCCUUCUCAAAGGUGACAUCCUUCAAACCUCUAACUAAGUCAUGCCUCAAAAGUUUGUUCAAUUGUUUCAUUCCAACAUGACCAAGCCUUCUAUGCCACAACCAACCCAAACUUGAUUUGCUAAUUAGGCAUGAUGUCAAUUGAGUGUCACUAUCAUUGAAAUCAACCAAGUAUAAGCUACCAUGCCUAAAUCCUUUCAAUAUCAAGUUUGAUCCAUCAACACUAACAACCUCAACAUCAUCACUUCCAAAGAUGCACUUGAAACCAAGGUCACAAAGUUGUGCAAUUGACAAGAGAUUGAAAUCAAGGCUCUCAACUAGCAACACAUUUGAUAUGCUCAUGUCAUUUGAGAUAGCAAUUUUACCAAGCCCUUUGACCUUGCCUUUCUUAUUGUUGCCGAAAGUGAUAGAAUCAAAGCCACCAUUUUGAUUUGUAUCAAUUGAUUUGAACAUACAAGACUCUCCGGUCAUAUGUUGAGUGCACCCACUAUCCAGCACCCAAUGCCUUCCUCUGGCUUUGUAAUUGACCUACAAAACAAGAUCAAUUCUUUUUAGGUACCCAAACUUGAUUGGGUCCUCCAAGGUUAGCAACUAAGCUCUUUGGUACCCAAAUGACUUUCUUCUUUGAGCCCAUCCAUGGUGCACCAAUGAACUUAGCAUGAACACCUUUUAUAUCCUUGGUAAGCACAUAGAAAGAAUUAAGCUUAAAUGAGGAUACAUUGGCUUUGGGUUUCUUGUUCAUGCAUUGUUGCUCUAAGUGACCAACUUGCUUACAAGCUUUGCAAUACUGGCCAUUGUUCUUCACAAAACUAGUCUUGUGAGGAGCAAAGGUGGCCUUGCCUUUCUUGGGGUUGUAGCCUAAUCCCUAUUUAUAGAGAGAAGCUCUUUGGCUACCCAAGCACAUAAGCAAGCGGUCCUCACCACUAUAAGCCUUAGCUAAGGUGUGAUUGAGCUCUUUCACCUCCUUCUUGAGAAUUUCAUUCUCAACUUUAAGUGUGGUCUCACAUGUGAAACCAUCACCACUCGAUGAGGAUGAUGUAGAUGAGCUACAUGAAGGAUUAGUAGAAGCAACAACUAUAGGCUUACUUAAGAUAUCACAUGUUAGGCAUAUGUUGCAAGUUUUAGCUUUCUCAAUUUUAGUUGGCUCAUUUUCACAUUUGUUAACUAGAGAGGAAUGAGCUUCUUCAAGCUUAGUGUGAGCCUUUUGAAGCUUCUUAUGGUCUUCCUUUAGACUCUCAUAAGAUGCCUUAAGCUCAUCAAGUUCUUGCUCAAGGGUUUUCUUAUCCUUAAGCAAGGCCUUGCACUCCUUCCUAGUUUCUUUAUAGUGAUGAGUGCAAUCUUCUAGCAUAGUGAUUAGUUCAUCUUUAGUUGGUUCGUCAUCAUCACUAUCACUAUCAUGGUCACUCUCAUCAUUGGAUGAUACCUUAGUGGCCUUAGCCAUGAAGCAUGAUGGAGUGUCGAAGAUGGAGCUCUUUUCUUGAAUGGCAAUGCUAGCAUGCGCCUUCUUCUUGGUGCUCUCAUCAUCACUUGAGGAGUCAUCACUAUCCCAAGUUGCAACAUGGGCAUCACCCUUCUUCUUGUUUGAGCCUUCCUUCUUUUCUUGCUUCUUGUUUUGCUUCUUUCUUUCCUUCUUGAUAGCAUCUUCAUCAUCACUAUCAUAAAGACACUUGGCGAUGAGAUGAUCCUUGCUAUGGCAUCUAAAGCACCUCAUGGAGUAAUCAUUCUUCUUGGAAGAGUUCUUCUUUCUUCUUGCUCGAUAGCCCUUUUUCUUCAUGAACUUGCCAAAUCUUUUGACAAGAAGAGCCAUCUCCUCCUCAUCAUCACUAUCACAAGAGCUUGCUUCUUCUUCACUUGAUGAGUCUACCUUGGCUUUGCUCUUGGAUGUGGAGGCCUUGAAUGCCACACUCUUCUUCUUCUCAUCAUCCCUCUUUUCACCUUCCUUCUUCCUUUUCUUGACCAACUCAUCCUUCUCAUCAUCUUCUCUAUAAGCAUCAUCGGUCAUCACUUCUUGGAACACUUGUUGAGGAGUUGAUUCACUAAGUGUUGUCUUGACUAGCACGGUGAUCAAUGUGCCAAAUCUCUUGGGCAAGCUUCUUAAGAAUUUCAUAGAGAAUUGACUAUCAUUCACUUCUUCCCCAAGUGCCUUGAGCUCAUUCACAAUGACUUGCAACCGGUGAAACAUCUCCGGCACACUUUCAUCUUCUUACAUCUUGAAGCUUGAAAACUUUUCUUGGAGGAUGUAUCCUUUGGCGGUUUUGGUUCCCCUGGUGCCCUCAAAUGUUUCUUCUAAUUUUGCCCAUGCAUCAUGAGCAAUCUCAAUGUUCUUAAUUUGCUCAAAGGUCUUGUCAUCAAGAGCUUCAUGAAGAGCACUAAUGGCAAUAUCAUUGCAUUGUAGCUUCUUCUCUUCGACCGGUGUAGGUGCAUUUUCAUUUGCAACCUCAAACUUUGUUUUGAUCACAUUCCAAACCUCUCUAUUGAUUGACUUGAGAUGAGCGGUCAUCUUGGACUUCCAAUAUGCAUAAUUGGUGCCAUCAAACUAAGGUGCCUUCUUGGUGUUGUUGAUAUGCAAACUAAGAGCCAUUUCUUCACCGUAGGUUGUUAAGCCUCAAAUAAACGGUGCCUCGGCUCUGAUACCACUUGAAAGGUCCAAAUGGCUAGAGGUGGGGUGAAUAGCCUAUUUAAAAUUUCUACAAACUUCAAAUAGACAAGUUGAUUAGUAAAAUAAAAGGCGAAGUAAUUCUAGCACUAGCACAACUAAGCUAUGCAAGCCACCUACACAAGUCUAGCAAGAAAGCUAAACACUAGUUACAACAAGAAAGCACAACUAGAAGCUUGCUACACUCCUAAACAAGAAGAUUAAACUAAACAAGCUAAACAACUAGCAAGGUAAACAAGUAAGUAAAGGAGUGAAGAGUGAUUGUUAUACCAACGUUGUAGAGUAGAGAUAUAUCCAACCAAUCACUCACAAUUACAAGAGAAUCCUCGGCAAGAGAUGACACAAGAUUUUUUUACCGAGGUUCACUUGCUUCCCGGCAAGCUAGUCCUCGUUGUGGCGAUACACCCACUUGAUGGAUCACGAGCUAAUUGGCAAUCCAAAGACAAACCCUCAGCGGGUGCCACACAUCCACUCACAAGAUGGGGAUCCUCCAAGCCACGAGCAAUCCACUAGAGUAGUCAAUUGCGAUCUCCCACGGGGAAGGCUCAAGAACCCCUCACAAGUCACUUGGUGAGGCUCGAAACAAUCUCCAAUCAUGAGCUCAACACCACCGCUGCUCCAAGCCGUCUAGGGCAUCGGGAAACACCCAAGAGUAACAAGAAAUCCGUAGCAAACUCAAGAAUCAAGUGCCACUAAAUGCAACUCUCAAAGCAAUGCACUUGAAUCUCACUCAAUCAAACUAGGAUUAGCAAUCAAGCAAGGAGAUGAGUGAAGGGAGUGUUCUCUAGCUCAAAGUAUGGCUCAAGUAAUCAAAUGUGCAAGGGAGAACCCCCCAAAGCUGGCCACCAACUAUUUAUAAGCCCCCUCAAAGAACUAGUCGUUGGCCAGUUUCACUCGGCUGAAAACGGGGGCACAGGAUGCUACCAAGUGAGCACCGAACGCUCGACUCCCUGCGUCCGGUGCACUAGAGUUGGCCACGUGUCCGCCCUGAAUCUCGUGUGUUAGAUCCUAACGGUCACCUGCGGAUCACCGGACGCUCUGCAGAUCCACACCGGACGCGUCCGGUGCACACCGGACUCAUGCGCAGAGAGUUUCGCAAACCUGCGGGUCACCGGACGCUAAGCACCGGUAGCGUCCGGUGCUCACCGGACCCACGCGCAGAGAGGGUCGCAAAACACCCGCACACCGGACGCUAACCACCGGACGCUCUCACAGUGCGUCCGGUGCUCAACCCUAGCAGGGUCAAGCACACCGGACUCUGAGGCCAGCGUCCGGUGCCUUCGCGUACUGCGUCCGGUGAGUGUUUCUCAGUGAAAAACACUCCCGCGACUUCUCCAAAUUUCCGACCGGCGCAAUAGAAAACAUACACUUAAUUUUCUCAAAAGCGCCAAAUCUCGCCUCGUAAGCUCGGCGGGAGGGAGAGAGGAACCCAAACCCCUCUCAACCCUAGGAACUCCACCUCCUUUGCAAAUGUGCUAACACCAACACGUGUCCACCACCAAAGUGCAUGUGUGUUAGAUUUUCUCAAACAUUUUUCCCAAAGGAGUUAGGUUAGCACUUAACUAGAUUCUAAUGCAUAUGCUCAAGAUAUGGACCUAGUAGCACUUGAUUCGAGAGAUGACCGUGAUUUCCCCUCUUGAUAGUCGGCUAUCUAUCCUAAACCCGGUCAAUCACUUCUCUACUCAUCUUAGACCGGUAAAAGUAAAACCCUAUGUGUAUACCUUUGCCUUGAUCACUUUGCUCCUCGUCUAUCACCAUGAUCUUUACUUCAUGCUUCAUCCCUUUCUGAUCAUGUGACCACCUUUCCAUGCCACCAUACACCUUCAUCACAUGUGUUGCUAUGCCUAACUCAAAUCACUUAAACACAUAGCAUUAGCAACUUGGUGUCAUUAAUUACCAAAACCAAACUUGGGCUUUCACCCUCAUGAUAAGCUCUCACAUAGAAAUGAUGAAUAGUUGCUCUGCCAUGACUAGUUCUCAAAAUUGAAAUCUCUCAAGUUUAGGCACGACUGUUAUGAAUUAAGCUUUGCUCUAAACCUGAACUUGUGGGAAGAGUACCUGAUCAAAAGUCAAAGUCGUUAACAGAUAUGAUAUGGGAAGGUUGAGCUGCUGUUUAUAUGUUCUUAGAGAUACUAGAAUUCUAGAGAAUUUUAUCUUUGAAAAUCUUUAAAAUGUUGCAUGAUGAGUUCCUGUAUGAUGAGAGUUUAAAAUCCUACCACAGCCAUAUAUACAUGCUUAUUAGACUAUGAAGCAUACAUUUACUUUUUACUGCUUAUGAGCAUUGAGUGUGGUCAAGCUGUGUAGACCCUUAGGAGCUUGUCAUGCGGUUAAAAUCAAGAUUCACUUGCACGUUCACUCAUACAUGCUGCUUCUACUCCGGAAGUAUGCAUCCACAUACAUCCACUUAUUUCCAUCUCUAGAUUCACCCAAAAUUAUUCUACUCCUAUCCGGGAGAGAAUAGCCAAAAACAUUAUCCCAUUCCUGUUUUUCCCCGUAAAAUAAAUGCUCGAGAUAUUUUAGGUACUACCACUUGCUACAUUAUUCCAGGAGGGUGAGUGCUCUGAAAAAAAGUGAAUACGAGGAAAUAAAAAGGGGCAAGUGCCCGAAACCUCGAAGAAAAGAAAAAGUGAGACGAGAGGUAAAAUGGACAAGUGUCCGACAGUAGAAUUAGGGGUACAAGAUACCCACCUGAGAGAAAAGAAAAAAAAUAUAGAGCAUCUCAUUCUCCUCAAAAAGCUUCAAAGUGCAAGAAAGGUAUGUAUCCCCUCAAAAGAGCACAAGUAGAAUUAGACUUUCACCAUUGUUAUCACCAUCAUCACCAUACACCAUUCACUCGCCACACAUGCACAUCUUGAUUUGACUUAUUGACUUGUUCUUCUGGAUCCAUGGUUUGACUAUGCAAUAAAUGUCUUGUAAGUAUGUAUUAUCUAUCUCCUACCUAUGAGCUCCAGAUAUCAAAACCUUAGAGUAGGGUGAGAGAGCUUGGAUAGGAUCCAGAAAUACCACAAAAGAGAGAUUUGAGAGAGUCAUACAAGGAAACUCUGAGUUUUAUUUGAAAAUCUACAAAAAAAACUCCAGAGCUAUAGUUGAUCAAAGAACAAGAGACAUGGUGCUUGACUUGACCAUUCUAUCUUUUAACUGCUCAAGACAUAAGUGACAGUUGCAAGCCCCAUGGUGAAAGGUAAAAUGAGUAAGUUUAAAUCUUAACAGUUUACCCUAACCUAGAGAUGAGAUCUUGUUUGAACGCAUGUGUACCCUUAAGGCAUGAAACCACUAUAGAAACUCUUGAGUCCAUCCUUGCUCAGGGACGAGCAAGAGGUAAGCUUGGGGGAUGUUGGGUAUUUUAAACGCAAACAGAAAAAUCCGCAAGCGCACGGAUACCGAUGUAGCCUUCACCCGGGAGUAUUCCAGAGUAUCGAUUUUCCACAGAGAACGUGAGUGUACUAAUUAAGAUCCAAGAUCGCCCAAGGAUAACUAUAUAAUUAUUUUUGGUGGGAAGAGAGGAAGUUUCCUGAGAGUUCUCUAGUUGAUCUAAGAAUCAAGAAUUACUUCAAGAUUAUCUAUUUCGGGACAUCAGAGCACUAACCACAGAAAGAGAUGAGAAGGGGGUUAGGAAGGUCUGACUACGGUCCUACAAACACCGAUCCGAACGUGGUGGAAUACGUCGACCGUUAGGGCUGUCACUACCCUAAGGCUACCACAACAAUCCGCAGGAUUGGGUGCAAUUCCAGGUAAUUGCAAGACUAAACACCACGUCUAAUCUAUUAAUUACUACUCUAGCGUUAUAAAGACUAGAGCACUUGAUGCAAGCGGGAAUCCAAUAAAUAACUUGAAUGUAAAUAAAAGUAAUUAAAGAACUCAGGAAUUAUGAAUUGAAGAACCUGGAGAAUGAUGAAGAACGAACCAGUUGCUGCAAAAGUAUAAUGUUGAGGAAGAUCCGACAGAUCCGGCUCCUCCUCCGCUCUCCUCUUCUCUCUCCCUAUUUUCUAGAUUACAACUAGAACUAACUAGAACUAGAACUAGAGGAACUAGAACUAGAACUAGAUGAACUAGAACUAGAUCUAGAUGAACUAGAGGUAGAACUAGAAGAACUAGAGGGAUCCUCUCUACUUGGAUGAAGAAUUGAAACCCUAACUUUGAUUCUGUAGAAGAGGUAUGAUCUCCAGGGGCCAAGAGGGUCUGGUUUUAUAGUCCCUUCAAGUGAAUCUGGGACGUCGGAUCAAAACGACAUUGAUCUUGUGGUUUUCCUUGAAGUAUUAGGUCGGUGGAGUGUUGUCCCCGAAUUGGACUCUGUUUGGUCCAGGGGGGAGGGCGGGCGCCCAGUGCCCGGCUCCGUUACGUCUCCCGUUCGUUCCCAUGGCUUCUGGUGUCUUCUAGAUGGUAGAAAAUUGUGUGGCACGUUAAUAUCUCUAUGUAAACCUGACGUGUGGGCCUUUCUUUCGUAUUUCUUGAUAACCCCCUGCAGAAAUAGACAAACACCAAAACUUGUGGAAUUCUGUCAGAUAAAACCCUAAGUCUAGGUGUUUGUUGUAUUUGGAUCCUUUUCUAUGAUUAAUUGAUGGUUAAAUGUGAGCAUUAAGGACCGUCAACAAGCUCCCCCAAGCUUAACCUUUGCUCGUCCCUGAGCAAAGAUGAACUCAAGAGUUUCUGCAGUGGUUUCAUAACUUAAAGAUACACAUGCGUUUAAACAAGAUCUCAUCUCUGGUUAGAGUAAACUGUUAAGACUUAAAACUUACUCAUUUACCUUUCACCAUGGGACUUGUAACCGUCACUUCUGUCUUGAGUAGUUAAAAGAUAGAACAGUCUAGUCAAGCACCAUGUCUCUUGUUCUUCGAUUAACUAUAGCUCUGGAGUUUUUGCAGAUUUUCAAAUAAAACUCAGAGAUUCCUUGUAUGACCCUCUCUAGUCUCUCAUUUGUGGUAUUUCUGGAUCCUUACCAAGGCAGUAAUGCUGUAUGCCUUCUCUCAAAGUAUGUGGUAUUUUUGGUAUGGGGCAUAGUGGCAUUGCCUUCUCUCUCACCCUACUCUAAUAAGGUUUUGAUAUCUGGAGCUCAUAGGUGGGAGAUAGCUAAUACAUACUUACAAGACAUUUAUUGCAUAGUCAAACCAUGGAUCCAGAAGAACAAGUCAAUAAGUCAAAUCAAGAUGUGAAUGUGUGGCGAAUGAAUGGUGUAUGGUAAUGAUGGUGAUAACAAUGGUGAAAACAAUGGUGAAAGUCUAAUUCUACUUGUGCUCUUUUGAGGGGAUACAUACCUUUCUUGCUCUUUUGAAACUUUUUGAGGAGAAUGAGAUGCUCUAUAUUUUCUUUCUUUUCUCUCAGGUGGGUAUUUUGUACCCCUAAUUCUACUGUCGGACACUUGUCCAUUUUUACCUCUCGUCUCACUUUUUUUUCUUUUCUUUCGAGGUUCCGGGCACUUGCCCCUUUUUAUUUCCUCGUAUAUAUAUUUUUUUUCUCUUUUUUUUCUUUUUUUAAGAGCACUCAUCUCAUGAGAUAAUAUAGCAAGUGGUAAUGCAAAAAUGUUUUUGUCUAUUCUCUCCCGGAUUAGGAGUAGAAUAUUUUUAGGUGAUUCUGGAGAUGGAAAUGGGUGGAUAUAUGUGGAUGCGUACUUCCGGAGUAGAAGCAGCAUGUAUGAGUGAACGUGCAAGUGAAUCUUGAUUUAACCACAUGACAAGCUUCUAAGGGUCUACACAGCUUGACCACACUCAAUGCUCAUAAGUAGUAAAGUAAAUGUGUGGUUCAUAGUCUAGGAAGCAUGUAUAUACGGCUGUGGUAGGAAUUUAAACUCUCAUCAUACAGGAACUCAUCAUGCAACAUUUUAAAGAUUUUCAAAGAUAAAGUUCUCCAGAAUUCUAGCAUCUCUAGGAACAGAUAAAUAGCACCUCAACCUUCCCAUAUCAUAUCCGUUAACGACUUAGACUUUAGGUCAAGUACUCUCCCCACAAGUUCUGGUUUAGAGCAAAUCUUAAUUAAUAACAGUCAUGCCUAAACUUAAGAGAGAUUUCAAUUUUGAGAACUAAUCAUGGCAGAGCAACUACUCAUCAUAUCCAUGUGAGAGCUUAUCAUGAGGGUUCAUAGCAAACUUUAUUUAUUUAUUUAUUUAUUUAUUUAUUUAGCAAACUAAGCAAAGAUAUAUAUGUAUAAGCACAAAAUCUUUAUUUGGGUUUUUAUGAUCAUGCAUCUUUUUAUUAUUUGAGUAAAGUAUAAACGUGAGUAAAAUACUUAGCUGGAUAAAUGGGGGUGCUCUCCCCCAAGCUGGAUUUUGACGCAAUUUCUUCUGAUGUAGCUAGCAGGUGGCGGGGGUGUAAUUGAAUGUCGACAGCACCCUGACAGCGAUUAUGAUGUCCUCCGUCUGCUAGUCUUCUUUGAUCCUUGAAUUCUGUGGAGCUCAAAUAGAUAACAAAGCUUUGUGGAACUAGUUAAGUGUUAGCAUAAAUAUCUAGCCUUUAUCAUGUUGAGCCUCCUCAAUAAAUGUUACUCUUUUUAAUAGGAUUAUAAAUCUAUUUUUAUAUUUUAAUUUUUUUAUAGGACAGGAAUAUAUAUUUAUUUUAUUUUUAUGCCACCACAGUGAAUGUACUUAUGGGUUUUAUGCCAUGAGCAUACUCACAUGGGGCUUACUUAACAUUUUUAUUUCUUUUUAAGAUGAUAUGAACCUGAUUAACUAAGCAAACUAUUUUAAAUAAUUGAAGGGAAACGGAUAACUACCAAGUUUACUUCUUGACAAGGCGUUCGGUGUUUUUAAGUCAUCCGAACGGGACUCUCCAUAUUCUCAGUCAUCCUGGGAUUCGCUGGAUGGCGUAGUCGGUGGUCCCGGCGGCGCUUGGUCUUCAUGUAUAACUAUCUUCUCUCUACACACCUGACUCGGUGCUACGGUCUCCUUAGGAUAAUUCUGUUUAAGUUGUAUGUCUUCAGACUGUACUACUUCCCCUUCGUAGUCUGCCCAUCCAUCCUUGAUGAUUUGCCUCCUCUGGUUGCGGUUGCGUCAUCUUCUUCUUGUCCUGACCUGCUUAGAGUCUUUAACUAUAUAGUUAAGGUCAGUAAAAUAGUGGCAUACCUUCUCAGAGGGGAAGUGCAUGUGGACUUCUCCGGUUCCAAUGUAGAUGAUUGCUUUAACAGUGCUGAGAAACGGUCUUCCAAGGAUGAUGGGUGUAUCGUACUUGUCUUCUCCCAUGUCAAUAACCUGAAAGUCUCUCGGAAUGUCUGAUCUGCUAUCUGGAGCUGAAUGUAUGUUGGUUUUAGGGGCAUGGUUCCGAAUAGGAGCUGAUAGGUGACUGCGGCCAUUACGUUGACGUCAGAUCCGGUGUCGUAGAGUGUCUUCUGAAAAUAAUAUCCGUUGAUUGUGCACUCGAUGCUUGGAACACCAGGGUCGUCCUUCUUGGUCAGGAAUGGUGACUUGAGUUGACGAUCUUGACCUUCUUGAGCUGCAGUGACCAUCUUAGUUGACUCAGUCCACAUUUGCUUGUUUUUGUUCCUCCUGUUGGUCCUCUUCCUUGGUUCAUGUCGGGAAUGCUUUGAGAUUUGUGUAGUCUUAUUCUUGAAGGAAAAACGUCUCCUUCCUCCCCUUGAUGUAGAAACUGAUCUUUGCAGCACUAGCGUAGAUGAUAGCUCGAGAGGUGUUCAGGAAUGGCCUCCCUAGGAUGAUGGGUGCCCUCUCAUCAGUACCAGUCUCUAUCACCACGAAGUCUGCUGGGGCGUACAAGGUACCAACUCAGACGCAGAGGUUCCUGGGCAUAAUGUUGACGCUGGAGCCAAAGUCGCAGAGUGCUUCUAGAAAGUCCACCAUGCCGAUGGAGAUCGGGAUGACGGGGCAUCCUGGAUUGUCUCUCUUGACCGGCAGAAGGUCAGUAAUUACUUCCACAACAGGGUUACUCCAGUAGUUAUGUCCUCAAGCAUCUUAGGGCAGUGAUUGCCUGAGUGUCCAGUAUCUCCAGUGUGUUUGUGCUCGUAGAUCUAGGUUCUUCACUUGGUGGAGUCUGGGAGUUGUAAAAGUCCUUCUUAUUUUGCUUCAAGAGUACCUGCUCAUAGAGACAAGGCAGAGACCAAGUGCAUGGGCCCUAUUGGUGGAAAACACCAACAGAACCAAAAGUGUAUUUGUUCUUCUCUAACCUUAAGCAUAGUGAGCAAGACAAAGUUGAUGGAUAAUAAGAUCAUGAGUGUAGCAUUUAAAACAUUCGUCAGAUCAGAUCACUCAACCUAAUGGAAAGAUAAUCUAUCUAUACUUAUGUUUUUAUAUAUAUAUAUUUUCCAAAGAUUGAGUGUGCAACAUUUUAGCUCAUAAUAUUAGGAGUGUGGGAUCACAAAGGUAGAAGGACUAAACAUAUUGGAUCGAUUGGGUUGGUUAAUCUAGAGUUGUUAAUCAUACAUGUUUGUCUCUUUUAUUCAUGUGAACGUCAAAACCAAGGAGAAGCUUAUAAAAGUGAUAGUCAAGUACCUUAAGAUGUUACCUUAAUUGAAGAGUGAUGGUACAGUAUCACCUAUUGGAAGCUUUCCUUUCUUAGCGGUUGUGCAUCGUGUUUGUAGCACACUCCAUGGAUCAUCACUUGUGAGCUAUGCCUUCCUUGUGUAAAUUGUUAAACUUCAUGUGCCUCUCUCUUUGUCUCCAAUGUGAGUUUAUCUCAGGACUUCCCAGGUCGAUAUUGAAAGUUUUCCUACAGGGGUUAGUCCAACGAAAUAUCCAAUAUCUACUAUAGCAUACUAUCGGUUCAAAAAUCAACCUAGACACCAUGUCUAAUUUGAUUUAGGAGGGUAUUUUAACCUAAGCACCAUGCUUAAUCUAAAAUCCCUUGGAAGUAAGAUCAUCAUUCCUAGCUAAGCACCAUGCUUAAUUAAGAGAUAAAUGAAACUACUCCAAACCUAGACAUAUACUGAAGCAAAUAAAGGUAGCAUGAGAGCAUUUAUAGAGAUCUACUCAAGUGGAGAUGAAGUAGUAUGAUUAGUAUUUAACAAAUUGAGCAUGUCUCAAAGGUAGAGACAACCAACAUAGCAACAUGGCAAAUAAUGUUUUUAUGUAAAGUACUCCCCCAAGCUUGAAUUUUGCAAAAUUCAAGUUUGGAUGAAUUUAAUUCAAUGUUGUAUGAUGAUUGGUUGGACAUACCUUGUGCUUGUCAUUCAUCCGAUCUUCUUGCUCCAAUCCUAGAAAGGUUAGUGACAAGAAUACCCGAAGGAAUAUUUUUACAAUUAUCUUUAUAUGCUCAACACACAAGGUAAUGUUGCAAAUAAUUAAAAGCUCAUGUUAUGAUCUAAUCAGUGCUUGUUUUAGGACACUAAGCUUGUCCUUGGGAAACCAUCAAUUUAUGUCAGUGAAGUGGUUUCCCCUCCAACGCUGACCUAUAUCAAGAUCAACUCAACGAGAUCUGCAAUAUUUAAUAUAGACAUAUGCAUCGACAACCACCCUUUUAAAGUUUUUAUAAAUAGAAAGGAAGUGGGGGUUGGAGAUCUCGAAUGUGGUGAUGUUGGAGAGACCAAUGGAUUGUGAAGAUGUUGCAUAUGAGCAUGGAGUAAAUGAAGUGGCUAUGAAAUAAAUUGCAUGCUCAUUAAUGCUAAGAGUGAAAUCCAUGUGGUACGGUGAAAAUGGUAAGGUGAGUGUGGUAAAAAAAAAGGAAAAGAAAAAGGAUACACGGACGACUUGGUUCGAAACUAGCACAGCUACCGUUCUCCGGCAACGGUGCCAGAAAGCUUGUUGGGUAUUUUAAACGCAAACAGAAAAAUCCGCAAGCGCACGGAUACCGAUGUAGCCUUCACCCGGGAGUAUUCCAGAGUAUCGAUUUUCCACAGAGAACGUGAGUGUACUAAUUAAGAUCCAAGAUCGCCCAAGGAUAACUAUAUAAUUAUUUUUGGUGGGAAGAGAGGAAGUUUCCUGAGAGUUCUCUAGUUGAUCUAAGAAUCAAGAAUUACUUCAAGAUUAUCUAUUUCGGGAUAUCAGAGCACUAACCACAGAAAGAGAUGAGAAGGGGGUUAGGAAGGUCUGACUACGGUCCUACAAACAACGAUCCGAACGUGGUGGAAUACGUCGACCGUUAGGGCUGUCACUACCCUAAGGCUACCACAACAAUCCGCAGGAUUGGGUGCAAUUCCAGGUAAUUGCAAGACUAAACACCACGUCUAAUCUAUUAAUUACUACUCUAGCGCUAUAAAGACUAGAGCACUUGAUGCAAGCGGGAAUCCAAUAAAUAACUUGAAUGUAAAUAAAAGUAAUUAAAGAACUCAAGAAUUAUGAAUUGAAGAACCUGGAGAAUGAUGAAGAACGAACCAGUUGCUGCAAAAGUAUAAUGUUGAGGAAGAUCCAACAGAUCCGGCUCCUCCUCCGCUCUCCUCUUCUCUCUCCCUAUUUUCUAGAUUACAACUAGAACUAACUAGAACUAGAACUAGAACUAGAACUAGAGGAACUAGAACUAGAACUAGAUGAACUAGAACUAGAUCUAGAUGAACUAGAGGUAGAACUAGAAGAACUAGGGGGAUCCUCUCUACUUGGAUGAAGAAUUGAAACCCUAACUUUGAUUCUGUAGAAGAGGUAUGAUCUCUAGGGGCCAGGGGGGUCUGGUUUUAUAGUCCCUUCAAGUGAAUCUGGGUCGUCGGAUCAAACCGACAUUGAUCGUGUGGUUUUCCUUGAAGUAUUAGGUCGGUGGAGUGUUGUCCCCGAAUUGGACUCUGUUUGGUCUAGGGGGGAGGGCGGGCGCCCAGUAAGGGAGGGCGGGCGCCCAGUGCCCGGCUCCGUUACGUCUCCCGUUCGUUCCUGUGGCUUCUGGAGUCUUCUAGAUGGUAGAAAAUUGUGCGGCACGUUAAUAUCUCUAUGUAAACCCGACGUGUGGGCCUUUCUUUCGUAUUUCUUGAUAACCCCCUGCAGAAAUAGACAAACACCAAAACUUGUGGAAUUCUGUCAGAUAAAACCCUAAGUCUAGGUGUUUGUUACAUUUGGAUCCUUUUCUAUGAUUAGUUGAUGGUUAAAUGUGAGCAUUAAGGACCGACAGGGGAGUUGUUGACGGUCCUUAAGUACCAAAUUUAAUUAUCAAAUAAACAAAGAAAAGGAUCCAAAUGCAACCAACACCCAGAAUUAGGGUUUUAUCUGACAGAACUCCACAAGUUAAGUUUUGGUGUUUGUCUAUUUCUGCAGGGGGUUAUCAGGAAAUAUGGAGGAAAGGCCCACACUUUGGGUUUACGUAGAGAUAUUAACGUGCCCCGUAAUUUUCUAUCAUCUAGAAGACUCCAGAAGCCACGAGAACGAACGGGAGGCCGAGCGGGCCCGGGGGCAGGGCGCCCGCCCUCCCCACUUGGGCGCCGGCCCAGCUCUGGCAACCAAUCACGUUCAACUUCGCGGAUUAUGCUCCACCGACCUAAAGGAUCAAAGAGAACCGUUCAAUCAAUGUCGGUUUGAUCCGACGACCCAGAUUCACUUGAGGGGACUAUAUAAGCAGCCCCCUGGCCCCUGGAGGAGGCAAACCCCUUCAUCCUUAUUUAUUAUUCAUAGACAGAGCAAAAGCUAGGGUUUGGAGAUGAGAGCUCUCCUCUCAUCUCUAAACUAGAGUAGAUCUAGAUAGUAGCGAGAUGGAGAGCGAGGGAGGAUUGGAUGAGAGGCUGGCCUGUCGGUUCUUCCUCCGGUUGUACUUCGCCAUAAUCAAGCUCUAAUCAAGCUUGCUCAUGGGAUGACUCUGGUAAUCUACUUCUAUUUCAUUAUGCAAUUACUAUCCAUGUAUGUUCUGGUUCACAACUCUUUUGAGAACUUUAAUCUACAGUACGCUAUAGGUGAGAGUUGUAGUAUAGGUGUAAGCAUGGUGCUUAGACCUAGAUUACUUGUGGAUAUCGUCUGUCUAGCCGGAUCGUGUGGUAGGCCGCGUAGGUGACAGUUACGUUGGUCCCCUGUAGUCCACCUCCCGUUAGUAGGACUGGUAGGGUUUAUCGGCCUAUGGAUAAGCAUCCUUUAUGGUGUAUUCUUAUCACGUGGUGCGCCCCAGACAUAGACAUACCCCUUUGAAGUAGAGAAACCAUAGUUAUCCUCUCUAUUCUCCUACCAUCGCCCAUAUAUUAGAUUGCUCUACUCUCUAUUCUCAUAUUAUCACCCAUUGUUAUCUUACCUUUAAUAUUGUUCUUAUUCAAUUCUACCAUCUUUCCUAUUUACACCUACUUAUCUAUCUAGGUUGAGUUAGAGCAUAGAUCAGUUCUCCCGUUUCCCUGUGGAUACGAUAAAACCUUUAACCGGGUAAAAGCUACAAUGGUAUCCAUGCGCUUGCGGAUUUAUUUGUGUGCGUAUAAAUACCAUAGUACACUCUAGUGCCAUGCUGGGGAUGACAACCUAGUAUUCAAGUGGUGUUAGCAAGUGUCAACACUAGCAUGCCCCUUCUUCAUGGUGCUCUCAUCAUCACUUGAGGAGUCAUCACUAUCCCAAGUUGCAACAUGGGCAUCACCCUUCUUCUUGUUUGAGCCUUCCUUCUUUUCUUGCUUCUUCUUUUGCUUCUUUCUUUCCUUCUUGAUAGCAUGUUCAUCAUCACUAUCAUAGGGACACUUGGCGAUGAGAUGAUCCUUGCUAUGGCAUCUAAAGCACCUCAUGGAAUGGUCAUUCUUCUUGGAGGAGCUUUUCUUCCUUCUUGCCCGAUAGCCCUUCUUCAUAAACUUGCUAAAUCUCUUGACAAGUAGAGCCAUCUCCUCAUCUUCAUCACUAUCACAAGAGCUUGCUUCUUCUUCACUUGAUGAUUCUAUCUUGGCUUUGCCCUUGGACGAGGAGGUCCUGAAUGCCACACUUUUCUUCUUCUCAUCAUCCUUCUUCCACCAUACUUCUUCCUUUUCUUGAUCAACUCAUCCUUCUCAUCAUCUUCUCUAUAAGCAUCAUCGGUCAUCACUUCUUGGAAUACUUGUUGGGGAGUUGAUUCACUAAGAGUUGUCUUGACUAGUACGAUGAUCAAUGUGUCAAAUCUCUUGGGCAAGCUUCUCAAGAACUUCAUAGAGAAUUGACUAUCUUUUACUUCUACCCCAAGUGCCUUGAGUUCAUUCACUAUGACUUGCGACCGGUGAAACAUCUCCAACACACUUUCAUCAUUCUUGCAUCUUGAAGCUUGAAAACUUUUCUUGGAGGAUUGUUGGGUAUUUUAAACGCAAACAGAAAAAAUCCGCAAGCGCACGGAUACCGAUGUAGCUUUCACCCGGGAGUAUUCCAGAGUAUCGAUUUUCCACAGAGAACGUGAGUGUACUAAUUAAGAUCCAGGAUCGCCCAAGGAUAACUAUAUAAUUAUUUUUGGUGGGAAGAGAGGAAGUUUCCUGAGAGUUCUCUAGUUGAUCUAAGAAACAAGAAUUACCUCAAGAUUAUCUAUAUCGGGACAUCAGAGCACUAACCACAGAAAGAGAUGAGAAGGGGGCUAGGAAGGUCUGACUACGGUCCUACAAACACCGAUCCGAACGUGGUGGAAUACGUCGACCGUUAGGGCUGUCACUAUCCUAAGGCUACCACAACAAUCCGCAGGAUUGGGUGCAAUUUUAGGUAAUUGCAAGACUAAACACCACGUCUAAUCUAUUAAUUACUACUCUAAUGUUUCAAAGAUUAGAGCACUUGAUGCAAGCGGGAAUCCAAUAAAUAACUUGAAUGUAAAUAAAAGUAAUUAGAGAACUCAGGAGUUAUGAGUUGAAGAACCUGGAGAACGAUGAAGAACGAACCAGUUGCUGCAAAAGUACAAUGUUGAGGAAGAUCCGACAGAUCCGGCUCCUCCUCCGCUCUCCUCUUCUCUCUCCCUAUUUUCUAGAUUACAACUAGAACUAACUAGAACUAGAACUAGAGGAACUAGAACUAGAUGAACUAGAACUAGAUCUAGAUGAACUAGAGAUAGAACUAGAAGAACUAGAGGGAUCCUCUCUACUUGGAUGAAGAAUUGAAACCCUAACUUUGAUUCUGUAGAAGAGGUAUGAUCUCCAGGGGCCAGGGGGGUCUGGUUUUAUAGUCCCUUCAAGUGAAUCUGAGCCGUUGGAUCAAACCGACAUUGAUUGAACGGUUAUCCUUGAUCCUUUAGGUCGGUGGAGCAAUAUCCCGAAAGAGAGUCCUGAUUGGACUCUGGUUGAGGGCGGGCGCCCAGGAUAGGAGGGCGGGCGCCCUGUCCCUGAGUCCUCUCGGCCUCCGCUUCGGUCCCGUGGCUUCUGGAGUCUUCUAGAUGAUAGAAAAUUGCGUGGCACGUUAAUAUCUCUAUGUAAACCUGACGUGUGGGCCUUUCCUCCGUAUUUCCUGAUAACCCCCUGCAGAAAUAGACAAACACCAAAACUUGUGGAAUUCUGUCAGAUAAAACCCUAAGUCUAGGUGUUGGUUGCAUUUGGAUCAUUUUCUCUGAUUAGUUGAUGGUUAAAUAUGAGCAUUAAGGACCGUCAACAAGCUCCCCCAAGCUUAACCUUUGCUCGUCCCUGAGCAAAGAUGAACUCAAGAGUUUCUGCAGUGGUUUCAUAACUUAAAGAUACACAUGUGUUUAAACAAGAUCUCAUCUCUGGUUAGAGUAAACUGUUAAGACUUAAAACUUACUCAUUUACCUUUCACCAUGGGACUUGUAACCGUCACUUCUGUCUUGAGUAGUUAAAAGAUAGAACAGUCUAGUCAAGCACCAUGUCUCUUGUUCUUCGAUUAACUAUAGCUCUGGAGUUUUUGCAGAUUUUCAAAUAAAACUCAGAGAUUCCUUGUAUGACUCUCUCUAGUCUCUCAUUUGUGGUAUUUCUGGAUCCUUACCAAGGCAUUAAUGGUGUAUGCCUUCUCUCAGAGUAUGUGGUAUUUUUUGUAUAAGGCAUAGUGACAUUGCCUUCUCUCUCACCCUACUCUAAUAAGGUUUUGAUAUCUGGAGCUCAUAGGUGGGAGCCAGCUAAUACAUACUUACAAGACAUUUAUUGCAUAGUCAAACCAUGGAUCCAAAAGAACAAGUCAAUAAGUCAAAUCAAGAUGUGCAUGUGUGGCGAAUGAAUGGUGUAUGGUGAUGAUAGUGAUAACAAUGGUGAAAGUCUAAUUCUACUUUUGCCCUUUUGAAGGGAUGCAUACCUUCCUUGCUCUUUUGAAACUUUUGGGGAGAAUGAGAUGCUCUAUAUUUUCUUUUUUUUCUCUCAGGUGGGUAUCUUGUACCCCUAAUUCUACUGUCGGACACUUGUCCAUUUUUACCUCUCGUCUCACUUUUUCUUUAAUUUCGAGGUUCCGGGCACUUGCCCUUUUUUAUUUCCUCGUAUUCUUUCUUUUUUUUCUCUUUUUUUAGAGCACUCAUCUCAUGAGAUAAUAUAGCAAGUGGUAGUAACAAGAUAACUUGAGCAUUUAUUUCACAGCGGAAAAACAGAAAUAUUUUUGGCUAUUCUCUCCCAGAUUAGGAGUAGAAUAUUUUUGGGUAGUUCUGGAGAUGGAAAUGGAUGGAUAUAUGUGGAUGCGUACUUCCGGAGUAGAAGCAGCAUGUAUGAGUGAACGUGCAAGUGAAUCUUGAUUUUAACCGCAUGACAAGCUCCUAAGGGUCUACACAGCUUGACCACACUCAAUGCUCAUAAGCAGUAAAAAGUAAAUGUGUGGCUCAAAGUCUAGCAAGCAUGUAUAUCUGGCUGUGGUAGGAAUUUAAACUCUCAUCAUACAGGAACUCAUCAUGCAACAUUUUAAAAAUUUUCAAAGAUAAAAUUCUCUAGAAUUCUAGCAUCUCUAAGAACAGAUAAACAGCAGCUCAACCUUCCCAUAUCAUAUCCGUUAACGACUUAGACUUCAGAUCAAGUACUCUUCCCACAAGUUCAGGUUUAGAGCAAAUCUUAAUUAAUAACAGUUAGGCCUAAACUUGAGAGAGAUUUCAAUUUUGAGAACUAGUCAUGGCAGAGCAACUAUUCAUCAUUUCCAUGUGAGAGCUUAUCAUGAGGGUUCAUAGCAAACUUUAUUUAUUUAUUUAUUUAGCAAACUAAGCAAAGAUAUUUAUAAGCACAAAAUCUUUAUUUGAGUUUUUAUGAUCAUGCAUCUUUUUAUUAUUUGAGUAAAAUAUAAACGUGAGUAGAACACUUAGCUGGAUAAAUGGGGGUGCUCUCCCCCAAGCUGGAUUUUGACGUAAUUUCUUCUGAUGUAGCUAGCAGGUGGCGGAGGUGUAUUUGAAUGUCGGCAGCACCCUGACAGCGAUUAGGAUGUCCUCCGUCUGCUAGUCUUCUUUAAUCCUUGAAUUCUAUGGAGCUCAAAUAGACAACAAAACUUUGUGGAACUAGUUAAGUGUUAGCAUAAAAACUCUUAGCCGUUAUCAUGUUGAGCUUCCUCUAAUAAAUUUUACUCUCUUUGGUUGGAUCAUAAAUCUAUUUUUAUAAUUUUAUUUUUACAGGACAGGAAUAUAUUUAUUUUAUUUUUAUGCCACCACAGUGAAUGUACUUAUGGGUUUUAUGCCAUGAGCAUACUCACAUGGGGCUUACUUAACAUUUUUAUUUUCUUUUCAAGAUGAUAUGAACCUGAUUAACUAAGCAAACUAUUUUAAAAUAAUUGAAAGGAAAAAGAUAACUACCAAGUUUACCUCUUGGCAAGGCGUUCGGUGUUUUUAAGUCCUCCGAACGGGACUCUCCGUUUUCUCAGUCGUCCUGGGAUUCGCUGGAUGGCGUAGUCGGUGGUUCCGGCGGUGCCUCCUCUUCAUGUAUAACUAUCUUCUCUCUGCACACCUGACUCGGUGCUACGGUCUCCUCAGGACAGUUCUGUUCAAGUUGUUUGUCUUCAGACCUUACCACUUCUCCUUCGUAGUCUGCCCAUCCGUCCUUGAUGAUUUGCGUCCUCUGGUUGCGGUUGCGUCGUCUUCUUCUUGUCCUGACCUGCUUAGAGUCUUAAACUAUAUGGUUAGGGUUAGUAAAAUAGCGGCGUACCUUCUCAGAGGGGAAGUGCAUGUGGACUUCUCUGGUUCCAAUGUAGAUGAUUGCUUUAACGGUGCUGAGGAACGGCCUCCUAAGGAUGAUGGGUGGAUCGUACUCAUCUUCUCCCACAUCAAUAACUUGAAAAUCUUUCGGACUGUCUGAUCUGCCAUCUGGAGCUGAAUGUAUGUCGGUUUCAGGGGCAUGGUUCCGAAUAGGAGCUGAUAGGUGACUGGGUCGUCCUUUUUGGUUAGGUGACUUAAGUCGACGGUCUUGACCUCCUUGAACUGCAGUGACCAUCUUAGCUGACUCGGUCCACAUUCGCUUGUUCCUGUUCCUCCUGUUGGUCCUCUUCCUUGGUUUAUGUCGGGAAUGCUCUGAGAUUUGUGUAGUCUUAUUCUUGAAGGAAAACGUCUCCUUCCUCCCCUUGAUGUAGAAACUGAUCUUGGCAGCACUAGCGUAGAUGAUAGCUCCCGAGGUGUUCAGGAAUGGCCUCCAUAGGAUGAUGGGAGCCCUCUCAUCAGUACCAGUCCCUAUCACCACGAAGUCUGCUGGGGCGUACAAGGUACCAACUCGGACGUAGAGGUUCUUCAAUAUUCCCUUUGGGAAACUAAGCGUACGAUCUGCAAACUGCAAACACAUGGCUGUUUCUAAUAAAGGAUGUGUAAAGAAUUUUUCAUAGAGUACCCUGGGCAUAAUGUUGACACUGGAGCCAAAGUCGCAGAGUGCUUCUAGGAAGUCCACCAUGCCGAAGGAGAUCGGGAUGACGGGGCAUCCUGGAUUGUCUCUCUUGACCGGCAGAAGGUCAGUAAUUACUUCCACAACAGGGUUACUCCACUAGUUACGUCCUCAAGCAUCUAAGGGUAGUGAUUGCCUGAGUGUCCAGUAUCUCCAGUGUGUGUACUCGUUGAUCUAGGUUCUUCACAUGGUGGAGUCUGGGAGUUGUAAAAGUUCUUCAUAUUUUGCUCAAAGUGUACCUGCUCAUAGAGACAAGGCAGAGAUCAAGUGCAUGGGCCCUGUUGGUGGAAAACACCAACAGAACCAAAAGUGUAUUUGUUCUUCUCUAACCUUAAGCAUAGUGAGCAAGACAAAGUUGAUGGAUAAUAAGAUCAUGAGUGUAGCAUUUAAAACAUUUGUCAGAUCAGAUCACUCAACCUUAUGGAAAGAUAAUCUAUCUAAGCAAAUGUUUUUUUACAUGACUAUCAUUUUCCAAAGAUUGAGUGUGCAACAUUUUAGUUCAUAUGAUUAGGAGUGUGAGAUCACAAAGGUGGAAGGACUAAACAUGUUGAAUCGAUUGGGUUGGUUACUCUAGAGUUAUAAAUCAUACAUGUUUGUCUCAUUUAUUCAUGUGAACGUCAGAACCAAGGAGAAGCUUAUAAAAGUGAUAGUCAAGUACUUUAAGAUGUUACCUUACUUGAAGAGUGAUGGUACAGUAUCACCUUGUGGAAGCUUUCCUUUCUUAGCGGUUGUGCAUCGUGUUUGUGGCACCCUCCAUGGAUCAUCUCUUGUGAGCUAUGCCUUCCUUGUGUAAAUUGUUAACUUUCAUGUGUCUCUCUCUUUGUCUCCAAUGUGAGUUUAUCUCAGGACUUCCCAGGUCGAUAUUGAAAGUUUUCUUGCAGGGGUUAGUCCAACAAAAUAUCCAAUAUCUACUAUAGCAUACUAUCGGCUCAAAGAUCAACCUAGACACCAUGUCCAAUUUGAUUUAGGAGGGAAUUUAACCUAAGCAUCAUGCUUAAUUUAAAAUCCUUUGGAAGUAAGAUCAUCAUUCCUAAACUAAGCACCAUGCUUAAUUAAGAGAUAAAUGAAACUACUCCAAACCUAGACAUAUACUAAAGCAAAUAAAGGUAGCAUGAGAGCAUUUAUAGAGAUCUACUCAAGUGGAGAUGAUGUAGUGUGAUUAGUAUUUAACAAAUUGAGCAUGUCUCAAAGGUAGGGACAACCAACAUAGCAACAUGGCAAAUGAUGUUUUUAUGUAAAGUACUCCCCCAAGCUUGAAUUUUGCAAAAUUCAAGUUUGGAUGAAUUUAAUUCAAUGUUGUAUGAUGAUUGGUUGGACAUACCUUGUGCUUGUCAUUCAUCCGAUCUUCUUGCUUCAAUCCUGGAAAGGUUAGUGACAAGAAUACCCGAAGGAAUAUUUUUACAAUUAUCCUUAUAUGCUCAAUACACAAGGUAAAGUUGCAAAUAAUUAAAAGCUCAUGUUACGAUCUGAUCAAUGCUUGUUUUAGGACACUAAGCUUGUCCUUGGGAAACCAUCAAUUUAUGUCUGCGAAGUGGUUUCCCCUCCAACGCUGACCUAUAUCAAGAUCAACUCAACGAGAUCUGCAAAAUUUAUUAUAGAUAUAUGCAUCGACAACCGCCCUUUUAAAGUUUUUAUAAAUAGAAAGGAUGAGGGGGUUGGAGAUCUCGAAUGUGGUGAUGUUGGAGAGACCAAUGGAUUGGUAAGAUGUUGCAUAUGAGCAUGGAGUAAAUGAAGUGGCUACGAAAUAAAUUCCAUGCUCAUUAAUGCUUAGAGUGAAAUCCAUGUGGUAUGGUGAAAAUGGUAAGGUGAGUGUGGUACAAAAAAGGAAAAGAAAAAGGAUACACGGACGACUUGGUUCGAAACUAGCACAGCUACCAUUCCCCGGCAACGGCGGCAGAAAGCUUGUUGGGUAUUUUAAACGCAAACAGAAAAAAUCCGCAAGCUCACGGAUACCGAUGUAGCUUUCACCCGGGAGUAUUCCAGAGUAUCGAUUUUCCACAGAGAACGUGAGUGUACUAAGAUCCAAGAUCGCCCAAGGAUAACUAUAUAAUUAUUUUUGGUGGGAAGAGAGGAAGUUUCCUGAGAGUUCUCUAGUUGAUCUAAGAAUCAAGAAUUACCUCAAGAUUAUCUAUAUCGGGACAUCAGAGCACUAACCACAGAAAGAGAUGAGAAGGGGGCUAGGAAAGUCUGACUACGGUCCUACAAACACCGAUCCGAACGUGGUGGAAUACGUCGACCAUUAGGGCUGUCACUACCCUAAGGCUACCACAACAAUCUGCAGGAUUGGGUGCAAUUCCAGGUAAUUGCAAGACUAAACACCACGUCUAAUCUAUUAAUUACUACUCUAAUGUUUCAAAGAUUAGAGCACUUGAUGCAAGCGGGAACCCAAUAAAUAACUUGAAUGUAAAUAAAAGUAAUUAGAGAACUCAGGAGUUAUGUGUUGAAGAACCUGGAGAACGAUGAAGAACGAACCAGUUGCUGCAAAAGUACAAUGUUGAGGAAGAUCCGACAGAUCCGGCUCCUCCUCCGCUCUCCUCUUCUCUCUCCAGAACUAGAACUAGAGGAACUAGAACUAGAACUAGAUGAACUAGAACUAGAUCUAGAUGAACUAGAGGUAGAACUAGAAGAACUAGAGGGAUCCUCUCUACUUGGAUGAAGAAUUGAAACCCUAACUUUGAUUCUGUAGAAGAGGUAUGAUCUCCAGGGGCCAGGGGGUCUGGUUUUAUAGUCCCUUCAAGUGAAUCUGAGCCGUUGGAUCAAACCGACAUUGAUUGAACGGUUAUCCUUGAUCCUUUAGGUCGGUGGAGCAAUAUCCCGAAAGAGAGUCCUGAUUGGACUCUGGUUGAGGGCGGGCGCCCUGUCCCUGAGUCCUCUCGGCCUCCGCUUCGGUCCCGUGGCUUCUGGAGUCUUCUAGAUGAUAGAAAAUUGCAUGGCACGUUAAUAUCUCUAUGUAAACCUGACGUGUGGGCCUUUCCUCCGUAUUUCCUGAUAACCCCCUGCAGAAAUAGACAAACACCAAAACUUGUGGAAUUCUGUCAGAUAAAACCCUAAGUCUAGGUGUUGGUUGCAUUUGGAUCCUUUUCUCUGAUUAGUUGAUGGUUAAAUAUGAGCAUUAAGGACCGUCAACAAGGAUGUAUGCCUUGGCGGUCUUGGUUCCCUUGGUACCCUCAAAUGUUUCUUCUAAUUUUGCUCAUGCAUCAAGAGCAAUCUCAAUGUUCUUCAUUUGCUCAAAGGUCUUGUCAUCAAGAGCUUCAUGAAGAGCACUUAUUGCAAUGUCAUUACAUUGAAGCUUCUUUUCUUCAACCGGUGCUGGUGUAUUCUCAUUUGCAACCUCAAACUUUGUUUCGGUCACCUUCCAAACCUCUCUAUUGAUUGACUUAAGAUGAGCGGUCAUCUUGACCUUCCAAUAUGCAUAAUUUGUGCCAUCAAAGUAAGGUGCCUUCUUGGUGUUGUUGAUAUGCAAACUAAGAGUCAUUUUUUCACUGAAGGUUGUUAAGCCUCAAUUAAACGGUGCCUCGGCUUCGAUACCACUUGUAAGGUCCAAAUGGCUAGAGGGGGGGUGAAUAGCCUAUUUAAAAUUCUCUACAAAUUCAACUAGACAAGUUGGUUAGUAAAAUAAGUGGUGAAGCUUUUCUAGCACUAGCACAACUAAGCUAUGCAAGCCACCUACACAAGUCUAGCAAAAAGGCUAAACACUAAAACACAACAACUAGAGAAGGCUACACAACAACUCUAUACUAACAAUAACUAAGCUACGCAAGCUAAACUAACAAGGUAGGCAAGUAUGUAAAGAGAAGAGAGUGAUUGUUAUACCGACGUUGUAGAGAUGAGAUAUAUCCAAUCAAUCACGUACACAAUCACAAGAGAGACCUCGGCAAGAGAUGACACAAGAUUUUUUUACUAAGGUUCACUUGCUUCCCGGUAAGCUACUCCUCGUUGUGGCGAUACACCCACUUGAUGGAUCACGAGCUAAUUGGCAAUUCAAAGCCAAACCCUCAGCGUGUGCCGCACAUCCACUCACAAGAUGGGGAUCCUCCAAGCCACGAGCAAUCCACUAGAGUAGCCAAUUGCGAUCUCCCACGGGGAAGGCUCAAGAACCCCUCACAAAUCACUUGGUGAGGCUUGAAACAAUCUCCAAUCACGAGCUCAACACCACCACUGCUCCAAGCCGUCUAGGGCGUCGGGAAACACCCAAGAGUAACAAGAAAUCCGCAGCAAAACUCAAGAAUCAAGUGCCACUAAAUGCAACUCUCAAAGCAAUGCACUUGACUCUUACUCAAUCUCACUAGGAUUAGCAAUCAACCAAGGAGAUGAGUGGAGAGUGUGUUCUCUAGCUCAAUGUAUGCCUCAAGUAUUCAAAUGUGCAAGAGUAAACCUCCCAAAGCUAGGCACCUUCUAUUUAAAAGCCCCCUCAAAGAAAUAGUCGUUGGCCACUUUCAUUGGGCUAAAAUCGGGGGCACCGGACGCUACCAAGCGAGCACCGGACGCUCGACCCCCUGCGUCCGGUGUUCUAGGGUUGGCCACGUUAAAUAUCGCGCGUCAAACUCUAACGGUCUCCUGCGGACCACCGAACGCGACCAAGUGAGCACUGGACACGUCUGGUACUCACCGGACUCGUGCGCAGAGAGUUUGUAAAACUCAGAUCUCACCGGACUCGGAGCACCGGACGGUCCGGUGCUCACCAGACUCGUGCGCAGAGAGGGUUGCAAAACCCCCUCACACCAGACGCACACCACCGGAUGCACGCAGAGCAUCCGGUGCUCUCAGUCAGACACCCUCUGCUAAAAUCAGGCCACACCGGACGCAUGAACAGGGAACACCCUGCGUCCGGUGCAGUGCGUCCGGUGCUCAACCCUAACAGAGCCAAGCAUUGACAGCACACCGGACGCUCAGGCCAGCGUCCGGUGCCUCCGCGUACUGCGUCCGGUGUGAGAAACACUCCCGUGACAUCUCCAAUUUCCUAACAACGCAAUAGAAAAUAUACACUUAAUUUUCUCAAAAGCACCGAAUCUCGCCUCGCAAGCUCAGCGGGAGGGAGAGAGGAACCCACACCCCUCUCAACCCUAGGAACUCCACCUCCUUUGCAAAUGUGCUAACACCAACAAGUGUCCACCACCAAAGUGCAUAUGUGUUAGCUUUUCACAAACAUUUUCAUCAAAGGAGUUAAGUUGGCACUUUACUAGAUCCUAAUGCAUAUGCUCAAGAUAUGGACCUAGUAGCACUUGAUUCGAGAGAUGACCGUGAUUUCCCCUCUUGAUAGUCGGCUAUCUAUCCUAAAUUCGGUCAAUCACUUCUCUACUCAACUUAGACUGGCAAAAGUAAAACCCUAUGUUUAUACCUUUGCAUUGAUCACUUUACUCCUCGUCUAUCACCAAGAUCUUCCCUUCAUGUUUCAUCCCUUUGUGAUCAUGUGGCCACCUUUCCAUGCCACCAUGCAUCUUCAUCACAUGUGUUUCUAUGCCUAACUCAAAUCACUUAAACACAAGGUAUUAGCAACUUGGUGUCAUUAAUUACCAAAACCAAACUUGGGCUUUCAUCCUCCAUGAUCAGGAUGGCGUGCUUCUUGCCGUGGGAGCACGGGAAGGCGCCCACGGGCGGCGGCGCCGCUGUCGCGCGGCCUCGUCAUAUGCCACGGUGGCCCCUUCCGCGUGGCCUUCAUUUGGAUUCAGGGCAGGCAAUUGCAUGCUCGUGUGUACUCCUCCGACGCCGGCGAUGGCGUGGGCAUCUAGAGGUCGACGUGCGCAGAGGAGGAGACAAAGAUAGAGUCCACCACCUUGGGUGCUGGUGAUGGUGACCAUGCUCUAGCUCCGGCAACAUGUUCGAUGCAAUGUCUUAGAGAGAGGUAAACUUACCAGAAUGAGGAAGAGAUAAUUGUAUGCAAACCAAGUCAACCAACCAAACAAGAAAUCGUCCUAGCCAGGCUCAACCACAAAGGCAACCAAACAAAGAGGUCUUGGCUUGUUAGGGGUAGGCUUGGUGUAGCCUGGCUUGAUUUUACUAGUCUGGCCAGGUUAGAAAACGAACCAAACACACCCUAUGUUUUUGUGGUUGGAGAGAAUCUCACACCAAGAUGUAUGGGUGUGUUUGGUUCCCAUCCAGAUGUGGCCAAAUCUGCCCUGGGCUAGAUUUCACAUGUUUGGUUCCUUGUUCUAGGCUUGGGGCAUGGCCAGGAUGGGUCGGCCGUACGAUGUUGGCCUGGCCAGCCUUGAAAGGCCAAUUCGGCCUUCCCAACUGAGCCAGGCUCUGGCCAGCCUCCUGCCUAGGUUCCCGUCAUUGCUCCCAAACUUCUUCUCUGCAUCCUCCCGGUCCCCAACCCUACCUCCUCAGCAACUCCACGCCGGCGGCGGCGGCGUCCGUGAGGCAGGCCAGCGCGGAGACGAGACGCGCGAGGCGGCGGCGCCGGGCCGCCACAUCAGGUAGCACCCCGCGGCAGCGUCCGCCCAGAGGAGCUAGCAGCGGCGGCGCCGGGCGAAGCCAAGCGCGCGGUGGCCGGAGAUGCGGAUGGGGAAUCUCCGGUCGAGGCUCUCGGCGACGACGCGCAUGCGUGGGCGCAUCUCGGGGUCGGGCUCCUCGCACCGUGGGGUCGACUCGAGCACGACGUGGAAGACGGCCAGGACCUUCUUCUUGGCGUGCACCUCGCUGAGCAGUGUGGAGUCGACCACCUCCGAGCAGCGUGGGGUCGCCCAGGACCUUCUCCUUGGCGUGCACCUUGUCGUGCAUCUCGCUCCGUGCUCGCGCCCGCUCCAUGCGCCGGGCCAUGCUCCGUGCACGCCGCGCCCUGGCCUCCAGGUCUUCGCUCGUCCGGUACUGCUCUCCAGGAAGCUGUAUCCGUGUCCAUGUGGUGCUCGCUAGGUGUUCAUCAUGUGGUCUCCAAGAAGCUAUGCAGUUGUAGAUGGGCAAGUGCAGGGGAGAAGAUGAUGGACUGCUGCUGGUGCUAUGUUCCAUGUUUUUUUUGUAUGUUCGUGCUGAGCACCUGAGCUGCUGCCCGUCCGAUGGCGUUGGUGAGAAUUGGCGCACAGCAGGUGUUCGACGAAUUAUGUCAAAGGUGGUGAACUAACCUGUAUAAAAAAGAGGUGACUCUAUCCAAGCCAAACAACCCAACCAAACACACUAAAAGUUAGACAGGCUUAGAUAAUGCAUGCAACCAAACAAGUCCAUCUUGGCUCACUAGAGACAGGCUUGAUCUAGCCUGGCUUAUUUCCUAGCCAGGCUAGAAGAGAGACAGGAAACCAAACACACCCUAUAUUUCUGCAACUCGAUGAUGUUGGCGCAUUUGAAGUUGCUUGUGCAAGACUUGUGAAAGAUCCCACAUUGCCAAAGGAUCAAAUCAACUUGGCAGAGUGGGCGAUGAGGUGGCAGCGCCAGCAUUAGCUGGAAGCAAUCAUGGAUCCUCAUCUGGAUGGUGACUUCUCAUCAGAAUCACUAAAGAAGUUUGGUGAGAUUGCAAAGAAAUGUCUCGCUGAUGAUGGGAGAAGCAUGCCAUCAAUGGGUGAGGUCCUGUGGCAUCUUGAGUAUGUGCUGUAGCUCCGUGAAGGUUACAAGCGAAAUGUAGAGUUCGAAAUAUUUAGAAGCGGUGAGUUGGAAUUCGCUGAUAUAUCCUUUAGCCUCCCUCACAUCAGAGAGGGGGAAGAGGAACGCCACUCUAUGCCAUCAAGUAUCAGAGAGGAACUAGACACAUGAGAACUUCUGACUUCAGCAAAAACUCACUGAAAAAUCUUGCUUUGUAGCCAUGAUCUUGAUGUAAAGUUGUGUUAGAGCAUCUCCAAAAGCCUUUCUAAAUCUCACUGUCUAAAUCAUCAUUUGGAGAGCCAUUUGCAUAAAAAUCGUUUUCUAUAUUUUUUUCACUCUCCAACAGUUUUGCUAAAUCUCAUGCACACUCUAGAGAGUCAUUCUUGUCUUCUAUAUUUGGCUAGCGAAAAAUUCAGAAUAGACAAUGUCUAUAUUUGGAUGACCAUUUAGAGAAGGAGGGUAAUUUUUCAUCAGAAUCUCUAUUCCUAGCAUUUAGAAAGAAUAUAUAGAGUCUCUUGGAGAUGCUCUUAUAUUGUUCUCUUAGUUUUUUUAGCUGUGUCAGUUGCUUCUUAUUCCUUUGGGCGUUCUUCCUGCCUGACAAGUGUAGAAUAAUAGUGUUUUUUUCUUGCGUAGAUUACCAAACCCCGCCAAAAAAAGGACACAGAAGUGUCAAGAUUUUCCUUGACAUCUGUAUCAUGAAAUUUGCAUAACCACCGUCCAUGUACUGCUGCCUGAAUGACCUGUAUAAAUGACACUGACAACUAUAGUGGAUAUCUUUAAGGAUAUAUUGUUGACCUGGCUUCUUUGUACCAAUGCAUUGUAAUUUGUAACCAUGUCGCUGGCUUGCUGUUGCCAGUGAACAGUUCUAAAGUGCUGUGACAGGGAUAAUAUGUUGAGACCACCAGAUAACUGGAACCGAUCAGAAAGUGUAUAUACUGAACACUGGCAUUAGAAUUCCACCCACCUAUGCACGAAAUAACCGUUUACGCAGUGACAGGCAUAGUUGAACUGCACCAGAUGACCUUUUUGUGCUUCAAGCCUAGGCAAGGUACCAAAUCCAGGCAAAAGAAAUUGAACUAACAUUAUCAAAUGAAAUAGUUUUGUUUAUGCUUGCAAGGCUAAUAGUCAACUGCAUACAAGGGCCUAUAAUACUGAUAAGCGAUCCUGGAUCUCAACAUUUGCAAUGGAAUAGUAAAAACAACAAAAUGUAGAACCACCACACAUAACAAAAUUAAUUUGGCACAUCAGUAAGCAUGAGGAUAGGAAUUUCUACAACCAAACUGUAUAAGAGUGAGUAGUAACGGCUAUUAGGGAUAUGUGCAUUCUGAAAUCACAAAAUCAAAUCAAUUCCUGUACACAAUUAUUAAAAUAAGUGCUAUUCAAAAUCCUGUACGCAAGCAUGAGACCCAUCAAUAAUGACAACAACUCAGCGCUAUACUUCCAACGCUGUGCACCAGUAAAGCAGUCUGAUUUCUGGUCAGCUUAUGAAUGUCAUAGUUAUCAUAAUAUUAACAAAUUAUAGCUUCAAAAUUUUAUAGCAAGAGUGAAACGUAAAUAGAUAAGUAUCAUUUCGGUUCUCGAUUUUUAUGAAUACUUGAUAAUUUUUUUCUCCCGUUGCAACGCACGCACACGUUUGCUAAUAAAAAGUUUAAAUGGAGACGAAUGGCUUUACUUUUUAGUAUGGAGUAUAUAUAGUAAAUAAAAUAAUAGACUUGUCGUCUUCCCUCAAACCCAACUUGAAAUAUGUUCGAGGCCCGGCCUAAAAUCAAGUACCUCGAGCCCAACUUGUGUUCGAGGCCCGGCCAAAAAAUCAAGCCUGCCAGAGAGCUCGUUGACAGCCCGCUGCCCUCAGGCUCAGCUCACAGCUCACCUCCUCUCUCUUCUCGACUCCUCUCUUCUCCGUCUCCUCCCGAUCCCGGUCGGGGGAAUUUGUUGGGGGAGAAGAAGCGAGGGGGAGAGAGCUAAACUAGGGUUCAGGGGAUUCGGGGCCGAGAGGUGCACGAUGAGCAUCGUGCCCAAGGAGACGAUUGAGGUCAUCGCUCAGAGCGUCGGCAUCCCCAGCCUCGGCGCCGAUGUCGCCGUCGCGCUCGCCCCCGACGUCGAAUACCGCCUCCGCGAGAUCAUGCAGGUCAGGCCCCGCCCCCCUUGCCUAGGGUGUACUUGUUUAUGAUGUGAGAAUUGAGAUGGAAUGUUGAGGGCUGCAUGAUGGGAUAAACUUGUCAAGUGAGAUGGUGUUUGUUUUUCGACUGCUACAACUGGUGGAAAAGUCUUUUUUUUUAUUUUUUUCAACUGAUAAUUCGAGUUAUGCUACUUAAUUAGUUGAGCGCAUACAAUUCUUUCCCUUUAGGGAUGUAGAACUUAGUUGGACAUCAUAAUUUUGUCAAAGUACUAGUGGGGUUUGAUACGGAAGACUGUCCUACGGCCAGAUAUUUCAUUAGCUAGUGUUUUUCAUAAUUCAUUUCUUUGUGGAUACUGUCUUUUCCCUUUCUGCCGCUUGUGCUAAUUUAUGCUAAACUUAUAAUCACACAAGUCUUCAUGAAACCUUGCAGUUUUACUACUUCUUCUGCCAUUGUGAUGAUCCCAUUUUCUGUGUUUUGCAUCAGGAAUCCAUUAAAUGUAUGCGGCAUGCAAAGCGGACUGUUCUGACGGCGGAUGAUGUUGACAGUGCCCUGGGCCUCAGGAAUGUUGAGGUGAAUUACCUUCCUAUGCUAAAAUUUUUGGAUACUUGCAAUGUAGGCUUAUAUAGGUCCACUAUGGAAAAAGUCUACAUCACCCCCUGAACUAUAGGGUGGUGUCUACUUUACCCCUCGAACUAUGAAACAGUCUAAUUUACCUCUGAACUAUCCAAAACCGUUCAAAUCACACCUCUGAGUGGUUUUUUAUGGCGGUUUUGCUACAGUAACUAUAGUUUUGCUACAGUAAUUGUGGUUUUGACUUUUUCUUUUUCUCUAUUUGUUUUCAUAUAAUCUUUGAAAAAUCAUAGAAAAAAUAUAAAAUAUAAAAUCUAAUUUUGUUGGACUCCGCAUGAGUAGAUCUACGCAAUGAAUAUAUAAUGUGUUAUACUUUAAUACAAAUUUUUUCUAUAAUUUAAAUUAGUUAGAAAAAUCAAUUUUAUCUGUAAUUAAUUGGAAUAAUUCAUAGCUGCAGCUUCUGUGGUCCAAUUGUGGUGAAAUUUUUAUGGUGGACUAAUUAUUCUACGCUUGAACUAUAGUAAAUAUUUCAUACUCAAUGGAUCAUAAACCUAAGUUAUUAUGGUGAAUUAUUAAAGUAGUUAUAUAUUUAAUUAUAUUUAACAAGCAUAAACCUGAAUAACCGGAAUUAACUUAGUUAUACAUGAUCCGAUGAGUAUGAAAUAUUUACUAUAGUUCAAGCAUAGAAUAAUUAGUCCAUCAUAAAAAUUUCACUACAAUUGGACCACAGGAGCUGCAACUAUGAUUUAUUCCAAUUAAUUACAGAUAAAAUUUGAUUUUUCUAACUAAUUUAAAGCUACAGAAAAAAAUUGUACUAAAGUAUACCAUAUUAUAUAUUCAUUACGUAGAUCUACUCAUAUGGAGUCCAACAAAAUUAGAUUUUCUAUUUUAUGAUUUUUCUAUGAUUUUCUAUGAUUUUUUAAAGCUUAUAUGAAAACAAAUAGGGAAAAAGAAAAAGUCAAAACCACAGUAUUGUAGCAAAACCGCUAUCAAAAACCGUCUGGGGGUGAUUUAAACGGUUUUGGAUAGUUUAGGGGGUAAAUUAGACUGUUUCAUAGUUCGGGGGGUAAAGUAGACACCACCCUAUAGUUCAGGGGGUGAUGUAGACUUUUUCCGGUCCACUAUGCACUUGUGAAUUGGUAGCUAAUAAAUUUAGAAUCCUUUUUUUUGUCGUAUUGUUUUUCUGAAUCAUGUUCAGAACUUCCAAAACGUGUAACUACAACCAACUUUUAGAUUUUGAUAAGUAUCUUUAUGGUAUGUAAAUGAUAUUCAACUUACGACCUCCACUUGCAUAUUUGGUUCAGUAAACAAUCGAACAAGUAGUUUUUGGAGGAUGAUUCCAUGUAUUUGUUAUCUCGAAAUUCCAUCUCAGAAAUCUUUAGAAAAAUUGGUUUUUGCUUUACUGGUACAUAGUUGUUUUUACUACAGUUGUAAUAUUGGUUCCUCAGUUCAUAGAUGUAAUUUUCUGACUAGAAUUUUCUCAGCAAGUAAAGCUCUUUGAUUAGCUUCUUUUUGUUGAAACUGACUGCCUUAUGCAAUUUUUCGUCAUACUUUUAUAUUGAAGAGUGUCAAAAUUCCUCUGCUAGACCUUAUUUUGUUUGAACUGACUCUGCUGUUUCAUUACUAUGGGUUCUCAAUCAGCCUGUGUAUGGAUUUGCUUCUGGUGACCCAUUGCGUUUUAAGAGAGCUGUUGGGCAUAAAGAUCUCUUCUAUCUUGAUGAUCGGGAGGUAGACUUCAAAGAGGUAGGGGCAAUAUUAAUGAUUAUUAAAUUUUCGUACCACUUAUUUCAAAAUCAUUAAUUUGAAAUGUUUCUUCAUGGUUGGUGUUAUGCAGAUUAUUGAAGCUCCUCUGCCCAAAGCCCCACUGGACACAUCAGUUGUAGCCCAUUGGCUAGCGAUUGAGGGGGUACAGCCUGCAAUACCGGAGAAUCCUGCUAUUGACGGUUUGCUCUUUUUGUCCAGAGAUUUAUAGUCCUUUUCUCCUUGGCAAGAUGUAGUUACAUUCUUCUCUAAUAUUGAGAGAAAAAACACUUGUUGUGACAAAUAGCAUUUUAUUUCAGCAAUUGUACCACCAACUGAAAAUAAAAGGUCUGAGCAUGGUAAGGAUGAUGGACUGCCAGUUGACAUCAAGCUUCCUGUUAAGCAUGUAUUAUCUAGAGAACUACAGGUACUUUGAUUAUGAUACUGUGCAAUAUUGCUCAUAUAUUUCCAAGAAACUUAUAUACCUCUUCACUAUUUGGUUUUGCAGAUGUACUUUGAUAAAAUAGCUGAGCUUACUAUGAGUAGAUCUGAUACAUCCCUUUUUAAAGAAGCUUUAGUGAGCUUGGCAAAAGAUUCUGGUCUUCAUCCUUUGGUUCCUUACUUUUCCUACUUCAUUGCAGACGAGGUUGUACAGUAGCUUUCUUGCUUUUGGUGUUAUUUUCUUGAGAUGGAAUUACUUAAGUGUGUAUCCAUCUGAAUUUCAGGUUACCCGGAGUUUGGGUGAUCUUCCUGUUUUAUUUGCUCUAAUGAGAGUAGUCCAAAGUCUUCUCCGUAAUCCACAUAUUCAUAUUGAACCUUAUGUAAGUGGUAAACCAUAAAGUUUUGAUAGUUCAUGUGUGUGACUUAUUUUUUAGUCAUUUUGGAUAUUCUUUUCAUCAUAUUAGUCCUAAAUUAGCAAUAUUUGUCUUGAUUUGUAGUUGCACCAGCUGAUGCCAUCAAUGAUCACUUGCAUUGUUGCAAAAAGGCUAGGGCAUAGGCUCUCAGAUAAUCACUGGGAACUUAGAGACUUCUCUGCCAAUUUGGUCGCCUCGGUAUGUCGGAGGUGAGUGAUAUGUGAAGGGUGUCAGUAGGUCCUUUGUAUAAUUAUCAAAUUUUAAUUCAAUUACAUUUAUGAUUUCAACUCCUUGGUCCCAUAUUAUACUCUUAAAGAACAGCUCAUAUGAAAGGUGCCCAUGAAAGUGCUUUAUCUUAGUUAUUGCUAAAAUGCUAUCUUAUCGACAGGUUUAAGAUGAAGGUCAAUUCAAUAAUAGUUUGACCACCAUUUCAUACUCUUUCUUCCAUAUAUAUAAGAUUUUAUUACUAUUUUGUGGGAUCUUGCUAUAUAUGACAUGAUCAGUUUCAUGGCAACUUACAUCUUCUUUAGCGGAGAACAUACCAAUAAACCAUUGCAUGGCUUUGCGGCUUUGCUACUGAGUACACUACAUAUUGUGUUCCUUUUAGAGACCAAAUGGUAAAUAAAUAUUUUCACUAUGCUGUGUGUGGACAGAAGAUUUAUUUCAGUUCUAUCUUCAUGCAUUUGUUGGGCGGGUCAUGACUUGUUCGUGUCUUAUGUGUUCCCCAUAAAUCCAUUUUCUUUUGGAAUUGAUAGAUCCAUAGCCUUUUGCAUACUCUGCUCAUGGAGUGUGAGUCCUUUUCUAAAUGAUAAUCUCUAGCUCUCUUUGCUAAUUGGUCUUUUCUGUAUGUAGUAAUUGGCUAAUUGCCUUAAUAAUUUUCUCAUGACAUUGUUGAUCAACUGAAGAUUAUCGUUUUCAGGUUUGGUCAUGUCUAUCACAACCUUCAAAAUCGGUUAACUAAAACAUUGAUCCAUGCAUUUCUUGAUCCUGCCAAAUCACUGACACAACAUUAUGGUGCUGUUCAAGGGAUAUCUGCAUUGGGUCCCAGCGCGGUAGAUCCCAUUCAAAACUCACUUUUUGUAUUAGUUUUGCACUGGCUGAUGUUUUUUUCUGCUUGCCAGAUUAGACUUCUUCUUUUGCCCAACCUUGUAACAUAUAUGCAACUUCUGGAGCCGGAACUGCAGCUUGAGAAGCAGAAAAACGAGAUGAAAAGGAAGGAAGCUUGGCGUGUUUAUGGUGCCUUGCUGGUGAGUUUAGAGUUUUCAGUCAAUAUAAUGUUUUCUGUAUUUUGGUUCACCAACUAAUUCCAAGCAAAGUCUCUCACCACUGGGAUGCAUUUUUUAGUGUGCUGCAGGCAAAUGCUUGUAUGAUCGGUUGAAAUUAUUUCCUGGUUUGCUUUCUCCAUCGAUGCGGCCUCUUUUACGGAGCAACAAAAGGGUCUCAACCAACAACCCAAGUAAGUGUUGAAUAUAAGCACACUAUCAGUUGAAUAUAUGCCAGUAGACACAUGUUGACUGGCGGUUAAGUGCCAAAUGGUCCUUGCUGUCAGCAGUUGAAUUAGUAGAGUUUGAAAGUAAAGAGUAUGUUGCGCUGCAAAUUUCAGAUAAGCGAAAAUCUAGCACAAAUCUCUCUGCAACUCAGCCACCUCUGAAGAAGAUGGCAACAGACGCAACAGCCAACUCCAUGGCCUCAGCUUCCAUGGGAGGAAACAUGCAAGGUGCCAUGGAUGGCUUUCCUAACCAGUUAGCCAACCCUGGCAUGAUGCAGGCCUCGUCCUCUGGCCAGAUAGUGGAGAGCAUCCCAUCAGCUGUGAUCCGGAGAGAUCAGGGCAGUGAUCUCGCACAGAGAGUUUCUGCAGUGCUUAGGCAAGCUUGGAAGGAGGAUCAGGACACCGGUCAUCUCUUGGGGUCUCUGUACGAUGUCUUUGGUGAAGCCAUCUUCUCCUUUGUCCAACCACCAGAGAUAUCCUUGUUUGUGUAGAGAGGAAAUGCAUAGGCGAGGGUUUCAUUAAUCUACGCUAUUGUAGGGAUAUUUUGCAGAGUUCACGAAGCGCUAUAAUGUAAUGCCAGCUGUAGUUUACUCAGUACUGCAUGUAUUUGUAACAUAUUCCAGUUAUGUAUACUAUGUUGCAUAGCCUGCUGCUGCUGCAAAUUUACAACUGUAUGUUACUGUAGCUAGAACUAGAGCACCUGCAGCAGCUGUGGCGUUAGGCGUUAAGCAGAAGCGAACAGUUUCAAGUAUGUCUAUCUACAUGCAUUUUGUGGUGGCGUUAACAUUCAGGUGGCAUAGUUUGCUUUUGUAAGUGCUUACUCUUCAUCCAAAAUAAGGACACAGUUAACGCGUGACCUGUUGUGCACUAGGACGUGACCUUGUUCAUCUUCCACCUUAGGCAUCCGCCUCUGUCUCUGCCUUCCUCACCUGCUGUUCCUAGCUAGUGGUUGGGUUGCCCCACCACUUGCCCUCGUCACCCUCCUUGUCCUCAUCCCUGUUGUCAGCCAUCGCCCCGCCAUGGGCGUGCUAGAGAGCUUCGGUGAACCCUAGCGCGCUAGUGGUGGUUGCCUUCUUCCCCCCCUCCUGCGAUGAUAAGCUCUUGUCGUGGCUACCUUCCUCUUCUCCCCCCCCCCUCCUACGAUGAUAAGCUCUUGUCGUGGCUACCUUCCUCUAGCCAUGGCAUCCCUGGCCCUCCUUGGCUUGGGUGCCUCCACCACCAUCAGGGCCCAAACCGUUCAGCCUCCUUCCUUGCUGCCUGGGCGGUCUACCUCUCUAGGGCCUCUUCCUUCUAAGCUCACUGGAGUUGGCUUCCUUCUCCCUCUCUGGUGACCUCCUCGUCGUCUUCGACAAGCUUCUCGUCGAAACCCUAUGUGACUUCUUCCUCUCUGCACGUGUAGAGCUCGCGGUGAGCACAGGAGGGAGGAAGAGAGGCGGUGGAGGAAGGAGAAGAAUGCGGGGAGAAGGCGAGUGCGAGGGCGACUGGUUGCGCAUGCCUACCGCGUAUUAGAGUUUGCGCUAAAUAAGUGCCAUUCUAGUCUUGUAUGCUUGUCACAAAAUAAACGUCAUUCUCACACAUUUUUCUUCUUCCAAUUCAUCUCUGUUUUCUCUUCUCCAAUACAUUUCUAUCUUUUCCGUUUCCUGAAAUUGACCUGCACUGAUCCCUUGAUGUGAGGAACAGUGGCUCAGAUUUAUGAUGUAAUAUCACAUCCUUUCCAGGGUCUUGCAUGAAAAAUGACCGGCUAAAACUAAAAAAAAAAAACAUGUACGUGACGAUAUGAGCCCCUCGCGGGUUUGGUUCCCUCCCUUAUCCUAUUUCGCUCAUGGCGCUUCUCCUGCGCCUCGCUGCUCCGUCAGCGCCGCCCCGGCGGAGCUCCGGCGGCAGGGCUUUGCCGCGCGUCGUCCUCCCGGAGGCCAUUUCCAGUGAGUGCCACCCAAGUCCUCCUCCGUCCGUUUCCCUCUUUUCCUUGCAUGGCCAUUCCCUCUUUUUCUUUGGAAUUUGGUCUAAUACCUGACUACCUGUAGACGUGCCACGCCUCAAUUUCUCGUGGCCUCCGUUCCUAUCGUUUCACGCUGGCUUAUCCAAUCCAUUGCUCCUCUGAGCAGCAGUUACCUCCAGCCCGUGUGCUCUUCUGGUCUCUAUCGCCUCCGAACUGCUGCGCACCGGAGCUGCUCGACGAAAUGCUCGUUGCUCGCCAUCUCCUCUCUACUUCGGUUCUUUCUGUUUGUUGUACUUGUGCGUGUGCCACUGAAUGUUACUGCAAGCUGCUGGUCUGGUGCUCAGUGCUGUAGUCGUCACAGUGAGGUUUCUAUGAAUCGCAGUGAUAGGAGCUUUAGGGACUCUGAAAUCUUGCGAGAGUGCGAGACGAUGUCUCAUGGGCCAUUGUGUUUUGGUUGAUCCAUUUUCCAAUGGCUGCCUGGAGAUGUGUUUGAUACCAGGUUCACAACUUCAAUAUAUAAUCUCAAAGUCAGCGUGUGCGGGGACUGCCCAAUACAGCCUUUAUUUUUUAAUCUUGUUUGGGCAGAUGACAACUCUUGGCAUCCAGAUCCUUUCCCCCAUAACCUUUUGUUAGUGAUGAUAAUUUGGUCUGAGAGAGGGCCUGUUGUUAAACAUGUCGACGAUUAACUAGUCUUAGCAAGUUUUUCUUGCUCUUUCUUGUGAUGUGAGAGAAGAGGGCAGUAUUAUCCUAAGAGGUGUUGUUUGACUUCAGUAUAGCUGUGCUAAUGCUUAGCUAGGUGCUUUUGUUAUUGUGAGGGGCUCUUAUGCAAUAUGCACUCCCUUUAAAAGGAAAUACAGCUUUGACCUUUGAAUAGCCUCCAUUCUAGAACUUGCUUCUAUCACGUAUUCACGUCCACAUCUCUCCAUUGCUACAUAGCAGCAUAUAUCUCUGGUUACUUGCACUAUGCGCUUAAAGUGAGUGCUUUUGUAACAAAAUCACUCACUUUAAGUUUGUAAAUUCUUUGUUUGCCUAGAAGAGUAUUGCCACUUGGUCUUUAAUGUUUCAUCCUUGCUUUGUGGUUCUGCCUGAAAACCAGGAAAGAAAAAUUCCAUCUUUUUGUUGCCAUUCCCAUGCAUGUAUUAUUUCCAUAGGAUCACAUUGUUAAGUUAAUAUGGUCAUUGUAUUGGGUAGAGUUUAACUUUACACCUGUUUAGUUAAUUUAAUGAAGUAUUUGACAGCAUUAAGAAUGUGUAAGUUAGUGCUCAUUUUUGUGUUUUUUUCUAGAAUGUGAUGUCACUACUGAUCAUGAUUAACCAAAUUUAUAAUCCAUCUUUCUGACAAAGUCAUUGCAAUACUUACACAAUGUCAUGCAAAAUUUUACUCUAGGUAACUAAUUCACUUUUUACAUGCAGAACAAUCAUUUCUUCUUCCUUUACGAGUUGACAACACUGCAAGUCUGUCCUGUCCUAUUAAGUGUUCAGCGGCUCGGCAUGCCCCAUCACUGAUUGAUCACACCGAUUCUAGGAAUGGUGGCAUCCAUGCAGCUAGUGUAUAUGGACAUGAUCUCAUGAAAUCCAUAUCUGAUCUUCAGGUAUGAUGGUGAGUCCCUUUCUCUAUUUUUAGCAUGUAUCACCUGUUAACAUAAACAACCCUUUAAUUUAAAAUAAGGCAUAAGGGGACUUAACUUUUCCUAAUAAUUAAAACUAACCUAGUACUGUCUUAUUGAACACAGCUUAAAUUUUUCUCCUUGCAAAUUUUGUAUGGAAACCUCAGCUAUAAUAACUCAUUAUUUUCUUAUACUUGUCGCAGGAAGUUGUAUUUUCUUCUUUUAGCAAAGCAUGUCUUCUCAGUAGUUGUAUCAUAUAUGGUCUACCACCCAGUUGUAUAGCAGAACCAUGUGAGCAAGCAUACUCUCUCCCUAACAUGCCUUUGCUAUUCGCGAUAGCCAUGGUUGGUGCUACUGUUGGAGGUAAGCUCAUCACACUCUUAACUUAUAAGAAUCUUUCAGGCAUAGAACGUUGGUUGGAGCUUGAGAACUGAUUGUGGAUUUAAAGAUGACAAUACACAGUGGACGGUUUCCUUACUUCUGUGUUUAUGUUUUUUAAUGGUCAUCAACAUCAUAUGUUGUUACAAAUGAUUUAAAUAUCUGAGCAUUAAGAGCACACACUAAAUCACUUCUAAUUCCAUGGAAAUGCAAGAGCAUGCUAUGCACUCUUGCAAGUUAAUACUUGUCAAACACAACUUUUUUAUGUUUGAUUGCUUCUUCCCCAGUUUCUUAUUUAGCUGUGCAUUUUGUUAAAUAUAAAACAUUAUACAUAGGAAUGCAUAUUCAGAUGCAACAAAUGCAGAGUGCAAAGAAAAUUACAUUUAGGAGCAUCCUAGUUAUCAUACCUAUGUUCGAUUGCUUUUUCCCCAGUUUCCUUAUUUAGCAGUGCAUUUUUGUUAAAUUUAAACAUAAUACACAGCAACUGAAACAGAUGCAAAUGCAAAUGCAACAAAGAAUGAAUGCAAAGAAAAUUACAUUUAGGAGCAUCCUAGUUAUCUUACUGAUUACCUUCCCUGUUUCUUUUAACUAUAACUGGGUUGUUGAUUUUGCAUGCAUGGUUUCUGCAUCAUGUUGAACAAUUCAGAUAUCCUGUAGGGCUCCUUGCGAGACAGAGGAGAGGGGAGCUUGCACGUCUAAAUGAUCAAUUACGUCAGAUAAAUGCUGCACUGAGAAGACAAGCCAAGAUUGAAUCUUAUGCUCCUGCCUUGAGCUAUGCCCCAGUUGGUAGUAAGAUACCGGAAUCAGAAGUUAUUGUUGAUCCUCAGAAAGAGCGCCUAAUUGCAUAUCUCAGGACUGGGAAGAACUAUCUGAGAAACCAAGCUCCUGAGAAGGCAUUUCCUGAGUUUAAGGCAGCUCUUGAUCUUGCACAAUCUUUAGGUGAUCAUGUUGAAGAGAAGAAGGCAGCACGAGGAUUAGGUUUGUUCAUUAUUUUGUGAAAUUAUAGUUUCAUGGUUUGGUUUCACAGAUAGUUUCAUGGAAUUGUGAGAAUAUUCCUUUUUUGAUUUGGUUAAAUGCUACAUAGUAUGCAGGAGUACAAGUUCAAAAAUGUUAACGAAGGAAAAUAUUUUCAGGCAUGUUUAACCAAGUUAAAAAUUGAUCAUAUAAACAUAAUAGAAUUGUUAGUGUGUCCCCCAUUAAACUUGAAGUUCUUUCCCCCCUCACCAUACAGCAAAAAUGCAAACCACAGACAGUCUGAUGUGUUUGUGAAAAGUAACGAAGUUGCUUUGCAUUCGCCAGGGGCAUCCUUGCAAAGACAAGGCAAGUACAAGGAAGCCAUAAAUUAUCACUCCAUGGUGCUAAACAUCUCCAAGAUGACCGGAGAGGAUGCAGGUGUCACUGAAGCAUACGGAGCAAUAGCAGAUUGCUACACCGAGCUUGGUGAGCUCGAGAAGGCAGGCAAGUUCUAUGAUAAGUACAUAGCAAGAUUGGAGAAUGAAUGAGAACAACAGCGCUGAUCGGAAAAAUCUGUGAGAGCAAAGACAAAGAUAAUGCUAAUCGUGUCUCUAUCUUUUUUUUUGCUUGCCAUGUAUUCUACUGUAGAUGUGCAGUUCCCAGCUGGAACUGAUGUUUGCUAUCACGACUCGAGUUUCUUUUUGGCGGAAUUAUCUAAGAUGUUUAGGUACAGAUCAGUAUCAUGCCGUGUACGUAGUUGUUUUGAUAAUUAGUGGCUCAAAUGGUCCGUACAUGCACUCUUGUCAAUGUGCUAUUUUGUGCUGGUUUAAUUUUGUAGUUUUGCUAUAUCAUGCCCUUGGUGAAAAUCUUUCCUCCUACUCAUGAAUAGGCUUUCCGUUUCUUUUCCUUUUUUUCCUUUUUAAAUAACGUACAUGGAAUAAAAGUAAGAUUCCAGUGAAAUUUUUCCCUCCCACAAAUCAACUUUAGUUACUCUAAAUUUACAUUUAACUUGUACUAGAGUUCAAUGUUUUAUGAUCGUCCGAUUAAUCAUGAUUAAUCAUUCUUACAGGUACUUAGCAUUUCUUUAGGGCUUCCGAUUCGAUUAGAGUGAUUAGAAACCUAAUCGUUUGAUUAAUCAUGAUUAAUAAUGAUUAAUUGUUAAUUAAUCGUGAUUAAUCGUCGAUUAAGUCUCUUGCCCAAUUAGAGCUUAAUUGGCAGAUGGGCUGCUUUUGGCCAGGGCUAAAUUUAUUUUGGCUAGACCUAUUAGAGUUUCUCUUAUAUACCUCACCUCCACUUUCUCUCUCUCCUUAGUUCUUACUCUCAACUCUAGCCGUUAGCUGCUGAGCUUGUUGCUCAUGCAUUUGCUGAGCUGCUGAGCCUGUGUGCAUCUCACUCCCUCCUCUCUCCCUUCUAGUUUCAAUCCAAGCAACCUGUUGCUGCUUGCUGCUUCCUCCUCCCUCUUCCCUGCUGUCUGCUUCCUCCUCCCCCUUGCUGCAACUACAACUAUAUACAUAUAUGAUAUAGUCAUGCUAUGUGCUAGACGAUUAGACCGAUCAGAGGUUGAUUAAUCGUCCUGAUCGGUACCAGACAGAUUAGAAACGAUAAGCCGAUUAGAAAAAAUUGUUAGAGUUAAUGUGGUUGUUUUGGUACAAUUUCAUGAUAUGUUUGGGUGGAAAGUCGCCUAUCCCACACUACAAUUUUAGUUAAUGUCAACUUAUGUUAGAUUUACACUCAACUUGUACUAGAGUUAUGGUGAUUAUUUUGCUGUAAUUUCUAGAUAGAAUUGGUGUAGGCCUUGUUUAGUUCCUAAAAAAAUUUGCAAAAUUUUUUAAAUUUCCUGUCACAUCAAAUCUUUAGACGCAUGCAUGAAGUAUUAAAUAUAGACAAAAAUAAAAACUAAUUGCACAGUUUGGUCGAAAUUGACGAGACAAAUCUUUUGAGUCUAGUUAGUACAUGAUUGGAUAAUAUUUGUCAAAUACAAACGAAAGUGGUACUAUUCCUAUUUUGCAAAAAAAUUUGGAACUAAACAAGGCCUAACUAAAAAAUCUGACUAUGGAGAAUGAAUAUUUCACCCAAUUCUUAAAAAACACAUUUAAUAUAGGUGUGAAACUUCUCUAAAACCUUUUUCCCCCUUAUAACAUGUUCAAAAACUAGUAGAGAAGUUUCACCUGAGUAGUCUUUGGCAAUCAAAGAUACGUGGUCAGUAAACUGGACUUUGACAUUCGGAAAAUUGAACUUGAGUGUUGGCAACUUUUCAAGUUUCAACAUGUGUGCUUGAAGAUGCGCUUGAUCAAAUUUCAACAAAACUAAAUACACAGUAUUCCUAGGACCGUAAAUUGAUCAUUGUUAUGUAACAUCCAAAUAAAUAAAUAUAUCUCAUUAGUUAAUUUGAUAUGCGUGAUCUUAGCUACUUCCCAUUCAUUAAGUUUAUCCCCCACUAGAGCUCUCCAGAAUGAAAUAUUUAAUGGUGUUGAUCUCAUAACAUUGGUCACUCUAUCAUGCGGAUCUAGAGCUCUCUGGAAUAAAAUAUUUAAAGGUGUUGAUCUCAUAACAUUAGUCACUAUAUCAUGCGAACGAUUUGCAUAAUAUUAUAUAGUGUGGGAUAAAGGUCUUUGAAUGGCGGUUGCCUUCCAUUAUUAAUUUUGAAGGAACCAUAAGCCAAAGUCUGAUCUUUUAUUUUCAUAAGACCCUUCCAAAAAUGAGUGUAGGAGAGAUUUUGAGCUUAGAUACUUGUCUCUAAGCAAGGGCACCACCCUUUUACGCGGCAACUUUGGAACGAACAUAGCUCAAUGUCAUGUUUCAUUGUAGUUUUUUUUAUUAAAAUGACAACACAUUAAUAGAACUACAGGGAUGCAAGGAAACCAGUGCUGUGAAAGUCCGGAGAAAAAAAUAAGUCAAAACAGGAAAACGGAAAAAGAAAAUAGCACGGGACACUCUGCAUAGAGCACGAGACAGUUGAUCUGAAGUUGUGGCAAAUUAUCGAGGAGAUCAUUAGGGACUAUAAUAUUUUGGCGCAAUUUUCCAUUAAGUAUAGGAUGUGUCAGUGUUUUUUUUUUGCUUGUUUCGAGAGUGGGUUGUCUCACUCUCGCAAGUAAGUAGGGAUGAAAACGGUACGAAUAUUUUUCGACCGUAUUCGAGACUAAAUUUAUUUAGAGGGGUUUAGAUCUGUUUGUAUCUGAGUCCGAAUAUUCAACAUCUGAUACCAUAUCCGUAUCUGAAUACUUAAAUCGUAUAUUUAUGAUGUCGAUAUCCAAUCAUAUCUUAUCCAACAUGGUUGACAUUAUCCGUAUUCGAAUCUAAAUCUGACCAAAAAUAUGAAAACAAAUAUGAUAUCAGUGAUAUCCGUCCGUAUCCGAUCCAUUUUCAUCCCUACUUGUAAGUUUCAAGUAAUUGUUCACAAAAGAGAACAAGGACCGGACUGUGCAACAAAAAAGUGCAGUGGCACGGACAAUCAUAUGAAAUCUUAUGUAAGAUUUUUUUCCUUAUCUGGUACAUUUGGAAGGCUCACAAUGACAAGAGGUUUCAGCGGAGAACAUGGACAUCUCACCAGAUCCAACAAGCAGCAAAUGCCCAUAUAAACUCUCACUUGGAUGCUCUAAAUGAACAGACCCUCUCUCAUUUACAUAAUUCCCUACUUCCUACUCAUAACAGAUAUGCAGGAACACAUCAAGGAAGCCACCAAUCGAUCUCGGCGACAGACCAACUACUGGUUUGUUCUCUAACAUCUAUUGCAGGAAUCCGGUGCUAUACAGAUGCAUCGACGACGCUAGACACUACUGCAUCGGUUCCUAGACAGGUGGGUCUAGGAAUUUUCAUCAUCAACACUGAUGUACAACUACCACUAAGCAUAUUCAUCAAAGCCACUAUGCAGGACUCUUCUUCAGUGAUCAUGGCAUAAUCUGCUGCUAUGGUAUUGGUAGCAUAACUGCUCAAUCAUCUCCAAGGUCAUCAAAAGACGCUAUUGUCGGAUUCCCUAGUUAUGAGAGAUAGAGUUUCCUCUCGGGGAGGGAACUCUAUCGGAUAGAUAUUUCUAGUUAGAAUUCAUAAUCUAGGUAUAACACUGUAGAGGAGAUAUACUUCCCUCUGGGAAAGGGUAGUAUAUCGAUAGGUAUAGAGAGGGAGAGUUUGCUUUCGGGAAGGGAACUCGACUGGAGUCCUAGUAGGAGCAUAUGGUAUGACACAAACAGGGGUAUUUUUCUUGAGAGAUUUGCCCCAAAACGCGAUUUUGGGGCUUUCAGGUGUCAUAUCAUUAGGGCAUUAACAAAGAUGUGCUACAGCGCAUAUUUGUUAAUAAGCUUAUUGGCUUGAUUUCUUCUUCGAAGAAAUGCCUACGCGUACGUACACGCGUAUGUGUACCUAUGUGCGCGUAUGAUCUAUAUACGCGCACGUCCGUGCGUGCGAUCUAUAGACGCACGCGUACGCCUGCGCGCAUUACUACUUACGCACGCGCGCUAGACUCACUCUGUUCGCAAUAAUCUCCCUACGGUCAAUUAUUGCUCACUCCGUUCGUCUGCACUCUGCUACGCUUCGGUAUAGAUAACCUUCCCUGACAGGAAAGAACAUCUCUACCUACGCUACGCUAUAGGAAGGGAGUGCGGGGCGCCGCUCCCUUCCGUCAAUAGAGCUUAUUUUUCAAAAAUACUAUCAUCGAUUUUCCUGCCAGGGAAGUCGAUGAGAGGAUUUUCAAAGUCAAGUUUAGGGUUGAUGGAGUUUGACUGAACAUUUUGAUGAAUCCCCAAAAGGCCGUAUCAAAUGACAUUAGUCUGAGUCCAUCUUCCCUUGCUAUUGACGUAUAGGUAUGCGUAUGCAUGUCUUUCGACACUUAUCCAAGAUUGGAGUAAGCAAUCAUAGCCCAUCCUAUGAUCAUGAUAUGUUUUUCUUGGGAUUUUAUUGUUUUUUCAAUUGGUUAUUGCCAUGGAGAUAUGGUUUCCUGGGAGGGAACCAUAUCGAUAGACAGAUAGAGUUUCCUUUCGGAAAGGGAACUCUAUCGGAACUGAGAUAUGCUUUUCUUGGAGGAGGGAAGCCUAUCGAAGCCGCCCCGCAGGGCCUCCGGAAAUAUAAAUAAUAUCCCCUUUCUUGGUUUAUUUAUCUACCCUUGUAUCCCAAGAUGGAUAAACUAUCUAAUAUAGGUUAGGUAAGGAUAGAGCUAAAGAUUGAUUGGGUAUCACGAACGGAUAGAAAUCGGAGAAGAGUUCUAUCUGUUCGUGGAUAAGAGAAGACUAGUUAUCAGAGGGAAGGGUGGAAUGAAACAAUCCAGGGUCAAACGAAGAUACUUGUUCGCCUAGCCCCAUGUGUAUCCGUAUCCUUCCCUGUUUUGAGAAUCUCAUAUUUCUUCGUAGCACGUGUGUCCUUUGUAUGUUCCGUCGCCUAUUUCUGGAUAAGUAGAUUUUCUACCAACCAAGUAGAAUCGAGAAUCAGCAGCUGAGAAUGCGGGGCACCCUGCUUUUGUCCUCUGCCCGUCUCAUCGCCUUAUGAGCAGUCAAAAUAUAGGUUUUGCUUACAGUCACGUGGUCUGCCUCGUGCUUCUUCGCUUAUUCAAUGCUUUCUCUGGCAUCCUACAACUCCCUUACAUCCCUAUGUCGGCUAUCCACCCUUCUUUACCAAGUGACCGGAAUCCCCUAUACUCCUCCAACGAACUACAAACGUAGGCUUUCAAGGAAUAACUGCUAUUGAAAGGAAGACUCAAAUCAGCAUAUAUCAUUGCUAUUGGAAUGUUUGAGCUGGAAUUCGAAUAUUAACUGAUGAAUGACCGCGGAGAGCUGCUAGAAAGACCAAAAAAAGUGCAUAUCCUUCCUUCCAAAUUUGAUACAUUCCGUGUUACUCCAACAGCUCGUGAACUUUCUAAAUGGAUCCAAUCUCUCCAAUCCUCCUGACUGGAUAAUCAAACCAUAUACUCAGAUCACUGCUACUCUUUUAUCAGGAACAAACUCAGUAGUACACUGGAUUAGAAGAACCCAUAAUCAGAUGGCUGACUCCCUAGCAAGACAGACUUAGUGCUUUACAAAAUAAUCAGAUUGACUAUUCAAGAUUCUUUACUAAUUCUAGUCAUGCUAAUGAUUAUCCCAUUCUUAAGGCAAUCAAUGAUGUAACCAUUAACACUAUAAUGAUCCUAACAGCCUCAUGCUGUUAAUAUAAUUAUGGUUUACUUAUAAUAAAAAAAGAACAUGCAUGUUUCUUAAGAGAAAGACAACAACACAUUCAGAAAACCACCGAGACAGUCAGGUCCAUUCCGAAAACUAUUUUGUGGGUGGCCUGCAAGCUAAGGCCUUGUUUAGAUGCGAAAUUUUUUUGGAUUUCGCUACUGUAGUAUUUUCGUUUGUUUGGGGUAAAUAUUGUCCAAUCAUAAACUAAUUAGGGUCAAAAGAUUCGUCUUCUUCAUGUAUGUGCCGCAAGAUUCGUUGUGACAGAGAAUCUUGAAAACUUUUUUGUUUUAGAGUGAACUAAACAAGGCCUAACAUACGGAUUACUGUCCACUCUUUUUUCAUAAAAAAAAACUGUCCACUCCACUGCAGCUCAACAGGCACGCAGGAUUCAUGUAGCUCGGGUCUUCUUUAAUUUUUUUUCAAGAUUCUUCAUUCUAUCGAAUCUUUAGACGUAUGCAUAGAGCAUUAAAUAUAAAUAAAAAGUAACUAAUUAUAUAGUUUGUCUAUAAUUUACAAAUCUUUGAGUUUAAUUAGUCUAUAGUUAAACAAUAAUUGCACAAUAUAAAUGAAUGUGGUAUAGUAGCUAAACCCGAAAAAUUUCGGGAACGAAACGAGGCCUCAACAGGCGUGAGAUAAAAUGCAGUUUUUUUUUAUCUACUUGCAUGCAUUGGUGGGCAUCAUUAGUAGAGCCACACGCUGUGACAUAAUUAAGGUGCCUGCUUCAACCAAACCGAUGUCCAGAACUCUAAUUUGGGGGAAAGGAAAAAAACUGACAUGUAACACUGUUCAUGCUCUUUGGCCCAGAUUUUACUUCUCUAUGUCGAUAGAUCGAAUUCCACAGCAUGUCAUCAGUAUUAUUCUUUCAAUUCAAAAAUCGUGCUCUAAUUCUCUUUGCACACAAUCUCUGUCUCAUGCACACAUGCAAGUAAAUAAAGAAGAAUUACAUUCUAGAGACAGCCCCAGCUUGCACAUGGUUGGUCAGCUGCCUUCUCAGUAUCUUGCCAGCCGGAGACUUGGGUAUGGAGUCGACGAAGAGCACCUUGCGGAUCUUCUUGUAAGGGGCCACCCUCUUUGCGACGUGGUCUAUGACUUGAGCCUCCGUGACCUUGCUACCAGGCUGCCUGACCACAAGCGCCACCGGUAUCUGCCCUGCCUCCUCAUGAGGAUACCUGUAAACAAAUUCAGUGAAACCAUCAGACGAUAUAUAUAAUAUAACUGAGCAUGUUUUGCAACUCUCUGGCAACGUGUGUGGCGUUGUAGUGGGGACUCACGGCAUGACUGCGGCAUCGAUAACUUCCGGCAAAGACUGCAGGACAAGCUCCAGCUCUGCAGGUGGAACCUGCAGCGACAAAUAUAUACACCCAGUGACCCAGAUCAUCAUCAGUCUGAAACUGCAAGGGUGACAAUCUAUGUGCUUUGAAAACAAGACCAAAUUAAACUGCAAAGUAAUUAACCUGAUAGCCCUUGUACUUGAUGAGCUCUUUCAGCCUGUCCACCACGAACAAGAAGCCGUCCUGAUCAAUGUAGCAAAGGUCCCCAGUCCUAAGCCAUCCUUCAGAGUCAAAACUACUAGCGUUGGCCUCCUCGUCGCCAACAUAUCCUGCAAUUCAUGAGAACAUAUAUUUUUUGAGCUGAAAAAGAUGAGAAAGAACCCCCUCAAAAAAAAUCUGAAUCCAGCUGCAGCGCAGCAUCAGCUUAAUUUAUCAUGCAUGCAUGUUAGGCUCUGGUGGUUAUAUUACCAGUCAUGACGGCAGGCCCUCUCACGAGAAGCUCCCCUUUUUGGCCCACGGACAGGGCAUUGCCGGUGACGUGGUCCACGAUCUUCACCUCCACGUUCUCCGAGACACGGCCGGCGGAACCGAUGCGGGCGCACUCCUCCCGGCUGAUCAUCAGCGAUAUGCCACCAGCCUCAGUUGAACCGUAGCCCUGAAACAAAUGAAGCCACCGAUGCAACUCUCUUCUCAGUUCAUUCCAAAGGAAAACUGCGUGCAUGUUUUCUUGACCGGAUGGCGGUAAAGCCGUAAAGGUCUUUACGAACCAAUGCCUUUUGGACUGUGACAAAUUUUCUUUGGGGCUUGGCCAACAAGAGAGAUGCUCUCUUGGAUGCUCAACCAUCGAUGCAGCUACAGUUAGCUGUUGACUGGGCAGAAAAAAUACGUCUUAUAAGAUAAGCAAAUGAGAGAGGUUGGACCCCAACAACAAACAGAUGCCAUUCCUAUGGCGACCACAUACUAGAUCAAAUAAUUCUCUCUUUCUCUGUUGUCUUACAAUUAAACUAGUGAGUAUUUUUGCUAAAGUAAAGGAUAGAAGAUACAAAAGCUUGACUCUCAUAUAGUAAGCAACAAGCUAGUUAUGGGUGUAGGACCGUCUCUACAAUUUUAAAGACCCUUAUCAAGCAAGAUGGUAAGAGUCCAUUAAACUAGUUUUUCAACACACCCAAUAAAUACUUGUAGGCAAUAUCUAUCCUAGAAAAUAAAUAUACAUAAUGAAAAAUUAGAACAUACUCUGUCCAUCCUAAAUGUUUAUCGUUUUUGCUUUAAAAAACAACUUUGACUAAAUAUAUAUUUAAAAAUAUUAAUAUUUAUGACUCGUAAUUAGUAUCAUUGGAUAAAUAUUUAAAUCUAUUUUUUUAACAAAUUUAUUUACACAAAUAAAUAUUACAUGUAUUAUCUACAAAUUAAAUUAAACUUAUCGACACGUAAACAAUGGCGACACAUUCACCCAAAAAAUCAAAAACAUUUCAUGAUUCCUCAUCAAAUCGAAUCUUUCGGUACAUAUAUAGAGUAUUAAGUAUAGGUGAAAAUAAUAACUAAUUGAACAUCUAAUUACUCCAUAAUUAGACAAUAUUUGUUAAAUAAAAAUAAAAAUGCUAACGUGUCAAAAUUUUAAAACUUUUUCGAUCUACUUUGUACUAAUAUUUGAGUAGAAAGGAAUCAUGCCGAAGCCUAAAAGCUGCACAAAAUGACAAAAGCUAAGCACUCGCAUGUCCAGUCAUCUGCAGCGAGCAACUGUGUCAGGAGCUCCGCAUUGGCAGCAGAGUGGUUAUAGUACAUAGUACGACGGUACGAGUACUACGGCCUUGUUUAGUUCACCAAAGAUCAAUAAAUUUUCAAGAUUCUCUAUCACCUCGAAUCUUUCGACACAUGCAUAAAGCAUUAAAUAUAUAUGAAAAUAAAAAUUAAUUACACAAUUUAAUGCUUCAUGCAUAUUCCGAUUUAAAUGAGCAACGAGGUGGCCAAAAAAAGGCGCAAGAUCAUGAUCAAUGUUGGGUCACGCGCCUGAGCAAAAUCAUUAUUCUCUCGGGGGUUUCCGGAUUGUCAGUUUGAUAACUAGGAUUUGUUUAGUUCACCUCAAAAAUCAAAAAAAUUUUAAGAUUCUCCAUCAUAUCAAAUCUUGCGGCACAUGUAUGAAACAUUAAAUAUAGAUAAAAAUAAAAACUAAUUGCAUAUUUUAUCUGUAGAUCGUGAGACAAAUCUUUUGAUUCUAGUUAGUUUAUGAUUGAACAAUAUUUGCUACAAAUAAACGAAAGUGGUACAAUAGCGAAAUCCAAAAAUCUUUUCACAUGUAAACAAGGCACAAGAAUAGCAGCCCUAGAACGUACGAGUAGUGGAUUCACGAUCAUGAUCAUGAUCAUACUAGGGCUUAGCAGCCCUUAUUUUUUUGGGCUAGUUGGGCUUAGCAGCCCUGAGUUGGUGACAGUUGUGUUAAUCAGCACACGUGACACGCGUUCCGUCCUUUGGAUCAACCGGUGUCCGUCGAUGAUGUGAACCAGAACGCCUCCUGGUCCUCGGCAUGCAUGCGCCUUGUUUAGUUCCAAAAUUUUUAAGAAAAUAGACACUUUUAUUUAUAUUUAAUAAAUAUUGUUGAAUCAUAAACUAAUUAUACUUAAAAACUUUAUCUCGUAAAUUAUAGAUAAAUUAUACAAUUAGUUAUUAUUUUUAUUUUUAUUUAAUAUUUUAUAUAUGGUUCGCAAGAUUCGAUACGACUAAAAAUCUAAAAUUUUUUAUAAAACUUUUUAGAACUAAACAAGCGCAGGCCUCGGUCGUAUCGUAUGGACGGCCACGGUCGACAUGCGUUGGUGGCGUGCGCCUGUUAUUUUUGCCGAUCGAGGGUCCGCUGUACCGUGUACCCAAGUCAGCAGUGGAGCCGACACACUCGAGACUUGUUUAUAUGUAAAAAGUUUUUUGGAUUUUAAUACUACAAUAUUUUUAUUUUUAUUUGAUAAAUAUUAUUUAAUCAUAGAGUAACUAGGUUUAAAAAAUUCAUUUCAUCAUUUACAGAUAAAAUGUGUAAUUAGUUUUAUUUUCAUGCAUGUACCACAAGAUUCGAUAUAUAUGCAUUUCUUUGCAGCGGCAUUUUCGGUUAAUAUAAUAUAUCCACCUCACCUGAUCUCUAUAGUUCAAUUUGAGUCUUCGAUUUAGCAGGGAAUCACAUGCAUACAUUUCCUAGUACUAACUAGUACAUGUCAAUAGCUACUACUCCAUCCAUUCCAAAUUGUAAGUCAUUCUAAGAAUUUUGAAGAGUCAAACUUUUCUAAGUUUGACCAAAUUUAUAUUAUAAAAUAAUAAUUAUUAUGGUACUAACUAAGUAUCAUUAGAUUCUUUCUUAAUUAUAUUUUCAUAGUAUACUCACUUUACGUUACAAAUUUUAGUAUUUUUCUCUAUAAUUUUGGCCAAACGUGAAAAUAUUUUGACUCUCUAAGAUUCUUGAAAUGACUUACAAUUUAGGAUGUAAGGAGUACAAUGCAAGGACCACCUUUGAGAUAAGAGUAGGUAGCUCAUGCCCACCGUGAUAUACUAACUGUGGGGCCAAGGGGCAAUGUAAUGGAUCACCAAAGAAUUGGCUUAUGGUACCUCAUCGCAUAAUAUCUAGAUACGAUUUGAAAUGGAGAGAGAGUAUUAAUUUGUAGGCUAGAUGUUAUUUGGACCCAAUAGUAGAAGCUGGAUGUAUUGAUGGUUUUGUUCUCCACAUUUUAAAGACUACUAUUGUUAGAACAUGUGGGAGAUAGGCAUGUGAGAGGGCAAAAGCACCUUUUAGCAAUCUAUUAACUGUUGUUAGCUAGUUUAGGACAGCUAGUAUAUAAGAUAGUUAUUAGCUGGAUACUUUUAACUAAUAAUUACCUGGCCUCUACUAGAUAAGCAUAUAAUUACGAUCCACCUCAAAAACUACUUAUUUUUAGUAGCUAGCUGGUGGAUCCACACAGGACCUUAAAGACUUGCACUUGUUUUUUCUUUCAAAAUAGGAGUAUGUAUUAAUAUUUCGAGCAAUUUUUAAGGCCUUGUUUAGUUACAAUUUUUUUUGAAAAUCGACAAUGUAGCACUUUCGUUUGUAUUUGACAAAUAUUGUCUAAUCAUGGAUUAACUAGGGUUAAAAGUUUCGUCUCAUCAAUUUCGACCAAACUGUGUAAUUAGUUUUUAUUUUCAUCUAUAUUUAAUACUCUAUGCAUACGUCUAAAGAAUCGAUGUGACGGGGAAUUUGAAAAAUUUUAUAAAAUUUUUUAGAAACUAAACAAGGCCUAAUAAAAGAAAAGAAGAGCUUGAAUGCUAGUAGACGCAUGGUUUCGUACAGUACUAUACUCAAACCAUUAUUACUGCACUAAAACCUGUUUCUCGGAUCACCUUCAUUUAGUUAUAAACCAUUUUAUUCUAGGACCUAGAGCAAGCUAAUGAUAAUGCAGCGACAUCAUCGCCAUACAAGUCAAUUUCGACUAAGUGUAUCAUUUCACAAAGUUCAGUGAUCCGCUAAUUUUUGGCGUUCUUUUCUGGGCAUUGCUCCGUAAUUAAGCGAACAAGAUUUCAACAAAAACCGUCAAUUUGUUUUAUCGUUUUAUUAAAUUCCACCAGUAUAUGCAAUGAUUCGAAUAGAAAUCGACUACUGUAACAACGCUAUCUAGCUCACAUCAUAAUUAAUUACUUGACUGAAAGCGACGACACUCACCAUGCAUAGAUCCACGUUGGGGAACCGUCGUCGGAAACUGUCGGCUGCCGUCCUCGGCAGCGGCGCGCCGCCACACACCACGCGCUCCAGUGCCUCCAGGCGGCACCGCUCCUUGGCCAUGGCCACCACCACCGGUGGCGACGCCGUCAUCUCAGCGACCGCCCACCUCUCCGCCGCCUCGACCACCCCCUUCACGCCGCGCCGCGCCACCGCGUCGGUCACCACCACCGUCGUGUGCCCCAGCGCCACACCCUUCAGCGCGGAGUAGAACCCCAGCGAGUGGAACAUGGGCGCGCCCAGCAGCGUCCUCUCGCGACCGUGCCUCGGUUUCCCGAGCACAGCGUGGGCUCCUGCCACCAUCGCGACGAAGCUCCGGUGCGGCAGCGCCGCGGCCUUCACCCGCCCUGUUGUCCCCGACGAGUACUGGAUCACCGCCGUGUCCGACUGCCGCACCUCCGCCAGUCCCUCCUCCCCACGGCCGUCGUUCUGCCUCUGCAGAAAGGAGCGGAAGCGGUCCGAGUCGAGGAGGAUGGUGGGGAGGCCAGCCGGCAGCUUUGCGGUGGUCGCCGACACGGCGAAGGCGACGGACGCGCCCGACAGCGCCACGAGGCGCGCGACCUCGUCCGCGGUGAGCGUGGGGUUUACCGGCGACACGACGGCGCCGAACGAGAGCAGCGCAAAGUAGAGCACCGGGAUGUCCAGCCGCGUCGGCGCGAGGAUGAACGCGACGUCGCCGCGGCCGAGCCGGACCACGGAGCGAAGCGCCCCCGCGAGCGCGCGCACCUGGGACAGGAACUCCGGGAACGAUAGGACCUCGCCGGUGGCGGCGUCGAGGAGAGCCGGGUGCGCGGGGAGCGGGGACGACGUCAGGCGCGAGAAGGCGAACUCCGGAAACGAGACCGGCGCGUCCGGCGGCGGCAGCGGCACCGGCGGGCGCAGGCUACGGAACGUCCUGGUCACCUCGCAGUAGCCGCUGCGGCUGUCCACGCCGCCCGGAGCAGCGCCGUCGGCGUUGGCCGCAGGCGCGGGAGUGGCCAUUUCUUCUCGGCACCUGGUGGUGACUGGUGACUGCGGUGGUUGGUGAUUUUGUCGUGUGCCGUCUUCGGGUUUCAGCUGGGGUUUUUCUUAUAGAGAUCUGUGUGGCAAAAGUGGCAACAGCCAACAUUGCAAGGGGCCAAGCAGGCGCAGGCUGUGUGAUACGGUACAAGCCAGCCACCUAGCCCGUGCUUGGUAGGUGACCUGCAGUCCCGUAAUUACGGACUAGUGACAAGUGACAGCAUUAUUAGGCAUGUUUCUUCUGUUGCUAAAAGUUCUGGAACGCUGGGUUAGGGGUUGCAUCAGUGCAUGCAUACAAAUCCGCCACUAGGGCCUCAUUGUUUUCUUCUUCGAAUUAAGGUCUUGUUUAGUUCACCUGAAAACCAAAAAGUUUUCAAGAUUUCCCGUCACAUCGAAUCUUAUGGCACAUGCAUGAAACAUUAAAUAUAAACGAAAACAAAAACAAAAACUAAUUACACAGUUUAGUUGUAAAUCACGAGACGAAUCUUUUGAUCCUAGAUAGUCCAUGAUUGGAUAAUAUUUGUCACAAACAAACGAAAGUGCUACAGUAUCGAAAACUUUUCACUUUUGGGAACUAAACAAGGCCUAAUAUUCCAAAUCUGCAAGACACGCUUAUCACGUGAUGGGGAUUGGAGUGACAUGAAAGGCAUAUUGUUUCUACCUGCGUAGGUAGAGUAGACUGCGGUGCUGUGCUUCACAAAUCGUGCGUUUGUAGUCACGCUUUAGUUGGCAAAAUGAAAAGUUUUCGGAUACUGUAGCAUUUUUAUUUGUUUGUGAUAAAUAUUGUCCAAUUAUGUGUUAACUAGGCUUAAAAGAUUCAUCUAGCGAUUUACAGUCAAACUGUAUAGUUAGUUUUAGUUUUUAACUAUAUUUAUUAAUUCUCCAUACAUGUGCCGUAAGAUUCGAUGUGACAGGAAAUCUUAAAAAGUUUUUGUUAGCAAAAACAAUCUUAGGAGAUAUCCUCUCUUAGAUUGGCACAUCUAGAGCCCCAUAAAUGGUUAGACGGUCUCUUGACAAACAUUGGCGAAUCGAGGAUUUUGUCUAAGGGCAUGCCGCCCAAAAAAAUUUAUAUGCUAUUUGGUAAAUCCAUUUCAGCAAUUCAGUAAUUAUUGUAAAAUUGACAAGAUAAUUCGGUAUAUAUACACUAAUUAACAUAAAAAGGCUUAAAUUCAAUAAUUAAGUUCAAACCAUCCACUAAGUGUAGUAUAAAUAGUUCAAAAACCAUACUGAUAAUUGAAAUAAGGCAUAAAAGAGAAUCAGAUACUUACAAUAGUAAUUUUAUGACUACUUUAUUCGACGCUUUUAAAGGGACAUAAAUGUCUUAAUUAUAUCAUUUUCAUCUGACAAUCAUCUACUCUUAACAUUGUUUUCACAUAAACCAUUGCAGAAAAUGCAUGUUCAACACUUGCUGUUGCCACAGUUAAAAACAAUACCAAUUUUAGGAGCUCAUAAGCCAUAUCAUAUACGAAGAACAAAGUGAAUCUCAGCUGAACAAUUUUUGAAUAGAAAAUCACCUAGCUGCCGAUGUCGUACCGAACGAGAUCACAAGGACGAAGAUGAUUGGACAAUGAUAGGCCUUGGGAGAUAGUCGACCGCCGACAGCAUGAACGUGAAUGGCGGUUCCGAAAAUUUUGGAUUUCGGUAUUGUAGCAUUUUCGUUUUUAUUUGAUAAAUAUUAUCCAAUUAUAGACUAACUAGACUAAAAAAAUUUAUCUCAUGAUUUAUAGACAAACUGUGCAAUAAGUUUUUGUUUUUGUCUAUAUUUAGUACUUCAUGCAUGUGCCGUAAGAUUUGAUGUGACAGAGAAUCUUAAAAAGUUUUUUAUUUUUGGGGUGAAUUAAACAAGGCCUAUAUCGGGCUAUGGCAUAGGCCACUGGAGUAAGGCCGUGUUUAGUUGCUGAAGUGAAAAAUUUCGAGACACUGUAGUAUUUUCGUUUGUUUGUGGGAAUUAUUGUCCAACCAUGGACUAACUAGGCUCAAAAGAUUCGUCUCGUAAAUUUUGUUGACACCAUUUUUGGCAUGGGUUAAGAUAAUCAAAAUAGACUAAUCGGCAGUAGGGAAAUUGUUGCAUUGUACUGAUAAAAAGUGCCGAUAAAGAUCAAUCGAUGGAAAGUGGUGCCAAUGAAAGAUGAUGAUCGGCGGAAAAAUUCUCUUAGCCUAAAAUCCAAAGUGUUGGUUAAUAAGGUCAGGAUGAUGUUUGUCGAUUCAGGGGUUAUUGCCGAUAGAGCUUAUGGUGCUGUGUUGCUGAUGCCGAUGAGAAAAGAUAUGAAGACUGCUGCUGGUGAAGAUUUUAGCUCACCGAUGGGGUAGGAGCCGAUGGAGACUUCAUCGCGAGUAAGGUGGACAUGGGAAUAGUUAGGUUUCAUUUUCUUCUUUCUAUAUUUGUUAAAGUAUGUCCUAAUGUAAGAGUCUUUUUACCUUAAAAAUUGAGUCCUAGUCUUAUUUGGUUGUAACUAUUUAGACCAGGGUAUAAAUAUAGGCCGAGAGGUGAUGUAAAGAUAUAUCAAUCAAUAUCAAAUACAAGUUUACUCCUAUUUUCGCAUCUACUUUUUGAUGACUUCGUCAAUUUGCAUACUUUUCUUUUUACGAGUUCUCAUCGAUUCGGCGAGUUGCACUCGACGAUCCUCGAGUUUCACGUGAGUACCUCUUGGCCGUGACAUCCGGGUGUAUCGCUGUUGUCGGGACCAAAGUAUUCGAAUUAUCAUCCUUGUCGAUGAACAUGUCAAAUCGACUGGCAUGCCUUGACAUCAAAAUUGGGUAUUAGCCCUUUGUGUUUAUAGAUUUAUUUUUGCAUCAACACAUAUUUUGGCACGCCUAGUGGGACAAGUUCGACAUCAUCAACAUGCUUACCUCUGAGCUCGACGCGGACAACAUCAUCAGCGUGACAAAAGCAGAUCUCAGAGAAGAAUAGAAGCAAGCUAUGGAGAAGGCUAUGGAGGAGUACAGGCAGCUUUGUCUGAAGUUUUUCAGCUUGAACAAGAGUGGGGAAGUCAUCUAGAAGCAAGAUCUGCCAUUGCCUCAGCAGGUUACCUUUGACUCCAAUCCUGGUAAACUUCAAGAGAUGGUUAAUUUUGCAAUUAAUCAUGCUUUGGUUAACCACUCCAAUGUGCUGUCCAACACCAUUUACAACGCCGUCAUUCGAAUCUUCAAAGAGGGACAAGCACCACCACUUUAUGCUGGCCUAGCCUAUCAUCAGACAGGGCUAUCGUCGGUUGUCGCUCCAUCGGCUCCUUCAGCCGUUACGGGUACAGAAGUCACGUCUCCUCCGAGUACGGCAGGUGUGUCUAAUGAUCAAUCUACACCGAUGAGAUCAGAUCCGAUGACUUCAGGAGGGCGAGUUCAACUCAACACAGAUCUAUCGUCAUCAGCUAUGUUAGGGCCUGUAUUCCAAAACAACCAGGUUCCUCCUAAUUGGUGGGGAUAUGGUAUGCCUCCGGAGUUUUUGGCAAAUAAUUCUAGAUUAUCUCAGGCACCUGAUGCAGUAGGGAAGGCUCCCAUGCCAUCGGCUCCUCUAGUCUCGCCAAUGACUCAAGUGCCUCAGCAUUCUACGACAACUAUUGUGUGGCCAGUUGUUGGAAAUUUUCAAAUGCCGUCAUUUCAAGUGCCUAAUGCAAGCUCGUCGGCAAAUCCAUUGCCGACACAAUAGAGAUUCAUAUCUCAGGCUGGGUAUGUUAAUCCGGCAAUGACAGCAAGUUACCAGCCAUCGACAAGUUUUGUGCUGAUGAAUGCCAAUAAUGGUUGGUUAGGACAGUUACCCUUUCAACAUACAGCACAACAAAAUCAUCAAGUUGCAGGGGUUCAGCAAUGUCACAUGCAGGUUGGCUUCUAGAAUCAAGCACCAGCAGCUCAGCCGAUGAAUCUUGCUCAGCAGAUUGGUGGGCCUCAAGCAAUGACUAAUAUGUUGUUUGCUGGAGAUCGUGUGCCACAAAGACACGUGGAAGCAUAUCAAUAGGUGCCAGAGAUUUAGCCGGCACAUCGGCAGGAUGCUGAUGCUUAUUGGGCCGAUAAGAUAGCAAAGAUCAUGAGAGAUCAGUUUGGGAUAAAGCCCAAGGUUAAUACCUAUUCUUAUCGAAUGCCAUAUCCUCCUACAUACGACCUGAUCCCUCUUCUAAAUCGGUACAAAGUGCUGGAUUUUACCAAGUUUUCCGGACAAGAUGACACAUCGACAAUGGAACAUGUCAAUCAUUUCAUUAUCCAAUGUGGGGAAGCUGCUAACAGAGAUGAAUUAAGGGUUCGGCUCUUCUCAUCAUCCUUGUCUAGGUCGGCCUUUACUUGGUUUAUAUCGUUGCCUCCAAAUUCUAUUAUUACUUGGGCCGAUCUAGAAAAAUAGUUCCAUAAAUACUUCUUCUGCGGAGUUCAUGAGAAGAAGCUUAUCAAUUUAGUAAGGCUAAGGCAGCGUAAUGAUGAAUCGGUAGAGAGCUGUGUGCAGAGGCUGCGAGAUGUGAAGAACAAGUGCUAUAGUCUGGUUCUACAUGAUCAACAACUGGCCGAUCUAGCUUUUCAAGGAUUGUUACCACAUCUCAAGGAUAUGUAUGCUUAUCAAGAAUUUGAAAUCUUGAGUCAUCUUGUGCAAAGAAUUUCUGAUCGAGACACUAGGAUUUUUGAGCCUAGAAAGAAUUGGAAUAAAAAGGUGUCAUUUGUCAAUGAAGCAAAAGAUUCUGAUUCUGAUGAAGAGCCAGUUAUCGACUUAGCAAAGUGGGUGAAAAACAAGAAGCCGAUAUCUUGUCCCUUUGGUCAGAAAGAGCCAGAGAAGUUUGCUUUUGAUAUCACUAAAGCCGAUAGGAUUGACCUCUUGCUUCAGGAAGGACAAAUUAAAUUAUCACCAAACCAUGUGAUUCCACUAGCAUAAGAGUUGAAAAAGAUCAAGUAUUGCAAGUGGCAUAAUGCAACUUCACACAGUACAAAUGAGUGUAAAGUGUUCAGGCAACAGUAGCAGUUAGCUAUAGAAUCUGGGAGAAUUAAGUUUGAUCACUCAUCAGCGGCAGCGGGAGAAUUGGCAGUAGCGGGAGGAUCGGUAUCGGUGACAGCAAGAAAAGAGGCGUCGGGAAGAGUGGAAUCGGCAUAAAGAUCAUUGGGAUUGCUCGUACUUUGUUCACUGUUGGGAACGGGGUAUCAAGUUGCCGACGGUUGAAAGUUGCCCCGAGUGCAAUGGUUAUUAUCAGAACAAUCGGUCAGAAAGGAGAUUCCGACAUGAUAAUCAAGAUCUUUCCAUUAAUGAGCCGAUCAGAGGCAGGGCAUCAGUGCAUGAUCGGCUAGGGGGUAGACUUAAUGUGCAUGAACGGUUGGGCAGAUGUGUCGUGUAUUUUCUAAGAAAUCAAGAAGAACUAGAGGAAAUGGCAAAUGCUAGAGUUCCUGAUGAGAAAAUUUUCUAUAGGGAUCCUAAUAUACGGCGUGUAGAGUCAACUGAAGUCCGUUAUCAACGGGUUUGGAAGACCAAACUUCCCCGAUGGUGUCCAGAGGGUUUGACAAGGACACAAAGGAGGAGGAUGCAACAGGAGCGUCAUGAAGAUUUGUAUAGAGAAGAGAAUUAUUCUAAGUCUGAGAAUCGGUAGCAAUCAGAUCACAAGGGAAAGGUCUAUCAGUAGAUGUUAAUAUGGUAUUCAUGUUGCCGAUGGAAUUCCUUGUGCCUUCUAGUGAUGAUUGUUGACGGUCCUUAAGUAUCAAAUUUAAUUAUCAAAUAAAUAAAGAAAAGGAUCCAAAUGAAAUAAAGAUCUAGACUUAGGGUUUUAUCUGACAGAAUUCCACGAGUUUUGGUGUUUGUCUAUUUCUGCAGGGGGAUAUCAGGAAAUAUGGAAGAAAGGCCCACAUGUCAGGAUUACGUAAAGAUAUUAACGUGCUGCGCAAUUAUCUUACAUCUAGAAGACUCCAGAAGCCACGAGACCGAAGCGGAGGCGAAUCGGGGCCAGAGACAGGGCGCCCGCCCUGUCCAACUGGGCGCCCGCCCUGCCCCCAAGUCCAAUCAGGACUCUGCUUUGCGGGAAGUCUCCACCGACCUAAAGGAUGAAUCUAAACCAUACAAUCUAUGUCGGUUUGAUCCAAGGGCCCAUAUUCACUUGAAGGGACUAUAAAACCAGACCCCCUGGGCCCUGGAGGAGAGAGCCUCUCAACCCUAAUUCAUUGUUCCAUCAAGGGAGAAGAAGCCUCUGAUCAAGAUUAGAGCCACCACAUCAAUUAGAUAUCUAGAUUAGCAUAGCUACAUAGGAUUAGAACUAGAAGGAGUCAAUCUUCGAUUGGUUUCCGGAUCUGUCAGGAGGAUUCUUGGUAAUUCUCUAAUUGUGCUUCUAAUUGCUUUCUAAUUAUCUUUGUUCUUCAAUAUUAUGAAUAUGACUUUGUUCUACUUCAAUAUAUUGCUUAUGACUUUGCUCUACUUGCUUAUAUUCAAGAUUAUAUUGUUCUUAGUUUAUCAUAGUUAUGUACUUGGCUUAGUUAGAUACGAUCUAUAUACAUGCUUAGGAUCGUAUAGCGUUUAUCCAUCGGAUCCAUGGGUAAAUGAUAGAUAUUGUGUAGGCGUGGUGCUUAUACCGUAUUUAUCUGCGAUUGUACCCAAUAUGCCAGAUCGUGGGGUAGUUCGUGAUAGUGACAGCUUCAUUGAUUCUUAUAUAGUCCCCCUCUCGUGUAUUGGGCUGGCAGAGCAACAUUAUUACAGGGGAAUGAUUGCUAUGUUUUUCAUAUUCCUUGCUAAUAUCACUAUGCAUGGGCGUAGUCUUGUCUAGCAAUGAUUGCUAAGUAUGCUUGCACUAACUAUGAUAUGCUAGACUAUAUAGUUAAGAAUAACUUAGGGAAUAUUCUUGUAGUUCGUUCUAAUACCAUGCUAAUGACUUUCUAGAGUAUCUAAUUGAGGUGCUUAUCAUAUUUAUUAUGUGGCUAGAUCAGAUUAGUUAUCCUUGUCACUAUUAUUAUUUCAUAUAUCUUUUAUGUGACACUUAUCCCUGUAUGAUGAGUUAGAUAUAAUGUUCUCAAUUAUACAUGCAAUGAUAGAUGCUCAAUCUCAUAUUCUAUUCUGUAAUCAUUAGUGAUGAUUUCUAAUCCCUUCCCAGUGGUAAAAAUAUAAAUAACGAUACCUGGAAUACUUCCCGGUUAAAAUGCUACAUCGGUAUUAAUCUGUGCGCUUGCAGAUCCCAUUCAUUAUUUAUUUAGAAGAGCAAUUGCAUAUUUCAAUACCGCGUCUCUCAUAUCAUGCUGGGGAUGACAACUUGGCUUAAGUGGUGUGAGGGAUAGGUUUGACAUUUUUGGCACCGUUGCUAGAUUUAGAACUUAGUCUACUUUUAGUAAUGAUGUUAAGAAUACCCAACAAUGAUGAAGAAAUCAAUCUCUCUGAUCAAAUAGCUCAGUUGGUGCUUGAUCUGAUGAUGGCUGUUUUCGAGAAGCCAACUGAUCAUGAAAGACAGCAUCUCAAGACUUUGUUCAUUAAGGACAGGGUUGAUGGGCAGCCAGUGUCUAAGAUACUCGUUGAUGGAGGAGCUGCAAUUAAUAUCAUGCCCUACGUAAUGUAUCAGAAACUUAGCAAAGGUGAUCAAGAUUUGACCAAGAACGAUAUGAUGCUGAAAGAUUUUGAAGGCAAUGUGUCACCAGCUAAAGGGGUUGUAUGCGUUGAAUUGACUAUCGGCAGCAAAACUUUGCCGACGAUGUUCUUUGUCAUCAAUGGUAAAGGUGCGUACAAUCUGCUUUUGGGGAGGGACUGGAUUCCUUCCAACUGUUGUGUUCCUUCUAUGAUGCAUCAAUGCCUCAUUAAAUGGGUUGGAGAUAAGAUUGAGGUUGUUCCUGGCGAUUCUUCUUACAUCAUUGCAUCGGCAGAGUCAGAUACUUAUGAGCGAACCAGGUGCAUAUCAGGAGAGGCCUAGGAGAAAGAUUUCCUCAGAGUUACCGAUUAUGAAAUUCCACCGAUCCAAGCAGUCGGUUCUGAUGAAGAGUUUUAAUGGAUAGAUUCACCGAUGAUGAAAAGUUUGGACAGGGGUUCACAUCGGCUGAUGAUUUAGUAGAAGUAGAUAUUGGUAGUGGUGAUAGGCCAAGACCUACUUUUAUUAGUGCUAAGUUAGAUUCCAAGUGUAAACAACAAUUGAUAGAUUUGUUAAAGGAAUAUAAAGAUUUUUUUGCUUGGGAUUAUACUAAGAUGCCUGGAUUAGACCGAUCGAUUGUUGAAUAUUGUUUACCUAUUAAAUCUGGAUUUUGGCCACAUCAGCAACCAGCGCGCCGAUGUAACUCUAAUAUUCUUCCCGAUAUCAAGGCCAAAAUUACCAAGCUAAUUGAAGCCAAGUUUAUUCGGUAGUGUCGGUAUGUAGAGUGGAUUUCUAAUGUUGUUCUUGUCUAUAAGAAAAAUGGAAAACUUCGUGUGUGCAUUGAUUUUAGGAAUCUUAAUAAGGCUAUGCCGAUGGAUGGCUAUCCAAUGCCUGUUGCCGAUUUGCUAGUUGAUGCUGCAGCUAGACAUCGGGUUAUUAGUUUUAUGGAUGGCAAUGCGGGGUACAAUCAGAUAUUCAUGGUCGAGGAAGAUAUUCCCAAGACUACCUUUAGAUGUCCAGGUCAUAUUGGUUUGUUUGAAUGGAUAGUCAUGACUUUUGGUUUGAAAAAUGCCGGUGCAACUUACCAAAGGGCCAUGAAUUUUAUUUUUCAUGAGUUCAUCGACACGUUGGAAGAGAUCUACAUUGAUGAUGUGGUAGUUAAGUUUGGAGAUUUUGAGAAACAUCUAGCCGAUCUACGAAAGAUACUUGAAUGCACAAGAAACAUGGUUUGAAGAUGAAUCCUAAUAAAUGUGCAUUUGGUGUCUCAGCAGGCCAGUUCCUAGGUUUCAUGGUGCAUCAGAGGGGGAUUGAAAUUAGUAGAAGAUCCAUUGAUGCAAUUAACAAGGUGGUUGCUCCUGCCGAUAAGACUGAACUACAAUCAUUGAUCGGUAAGAUCAAUUUCAUCAGGAGGUUCAUAUCUAACCUAUCGGGCAAGAUCAAAGCCUUCAGCAUUUUACUUAAGUUAAAAGCUAACCAGGAGUUUGUGUGGGGGGCUGAAUAGUAGUUGGACUUAGAUGAAAUUAAGAGAUACUUGAUAAAUCCUCCGGUAUUGGUUCCACCUCAGCACGGGAAACCUUUCAGAUUGUAUUUAUCGACCGAUGAUACUGUUAUCAGUUCGGCCCUUAUUCAAGAAUUUGAAGGGAAAGAAUGCGUCAUUUAUUAUUUAAGCAGAAGAUUGGUGGACGCUGAGACAAGAUAUUUGGCCAUCGAGAAGCUAUGCUUAUGCUUGUACUUUUCUUGCAUUAAAUUAAGGCAUUAUUUGCUAUCGACCGAAUAUAUUGUCAUAUGCAAAGAUGAUGUGGUCAAAUAUAUGUUGUCGAUGCCGAUUUUGAGUGGUAGAAUCGGCAAGUGGAUCUUAGCGUUAUCAGAGUUUGAUCUAUGCUAUGAAUUGGCCAAAGCAGUUAAGGGGCAAGUUAUGGCUGAUUUUGUUACUCAACAUUGCAAUGUAGUGGGUGUUGACACUUGCUAACACCACUUGAAUACUAGGUUGUCAUCCCCAGCAUGGCACUAGAGUGUACUAUGGUAUUUAUACGCACACAGAUAAUCCGCAAGCGCACAGAUACCGUUGUAGCUUUUACCUGGUUAAAGGUUUUAUCGUAUCCAUAGGGAAACGGAAGAACCAACUACGCUCUAACUUAACCAAGAUAGAUAGAUAAGUGUAAAUAGGAAAGAUGGUAGAAUUGAAUAAGAACAAUAUUAAAGGUAAGAUAAUAGUGAGUGAUAAUAUGGGAAUAGAGAGUAGAGCAAUCUAAUAUAUGGGCGAUGGUAGAAGAAUAGAGAGGAUAACUAUGGUUUCUCUACUUCAGAGGGGUAUGUCUAUGUCUGGGACGAACCACGUGAUAAGAAUACACCACAAAGGAUGCUUAUCCAUAGGCCGAUAAACCCUACCCGUCCUGCUAACAAGAAGUGGACUACAGGGGACCAACGUAACUGUCACCUACGCGGCCUACCACACGAUCCAGCUAGACAGGGGAUAUCCACAAGUAAUCUAGGUCUAAGCACCACGCUUACACCUAUACUACAACUCUAACCUAUAGGGUCCUAUAGAUUAGAAGUACUCAAAAGAGUUGUGAACCAGAACAUACAUGAUUAGUAAUUGCACAAUGAAUUAGAAGUAGAUUACCAGAGUCAUCCCAUGAGCAAGCUUGAUUAGAGCUUGAUCUUGACGAAGUACAACCAGAGGAAGAACCGACAGGCCGGCCUCUCCUCUAAUCCUCCUUUGCUCUCCAUCUCGCUACUAUCUAGAUCUACUCUAGUUUAGAGAUGAGAGGAGAGCUCUCAUCUCUAAACCCUAGCUUUUGCUCUGUCUAUGAAUAAUGAAUAAUGAUCAAGGGGUGCCUCCUCCAGGGGCCAGGGGGUCUGCUUAUAUAGUCCCCUCAAGUGAAUCUGGUCCGUCGGAUCAAACCGACAUUGAUUGAACGGUUAUUCUUGAUCCUUUAGGUCGGUGGAGCAUAAUCCCCGAAGAGAGUCCUGAUUGGACUCUGGGACAGGGCGGGCGCCCAAGGGGGGAGGGCGGGCGCCCUGCCCCCGAGCCUGCUCGGUCUCCUGUUCGUUCCCGUGGCUUCUGGAGUCUUCUAGAUGAUAGAAAAUUACGCUGCACGUUCAUAUCUCUAUGUAAACUCGACAUGUGGGCCUUUCCUCCAUAUUUCCUGAUAACUGUUGACGGUGGAUAUACCAUAGAAAUCCACAUACAAAACACCGUCAACAUGCCUCGGUUGCAAGGGGAAAUGACAUGACAUGAACAUAUUUUAUCCAUAACUAGUUCCACUUGUACUCUUAGCUUGUUUAUGCAGGAACAACAAAUUCAAGACAUUAUUUGACAAAGCCAACAUCAGAAUCAUCAACAGGAGAUCGAAGGGACAACAGGUGACACCCUGGGCCCACAGGGAGGGGGUCGCCCGACCCCUCUUUGGUGGGACCCAGGUGUGCCACCUAGUCCACCGACAUAAGGGACCCCUGUGGACACUGCUGGUGGGCCCAGAGGCCCAGAAGUGGGGUCGCCCGACCCCACAUCAAAGGCAGUUCCAGGGUCGGUGGCCUCCCACCGACCUUCCCCACAUGUCCCACAUGUUGAUUUGCCCCUGCCGUUGAUCAAAUGGCGGUUGUGAGGUCGGUUUGAUCCAAGGGUGGAGAGAAGAUGUCACGCGGAUCGAUGACGUGGCGAUGGAGUAACCCCUACUCCAUCUCCCUCUAUAAAAGGCAGCCUCCACCCUUCAUUUCAAGUGUGCAAUUCCAAGGCCAAGUGCAUUACAAGUUCCAAGCAUACAAGUAGAGUAGUAGUUAGUCUAGAGUGGGAGUUAGAGUCGAGUCGAGCGAAGCUCGGGGUCUCCGGAGUCGUCUUCUGGAGAGUCUGGUAUAGCUCUUGUACCUUUCUACUUUUGUAAGACUUUCCUUUUAUUAAUAUAUUAUUCUUACUUUACUUUACUGAGUUCUUACUUAGUGCAAGUCUUUUAGUCUUGUUGUGCAUUUACUUUAGUAAUAUAGUUGUCUUAGUGAAGUUAGUGACCUGUAACCACUCCUGUGUGUGCAUCAUCGUCCUAUCUUGUAUAGGAGCUCUAGCUAGCUGCAACCAGUUAGAGUUGUAGGAUUAAGUGUGAGCGUGGUGCUCAUACUUAAGAUUACCUUUGAUUACCGCUGGCUUGAACGGAAAGUAGGAGCGCACUCCCUAGUAGGUGACAGAUCGUGGGCGGCAUUAGGUUCUCCUCACGUACAGGCUAGUUCUUAAAAGGUAAGGCGCCCAUAAGCCCAAUAGUCGCUUUCGGUAAGGGGUUAGGUGAAAAACCUUCUAAGCGUCUUACCAGCUCGGCUAUCCCUCGCACACAGUUAGUAAGGCUCUAGCGUAGUUAAGGCAAUUAUCUAUUAAAGUAAGUCACAGAAGUCAAGUUAGAUACAUAGGAGUCCUUUACUCACUCGUUGUCCUCCCACCUAGCUAACUCUACCAUUUACCUUUAGCAUAGGACCUUGGAUUCACCACUACCCUUCCUAUUCGUUAUUUACCACCCUUAUUCACUAGUUGAUACUAGACAACUCAAGGAAUCUCAUUCCCCUUUUUGUUAAACACACUUAGCCGCUUUCCCUUGGGAAAAUAUAAAUUACGAUACCUUGGAAUACUCCUUGGUGAAGUGCUACAGCGGUACAUUCUGUGCGCUUGCGGAAUUAUCCAAUAGUAAAUAGAGUUACCCUACCAGGGCACUUCUGGCGCCGUCGCCGAUAUCCGGUGGUUGCGUUAAGAAGUGUCAACAAUAACCCCCUACAGAAAUAGACAAACACCAAAACUUGUGAAAUUCUGUCAGAUAAAACCCUGUCUGGGUGUUGGUUGUAUUUGGAUCCUUUUCUUUAUUUAUUUGCUGAUUAUAUUUGGUACUUAAGGACCGUCAACAACUCGCCCAAGCUUACCUCUUGCUCGUCCCUGAGCAAGGAUGGACUCAAGAGUUUCUGCAGUGGUUUUAUGCCUUAAAGGUACACAUGCGUUUAAACAAGAUCUCAUCUCUAGGUUAGGGUAAACUGUUAAGAUUUAAAACUUACUCAUUUUACCUUCCACCAUGGGGCUUGUAACCGUCACUUGUGUCUUGAGCAGUUAAAAGAUAGAACGGUCAAGUCAAGCGUCAUGUCUCUUGUUCUUGAUCAACUAUAGCUCUGGAGUUUUUGCAGAUUUUCAAAUAAAACUCAGAGAUUCUUGUAUGACUCUCUCUAGUCUCUCUUUUGUGGUAUUUCUAGAUCCUUACCAAGGCAGUGAUGAUAUAUGCCUUCUCUCAAAGUAUGUGGUAUUUUUGGUAUGAGGCAUAGUGACAUUACCUUCUCUCUCACUCUACUCUAAUAAAGUUUUGAUAUCUAGAGAUCAUAGGUGGGAGACAGCUAAUACAUACUUACAAGACAUUUAUUUCAUAGUCAAACCAUGGAUCUAGAGAAACAAGUCAAUAAGUCAAAUCAAGAUGUGCAUGUGUGGCGAAUGAAUGGUGUAUGGUGAUGAUGGUGAAAGUCUAAUUCUACUUUUGCUCUUUUGAGGGGAUACAUACCUUUCUUGCACUUUGAAGCUUUUUGAGGAGAAUGAGAUGCUUUAUAUAUUUUUUUUCUUUCCUCUCAGGUGGGUAUCUUGUACCCCUAAUUCUACUGUCGGACACUUGUCUAUUUUUACCUCUUGUCUCACUUUUUCUUUUCUUUUUUUCUCUCGAGGUUCCGGGCACUUGCCCCUUUUUAUUUCCUCGUAUUUACUUUUUUUUUCCGAGCACUCACCCUCCUGGAAUAAUGUAGCAAGUGGUAGUAACCAAAAUAUCUUGAGCAUUUAUUUCACGGGGAAUAACAGGGAUAGAAUAAUGUUUUUUGCUAUUCUCUCCUGGAUAGGAGUAGAAUAAUUCUGGGUGAAUCUGGAGAUGGAAAUGAAUGGAUGUAUGUGGAUGCGUACUUCUAGAGUAGAAGCAGCAUGUAUGAGUGAACGUGCAAGUGGAUUUUGAUUUUAACCACAUGACAAGCUCCUAAGGGUCUACACAGCUUGACCACACUCAAUGCUCAUAAGUAGUAAAAAGUAAAUGUAUGGUUCAUAGUCUAAUAAGCAUGUAUAUAUAGCUGUGGUAGGAUUUUAAACUCUCAUCAUACAUGAACUCAUCAUGCAACAUUUUAAAGAUUUUCAAAGAUAAAAUUCUCCAGAAUUCUAGCAUCUCUAGGAAUAGAUAAAUACAGCUCAACCUUCCCAUAUCAUAUCCGUUAAUGACUUAGACUUUAGAUCAAGUACUCUUCCCACAAGUUCAGGUUUAGAGCAAAUCUUAAUUCAUAACAGUCAUACCUAAACUUGAGAGAGAUUUCACUUUUGAGAACUAGUCAUGGCAGAGCAACUAUUCAUCAUUUCCAUGUGAGAGCUUACCAUGAGGGUUCAUAGCAAACUUUAUUUAUUUAUUUAUUUAUUUAGCAAACUAAGAAAAUAUAUAUAUAUAUAUAUAUAUAUAUAUAUAAGCAUAAAAUCUUUAUUUGGGUUUUUUUAUGAUUAUGCAUCUUUUUAUUAUUUGAGUAAAGUAUAAACAUGAGUAGAAACACUUAGCUGGAUAAAUAGGGAUGCUCUUCCCCAAGCUGGAUUUUGACGUAAUUUCUUCUGAUGUAGCUAGCAGGUGACGGAGGUGUAUUUGAAUGUCGGCAGCACCCUGACAGCGAUUAGGAUGUCCUCCGUCUGCUAGUCUUCUUUGAUCCUUGAAUUCUGUGGAGCUCAAAUAGACAACAAAGCUUUGUGGAACUGGUUAAGUGUUAGCAUAAAAUCUCUUUGCCUUUAUCAUGUUGAGCUUCCUCUAAUAAAUAUUACUCUCUUUGGUUGGAUCAUAAAUUUAUUUUUAUAUUUUCAUUUCUAUAGGACAUGAAUAUAUUUAUUUUAUUUUUACGCCACCACAGUGAAUGUACUUAUGGGUUUUAUGCUACGAGCAUACUCACAUGGGGCUUAGUAUUUUUAAACAUUUUUAAUUUCUUUUCAAGAUAGCAUAAUCAACUAAUAAGCUAUUUAAGGAAAGUAAGUAAUUAAAGGGAAAAAGGAAUGCAGAAAGGAUAAAUAUGGAUAACUACCGAUUUUACCUUUCGUCGAGGGUUCAAUGUUUUAAAUCUUCUGAACAAGACUUCUCACCGUGUUCAUUCUUCAGGUAUGUCUUUUAAUUCAGGUGAGGACCUUGACGUCUGCACCUCUUGAUACGGUGUCACCCAUGUUCUUCGUUUGCCCAGCAGUUCGAAGUGUGGCAUUGGCAGCAUCCUGCUCAGUGUGUUUGUGCUCGUAGAUCCAGGUCCUUCACUUGGUAGAGUCUGAGAGUUAUAAAACUCCUCCAUGUUUUGCUCGAAGUGUACCUGCUCAUAGAGACAAGGCAGAGAUCAAGUGCAUGGGUCCUGUUGGUGGAAAACACCAACAGAACCAAAAGUGUAUUUGUUCUUCUCUAACCUUAAGCAUAGUGAGCAAGACAAAGUUGAUGGAUGAUAAGUUCAUGAGUGUAGUACUUAUAACAUUUGUCAGAUCAGAUCGCUCAACCUUAUGGAGAGAUAAUCUAUCUAUGUAUAUGUCUUUUUCUUUAUGUAUCUCAAAGAUUGAAUGUGUAACAUUUAGGCUCAUAUGAUUAGGAGUGUGGGAUCAUGGAGGUACUACUAGGAACAAAGAUUAAAGGACUAAACAUGCGGAAUCAGUUGGGUUGGUUAAUUUAGAGUUAUAAAUCAUACAUGUUUGUCUCUUUAUUUAUGUGAACGCCAGAACCA